RNAcentral lists this long non-coding RNA (90741 nucleotides) under Brassica napus (rape). RNAcentral describes it as "long non-coding RNA (BNAP_LNC016243)". The stretch from base 58103 to 58227 matches the Rfam family "MIR9563 microRNA precursor family". Lineage: Eukaryota; Viridiplantae; Streptophyta; Magnoliopsida; Brassicales; Brassicaceae. The record is from RNAcentral.
GGUUUAGGGUUUAGGGUUUAGGGUUUAGAGUUUAGGGUUUAGGGUUUCGAGUUUAGGAUUUAGGGUUUCGAGUUUAGGGUUUAGGGUUUAGAGUUUAGGGUUUAGGGUUUAGAGUUUAGGAUGUAAAGUUUAGAAUUGAGAAAUGAGGUUUUGGGGAUAAGAUAUAAACUUAGAAAUGUGCUAUUUUGGUCAUUUUAGUUUUUGAGUGCUAUUUUUGUGAUAUAAACUUAGAAAAGUGCUAUUUUGGACAUUUGCCCAGUAAGAAACUUGCUUAGCAUUUAAAUAAAAGUGUAAAAACAAAUGAGUUUCAACCAAAAAAAAAAACAGAUGAGUUAAAAAUGUUCGGACUUUAGUUAUUUAAGUCCCUACCCCAAGAUGUCAAAAAAAAGUCCCUACCCCAAUUCGAAAAUUUAAGUGACGUACGGUUGUGAGUGCGAAGUUUUUGUCCAGAGUUCGUUAUCUUCUUUGGCCAUAACGAUUGACGAUAAGAUCUCAUUACAUAUAUUCACACACUAUCUUCUUUUUACUCUUCUUCUUUCUGUUUGCUAAACAUUCAUACACUAUCUUGUAUAUAUUUAUAUACAGAACAGUAUUGCCUUACAUAGCUAAAUGUCUUCAAAUUUUCUGGAUAUUUAAGUUGAUGAUGGAAAAGACUACUGCUCUCCCGUUUUUAUAAGAUGGCGUUCUAAAGGAAUUUUUUUUUGUUUUAAAGUAGUUGACGUUUGAAACACUAUAUCUAGAUACAAAAACUGGUCAGACUUUUAACGGUCCAGAUACUUAGAGCCUGAUUGGUUUCUCCGCUAUCACCCGUAAACGCAGCUUUUGCGGGUAAUAGCGGUUGACAGCGUUUCGAAACAAUCAUACAAACCGCUACAAAUCGCUUCAAACCGCUCCGAACCUCUUAAAAUCAAAAGCUGGUUCCAACUAGCGUUUGCGGUUGCGGGCGGUUGAUUUUUUUGUCUUUUUUUUCCAAAACCAUAUAAAUACAAAAAUAAAAAUAUUCAAUAAAAAUUUUAAAUUAGAAUUAUAAAAAUACUAUAAUAUAUCUAUUGCAUUUUAAUUAAUAUUAUAAAAUUUUAAAAUAAAAAUAUUUUCUAUAAUUUUAAAAUUUUAAAACUAUAACUUUCUACAUAUAAUUUUCAUAUUUAUUAUAAUAUUAUGAUUUUUUGAUAUUUUUAUAAUUAUAUAAAAUUUAAAUAUUGUUAAUUUAUUAUUUAACCGCUGCUAUAUUUGGUAGUUAACCAGUCAUAAGAUCUCGCAAACACACUAAUUUCUAACCGCAGAACCAGUCGUACCAAUCUCUUAAAAUCGUUAGAAACUGCAACCACCCGCAUCCGCAAACUCCCGCAACCGCAACUGCAACAGCUGCGUUUGAACCAGUCAGACCCUAAACCUCUUUUAACUUUUACUUGGAAAUUAAAUUUCUCUCCACAAUUAAAAUUUUUAUUUGGUAAGCUAUAUCCGAACUUUAUGCAUAGCCAAAAAUUUGAAGACACGUGGUAUACAACGAUCACGUCCCAAUGUGAUACACAGUGUAAUAUUUGUGGAACAGAGGAGAAAUCAAUAAACCAAUAACCUUGGUGUUUUUCCUACGUCUUCCAUAUUUUCGAAUAAUUUUUUAUUGUUAUAAAAAAUUCCAAAAGGUUAUAAUUGUCGUGAAACUUAGGAUUUAAAGCUGUAAAUAGGAAAAAUUACAAAUCAUAAACAUAAACAAAUUAUGAAAUAUGCAAGUUGUAUCCGCCUCUCUCCUCUCUCCAAGUCUCGCGGCCGCCUCUCUCUCUCUAGGGUUUGACCAUCUCUCUCUAUAAGUGUAUGGGCCGGUUAUGGACCGGACCUGUAGAAACCCGUUAAAAAAAAAAAAAAAAAAAAAAAAAAGAGAGAGAAUGGCUGAGUAUCAUUGUGGUGGUCGAGUUGCGGGCAAUAAGGAUCGAUCGAGAAGUUUUAAAGUAUAAGGUGGGCGAAGAAGUGAUCGUGGGUGAACUAUGAGUCGAAUAAGUUGCUCGACCAUAGUUAGAAGAUGUCCUAGAUUGAUGAGACAGACGUUUUGGAAGCAUAACAAUUUUGGAAGCACGACGGUUUAGAAGCUCGACGUUUUUUAAGACCGACGUUUCUUCAUCACGAAGUUUUCUCGGAAAAUCUUCGUAUCAGUAAAAUAUUAUUCUGGAGACAUAAUAAGUUGGAAGCAGGACGGGAAUUAAGCACGACGGAAAGCAAGCACGACGGAAAGCAAGAACGACGGGAAAACCCGAAGUUGGGCGAAAACCCUAAUUUCGGUAUUAUGGAAUUCUUUGAGGAAGCCGGAGGUUCGGGAAAUAUUUUUACAGGAUAUCAGAAUUCAUCUGGAGUCUAUUAAAAAUAUUUAGAGCAUCAGAACGGUAGCGGAAAAAUAUUCGGGAUUGAUCACGGGUUAGAAAUUUGCCGGAAGGGUAAAAAAUCGCGUAAACCGACCAAGACGCUUGAGGUGUCUCUACGUAUAUGGCCAGGACGUGAUAACUACCAUCUAAGCAGCUGAGUGUCUACAGAAGCUCGAGGUGUCGCCGUGCAUAUAAGCAGUACAUGCAGCCUGACAUGUAGAAGCACGAGGUGGAUCGACCAAGCAUGAGGUGUCUCCGCGCAUGCAACCGAAGCAUGCUGAUCGACAUGUGUGUACUGGUGUGGCUUCGUGCAUACACUACAGGCAUGCAUCCUGACAUGUGGGAGGAGUGGUGGCGUCCUGCAUGUGUCCUGGACAUGCAGCCUGACAUGUGGAGCACUAGGUGCCGCCGCGCAUGCGUCCGGAGCCAUGCGAAGCGACACACGGGCUGCCACCAACCUGAAGCUGAUUGGCUGGUGUCUCCUAUAAAUACUCCCACGACCCCAGCUCAUUUCUUCACAUCCAGACCUGUCCAAACCAAGUUAAAAACGUGAGAGAGAAGUAGAAAAAGAAAACAAGUGAUUCCGAGCUAUUUCGAGAGUUUUAGAGAGUUUUCGAGGUCAGUUCUCUACUGAUUUCGAGUCAGCGCCUAGGGACGGUUCUGUCCAACUGAAUUCGUCCAGGCCACUGAGUUCCUUUGAUGAUCAAGUGGAGAUGCUGUCCGGAGUUAGUUCAGUUCUACGGGUUCAGAUCAGUCGAAGUUCUGCUCGAUACUCCGCCGGGAAGUCCGAAGAACGGUCCAGAAGCUAAAGGAGGUUCUGUCCGAGUCAAGAUCAGUUUGUCGAGGCCUGUCAGUUUCUUCAUGGUGAAGCCAAGGUUCUUUCCAAGUCAAGAUCAGUCCAAGUCGAGAUCAGUUCAGUCCAGUCCAGUCAAGUUGUCCCUUGGGUUUUGGCCAUGUCCUCUCCGAUCAACCAGCUGCUUCUCGCCUAGAACACUGUGAGUUGGUUUUGUGUGAAUUCCAUUUGGAAUUUAGGGAAGAUCGAGUGUUUAUAUAGAUUGGAAUGAUCACUCUAUUGAAUGGUAGAGUCCUUAGGGUUAUUUAUUUAUGGAACCAGACUCAGUUUAGCAAGGGCUAAGCUGAGAUGAAUGGAAUUAAGACUGAGAUGAUAACCUGACUAGGACUAGGGCUAGGAUGCAUCAUGUUUUCUACUCUUGCGUGUUGAUAUGGUUGAGUGCAGGUUCUCGUUAUCUUUAAAGAUAGUGUCGUAGCAAGAGGCCGAACUAUCUGGGUAAAGGUUUGAUUGAGUAGAUUUAAUUAAAUGCUUGCUCGUUUAAUUAAUCUUGUUGAUUGAGGUUAGUCAUCUCUUGGUAAGGGAGUGACUAACUGGUUGAGUUGUUUAGUCAUAAUGUUGUUGUUUAGGAGAUCUUUGGCCAUAUAGGCCGAUCUUCUGGUUGUGAUGUUGAUACUACGGGUCCUAUGCCAUAUAGGCUGGACUACGAGUAUUGGGUUGAUAUUGUCGUAGACUCCUAUAUAUUGUUUAGUUUUGGGUUGGAGUCUUGUCCCUUAGGUCAUUCAUAGGGAUAAUUGUGUCGAGUGUGUGUUAUGCCGACAGCAGGUGCGAAACCCGCCCAUGCUAGGCAUGUUUUGGGGUGGACUAGUGUUUCCUCGGCCUCGUAUUCAGCGGGUUCAAGGAAACCCCUUAUUCGCUGGAUCGGGAAGACUCAGAUAGACGGGGUCAUGGCCUAUGGCUGAGUGAUUACACGACGGUGUAAUGUGGCAGUGACCCGAAGGAUUGUGGGCUGUCGCGCGGUGACCCGAAGGACUGUGGGCCGCGGUCGGUUGAAAGUUCCUUCUUCUGGCCUUUGUGGUAGGGAGAUAGGAUAUUGCCGAUAGAGAGGAGGAACACGAAGUCACCAGGGCCCAGGUUAGAGUGUUGUGUUAGUGUGUCGUAGAGGGUUAUGGAACCAUCGAGUUAAUGUAGCACUGAUAUACGGUGUUACGAGCAAGAUCGAGUCAUUGGUAGUUACUAUCUUAUUAUUGUUGUGGUUGUGGUUGUUGAUUGCUUUGUUUGCAGGUUCUGACAUUAAGUCCUAAGUCUGGCUUAGGUACCGGAUUAGGCUUGGUGUAUAUUUUGUUAGUGUAGGCCUGACGUUGGCCUAUAUGUGUUUGAGGGAUUGCUUGUGAAGGGUGGUGGAUAUUAAAGCUAUGCGGUAUCAUUGGUUGGCCGAUCAUGUUCUUGUUUGAUUGUUGGUCGACCGGCUCAUGAUACUUGUAUAGUCUAAGUGUCUAACACUACAUGAGUACUGAACUCAGGCGUAUAUAUGGUUAACUAGGGAUUGGUUGUUAACUUGUUUUAAUGCAGGUUCCCGUUACUUGGAAGUUGGAUUAUGGCAGGAGGCCAAGUCUAACUUAGUAACGGUUUGCUUAGCCUUAGCUUAUAUUGCAUGCUAGGGCUAGAUUGAUUGUUAUUUUGGGUUGUCUGGGUUAGAGUCUAGGUUGCGGGUAGAGGCCACCAGCUCACUGAGUAAUACUAGAUUACUCAUCCAACUCCGUUGUCCUUUUUGCAGGUCGCUUUAGGUAAGGAUGAUUGGAUAGCAUGGUGCUGGACGUUAGGACCGCCGGUGUAGAUUUUCAUGCCUUUUGUAAACGGUAUUGUGAAUUGUGUUAUGUUGACUCGAUUUGGCAUUAGGCCGGGCCCAGUCUUGAAUUAUUCAAUGUAUGAAUAUUUCUUAAAUCAAUAAAAGUAAUUGUUUUAUAUACGCUUCAUGAGUAUUCUGAUAUUUGACUAGUCUGGUCUAACACAACGUUAGGUCGUGGUACGGGUUGAAAAGCCUUAGGCCUCGAUCUAACGGAAAACGCUAACUCUAGGUACAGGUUGCAAAGCCUUGUUCCUUGACGCAGCCGGACGUGUUAGUGGACGAACUGGUCGAGGUCGUGGAGUAAAUUUUGUGACUCUGGCCGGAUCGUCCCUAACCCGUCACGUAGCGCUUCCGAACCAUGGUGUUGGGUUGGACGGUCAGUCAUGUUCUUGUUUGAUUGUUGGCUGGACGGUUGGCCUUUCAUCUCCAACCCUUGGUGUGGGUCGUCUGUCGGUCAUGUUCUUGUUUGAUUGUUGGCCGGUGGGUUGACCUAUGCCUAGGACGGUUCGGGGGUGUUACAGGGCCGGUUAUGGACAUCCACCAAUUGAUUUAUAACACUCCCCCUUGGAUGCCAUAACCAUACAGAGAUUGUAAUACGCUUAAUGUUUCCUCUUUAAAAUCUUAUCAGAAAAACUCAGUGGGACAAAACCAUGAUGAAGGAAAAAGAGUACAACACGUACUACUCCCCCUGAUGUAAACCUCAGUGGAGGUCCUUCAGCCUACGCAUCCCAAUCUGACGCGUGAGCUUUCUGAACGUGCAGGUAGGAAGUGCUAUGGUGAAUAGGUCAGCUGAAUUGUCACUUGAUCGUACUUGGACGACCUGGACCUCACCGGCUUUCUGAAGCUCGUGAGUAAAGAAGAACUUAGGCAAUAUGUGUUUCGUUCUAUCACCUUUUAUGUAACCGUCCUUGAGCUGAACAAUGCACGCAGCAUUGUCCUCAUACAUCACGGUUGGCUUUUUGCACUCGGCUAUCCCGCAAUCAGCUCGGACGUGUUGGGUCAUCGACCUCAACCAAACACACUCGCGGCUGGCCUCAUGUAUGGCCAAGAUUUCUGAGUGAUUAGAUGAAGUGGCCGCGAUGGUUUGUUUCAUGGAACGCCAUGAUAUGGCCAUACCUCCAUGUGUAAAGACAUAUCCUGUCUGUGAUCGAGCUUGAUGUGGAUCUGAUAAAUAACCAGCAUCAGCAAAUCCAGCUAAACCAUCUUUGUUAUGGUUAGUAUAAUAUAUACUCAAGUCUUUCGUUCCUUGCAGGUAACGAAGAACAUGUUUGAUCCCAUUCCAAUGCCUCUGGGUCGGACAUGAGCUAAACCUAGAUAGUAGGUUCACGGCAAAGCUUAUAUCAGGCGGUGUGUGAGUUGCCAAGUACAUUAAAGCUCUUAUGGCACUGAGAUAUGACAUUUCGGGACCUAGUUCAUCUUCAUCGUCCAUCUUGGGACGGAAUGGGUCAGUGUCCAGGCCGAGAGACCUCACGACCAUGGGACUGUUCAGAGAAUGGCAAUCGGCCAUAUUGAAUCUCUUGAGUACCUUUUCAGUGUAUGUCAUCUGAUGCACAAGCAUCCCAUCAUUUAUGUACUCAAGUUAUAAUCCCAAACAGAAUUUUGUUUUCCCGAGAUAUUUCAUCUCAAAUUCUUUCUUAAGGUAUUCAACCGCUUGGGAAAUUGUAUGCAGAGGUUCCUAGGAUAUUCAGAUCAUACAUUUCGAUGAUUAUCAGUAUUAUUCUCGAGAACUUGAUGUACAUUCAGCUCAAUACCCUCAGCUCAAUACCCUCUAGUACUUUCAUUAUCCAGUGGACCAUAUAAAUAUGCAGUCACUACAUAAGUUUGCUGCAAGUCUAAUUUUAUCUAUUAUAUAGCCAGACUUAUGAGAAAUCUUAAAAGUAGUUGCAUCCACCACAUGGGAGUAUAUCUCCUCAUAAUCUAUUAAUGGUCUUUGUGAGAAUCCUUGUGCAAUAUUAGCUUUAUAUCUCACGAUUUCUAUUACUCACAAGACUCAUUUAUAUCCACUGGUUUUAACAUCAUAUGGCGUCUUAAUCAUAUGGCCAAAUACGCCUUUCUUCUUUAAACUAUUUAACCCCACGUUUUCUUUCAAUCUGUUCUACGAGUGCGCACUCUUAUAUUGACGUGGGUUCAUGAUCCUCGAUUAUAUUCAUAAAUUCAAGUUCUACCUUGUAUCAUCUUAUGUCGACAUUCCUUAUUGUGUUCCAUUAUAUUCCAAACAUGAUAUAAUCGAUUGAGAUUCAUUAUUAUCAGGACCUUUAAUACUUUGCAGCUUGGCGUCCCAAGCUACAUUGUUUGGUACCUGUACCUUAGAGCCGGCCGGCCUUAUCUCUAUGUCUGGUAUGGUUUCCUUGACCUCGGAUUUGUUUUAUCAUUCUAUGCACCUUUCUCUUUUGUUUCUGAGGAUUCUUAUCUUUUGGAACUUUAUUGGUCUAUCUUGUUUAGACUUUGUAACAACUUGACUGUGUCUCUCUUGGACAUCAAUUUAGUUGAUGCUUUACAAGUUGGUUUGUAUAUGACUUAGUCAUUCUUUUUCCGGUCAGCAAAUGUGUCUGGCAUUUGAUUAGCUAGCUUUGUAAAUAUAUAAUCUUUGGACGUCUAUUUCACAUUCUUUAGUCCGAGGAUCUUGCCAAGACAAUGAUGGUCGAUGCCAUUUUGUUUCUCUUACCAGCUUAUUAUUUUCUCCCCCUAAUGGUGGUUAGUCGGAUCCAUUAAACUUUGCAAUCCGUGUUCUUGGCCACUAAAUAGAUCACCCAUAUUUGGCUCAAGGUACUUCAUUAUUUGUGGGAGAUUCAUAUCCAACAUAUAUCCUCAUCCUCAUCCUCUUCUAAGGAUCCAUCUUAGACGGCACAUAUAUUUGUGGUGGCUUAUCCAAAUAUCUCAAGAUGUUAUAUGUCUGGCUCAUGACCCGUAAUAAAUUUGAGAUGGGAAUAUCUAUGCUCACUUAAUGGUCUGAUGCUUAUUAGUUAAGAUGCAUGUAAAUUCGUGUGUCCCCAAGCCUUGGACUGAGAGUUUGGACCUACGGGUAAUGGCCAAUACAGAUUUAUAAAACGAUUCAGCCAAGCUAUAUAUAGUAUGGACAUGUGCGGAUUUGUCCUCACUGCCCCCUCAUGGACAUACUAUAAUCUUUAAGUGCUUUGGGACAUCAUGGCCUAAUGAGUUUCUCUUUUGUUCAUGCUAUACACGUGAGAUUCUAGGGGAUAACUCUUUGUACCCUUUCCAAUAUCAAUUUCGCAUCAUGUUUUGGACCAGGAUGGCCAAUCCGGUCAUACCAUAAAGUGUAUAAUUUCGUGGAUAAACCAUUCUGGUUACCAUGACUAUUGCCUCUAUCAUACUGAUCUUGGCAUAGUCUAGAUCAAUAGAGAAUGCAUGUAUAGUUUUUUUUAGGACUCAUUAUGGCCUUGGGCGAUUUUAUACAUAUAUAUGAAGGAACUCUUUGUUUCCUUCGCCCAUUAUUUCAAUAUGGAAACCAUUCAUUCUUAUAUCUCUAUAUAAUCUCAAUGGGUUUUUCUGGGUGAAAAUAAAGCAUCUAAAUGCUUGCCCUUAUACAUAUCCGGCCAUAGCCCUUAAUGUGUACCAUACCCGCAAAUCAUAUUGGCGUUUUCAAAAAUCAUUCAUUCCUUUUAUUAAGUUUUAAUAAAACAAGUUCAUAGAAAUGAAAAACAUCAAAACAAAGAACAUAGAAUUUAGAUUACAAAUGUCGAAAUCAAUCUUCGGUUUUUUUUAGACAAUCUGAAGUUUCAUAAUCCAUAAGAUCGUCCUUCUCAUGAUCGAAGUCAUUUUCAUCAUCUUGGUAAGUCAUAUGGGCUUCAGGAUUCUUCCCUUUCAAGCUCUCUUGAUAGAGGUCAACUAGAUGCUUGGGAGUCCUACAAGUCUUAGUUCACAUCUAUGGCACACGUAGUUCUCUGAUUUAGUCGAGUGUUGUGGUUUGAAAGAAGAUCUACGGCCACGACUAUGGCCUCGUCCAAAUGAGCCACGGUCCCGUCCAUGGUCUCGACCAUUUCCUCGCCCACGGCCAAAGGAUCUUCGACCGCGGCCACAUCCGUUUGAUUUGUCUCGGCCACGGCCAUGCUGGUCGUUUCCUUGGACGUGGUUGGACUCUUUAUUGUCCUCUGUAGUGUGUGCAUCAGGUAGUGGAGCUGAUCCAAGUGGUCUCAUCUGACUGUUUCUCAUUAGUAAUUCAUUGUUCUGCUCAGUGAGCAAGAGACAAGAAAUAAGAUUAGCAUAGGUUUUGAAACCUUUCUCUCGGUACUGUUGUUGUAACAGCACAUUGCUUGCAUGGAAAAUGGAAAAGGUUUUCUCAAGCAUAUCCUGUUCCGUAAUACUUUUACUACACAGUUUCAUUUUAGAAACAAUCUUAAACAGUGCAGAUUUAUAUUCGUCCACAGACUUAUAGUCUUGGAUCCUCAGAUUCGUCCAAUCAAACCGAGCUUUUGGUAAGAUCACCGUUCUCUGGUGAACAUAUCUCGAUUUCAAUUCAUUCCAAAGAUCUAGUGGAUUCUCAAUGGUUAGGUAUUGAUCCUUGAGACUCUCAUCUAGAUGAUGACGAAUGAUCAAGAUGGCUCUGUAACGAUCCUUUUCAUUGGCAUUAUUGUUCUCGGUGGUACACUCACCGAGUCGCUUGGAUUUCAGGAUGAUCUUAGCAUUGAGCGCUCACUGAAGGUAAUUGUCUCCAGAUAGAUUUAGGGCAGCGAAGUCAAGGUUGUUGAUUUUCGACAUCUAAAGUUAUUGAUUAAUAUUUUUAGAUCUUUUAGGAAUAAUUUUUAAUGUUUAAACGAUUAGAGUUUUAUGUUCAAACAAUCAAACAAGCCUUCACAACCAAGAUCUAUGCCUCACGACCAAUGAGCAAGCCGCACGACCAUGGAUGCAAACUAGUUCUUUUUUAUGCAUUUAGUUUGUCGUUUAAUUGCAAUCCAAACAUGGUUUGUUUCUAUCAGUUCAUGAUGCAAUUAAAACAAGCAAACAUAUCGGCCAAGCAAAGAUCAAGCCACACGGCUAUUUGAUUCAGUUCAACACCAUUCCUAGAAUAAGUUCUAAGUGUAAUUGCAAUCAAUCAAUGUGAUUAAGUUAUGGUAUGAAUGCAACAUGGCCACACGGACACAAUGAUCAAAUCUAGAACAGUUUAACCUAAUAUGUAGUUUCAGAUUUCGAUUUUAAAAUAAUCUAAACUAGGUCAUUAGGGUUUUAGUUUAAACAAGCCAAACAAUGAGAUUCGAGUUUGAACAAUCCUAACAAUAGUUCUAGGUGAUCAAAUCAACCAAUCAAUGUUCAAUUUCAAACAAUCAAAAUCGAUUUUCAGAAUUAGGGUUUUAGGGUUUCGAUUUUAUUAACAAGCAAUUUCAAUUUCAGGAUGAUCAAAAUCAAUCUCAAUCAAUCAAUCAAUCAGUUUAAUUAAUUAAUAGUUUUUUAAUUAGGGUUUAGGGAUUUCGAAAAUUUGAUCUUAGAUCAAAGGGAUUUGAUUUGAGAUUCAAAACCUUUAAGGUUCUGAUUUUAAUUGAUCAAUGGAUCAAUCUCAAUUUUUAGGGUUUGGGGAUCAAACUUAUAGAGCUUUGAUUUACUCGCUUAGAGAUUGAUCUAUUAUCCUAUGGCUUUCAUUUUAGAGAUUAUAUUUUAGGGUUUCAUUCUUCACAAUCAACCAAAUUCGAUUCAUUAUGUUCUUAGAAUUCGAAAUACCUUUAGUUUAGUUGUUUGUAGAAACCGGACCACCAAGAAUGAACCUCGAGCUUAGACACGAUCGGGACACGAGCUGGACAUUAGCUGUCUUGGACGCGAGCUGGAACAGAGUCGCGAACGGAUUAGGGUUCGUCAGUAUCGUCGGGUUCGGAUUAGGGUUCCAAAGCAAAUCAGCGCGCACUGUAUCUGUGCGUGAGGGCGCGUUGGUGAUCAGAUCGACAAGCGGUUUGCACUGACUGAUUCGUCUCGGCCAGGGCUUCGAUUUGAUAUCUUAAUUGUUUUCUGGAUCCUCACGGUUUGGGAGAACGGCCUCUUCGAAGUUCCAAGGCAGAUUCCUUUUCAUUUAGGGUUUUAGGGUUUUAGCGAUUUGGUUUUAGGCUCAGGGUGUUAGAGGCUAUCGUGCUGAUAAUGUGUUGUGAAACUUAAGAUUUAGAGCUGUAAGUCUAUGUAUAUUAUUAAUGAAUAAGUGUUCCCUUUAUAUAGGGGUUACAAGAGAGAUAAAUGGAAAUACAAUAAUAGGAAAGAUUACAAAUCAUAAACAUAAACGAAUUAGAAAAUAGGCAAGUUGUAGCUGCCUCUCUCCCCUCUCCAAGUCUCGCGGCCGCCUCUCUCUCUCUAGAGUUGGGCCGUCUCUCUCUAAAUGUAUGGACCGGUUAUGGAAAUCCACCAAUUGAUUUAUAACAAUAAUUUCACCUAUUUUCCUUAGAUUGUGUGUUAUAUUUGGAAAAUCUGAUAAUUUUUUUUAAAAAAAAAGAAAUAGAAAUCCACAAGAGAUUUUGAGUGUAGCCAAAAAAGAGGGUGCAAUAUGGUCUGAAGCGCAAAUUAAGGAAUCAAAAUUUACAGAGGAGGCUCUUGAGUUAUCAAUUGAGCUAUAUAAGAAGAUGCUACAUUGAUGGAGCAUGUAACGAAACUGAUACUAUUUCAGGUCAAAGUUGGUUCUUCAGUAGUGUAGACUCAGAUAGUCAGAUUAUGAGAUCCAUAAAAUGAAGGACGAACAAUAUUCAUAAGGAAUGUCAUAUGUGCCUAUAAUUCUUAUUUUUCUAUAAAUGUCUUUUAAUUUAUUUAUUUCUAAAUGUAAAUGUCUUUUAGUUUGAUACUUAUGUCUUGGACUUUGAAACCAACGGUAGAAACUUGAAAUGGAUCUACAACAAAUAUUCACUGAUAUAUCAUAUAAUACUGGAAAACUAAUGGGCAAUUGGGUAGGUGAAGGGAUGGGAAGAAAGGUAGAUGAGAAAUUUCAUCACAUAAUUUUUGGUAGUUCAGAAGAUCGAGGAACCACAAAUUCAUUCGGAUAACGAAAGAGAAAAAAAAGGUGCAGAGUGAUUAAUUCACAGGACCACAAAAACCAUAACAUAACAUCAAUAUCCCCACAAGCCACACCAAAUUGGUACCAAUCAACCACUCUUGAAUUAACCCUGGGAACAAACCAUAGCCUUAGAUUUUUUUUGUUUAUUUUGUGAGUGACUAAUGAUAUAACUACAUUUUUUGGCUUAUGAGUGGUUAGCGUUAUAAUUCAAUUUAAAGCAUACUGCUUUUAUAGUUCUCUAGAUAAUUUCUAAUAAUCUUAUUUCAAACAAUAGUGAAGUGUAUUCAUAUAUCAAAACUAAAAUUGGUUUAAAUGAUUUUUGUUCAAAACUUGUAACUUAAAAAACGCAAAAUAAUCUUAGUUGGUUUAACUAAAUAUGAAAUUACAGAUAGGGUUUGUCUAGGUGUGGAUUCAUGUAUGUGAGUCUAAUAUCAUGAUUAACCCGGAGUUUUUAGCCGGUUCUUAAAGUCCUUAUUUAAGAACCAGUUCUUAAUUUUUUUAGUUAAAAGUUAAGAAACAGUUUCUUAACUUCCGCUAAGAACCUCAUCCUAAGAACCCGGGUUAAUCAUGCUCUAAGGGGGGGGGUGUUAUUUGUAAGUGAAUUUUCAUAAAUUUUGAAAAAUUUGAGAUUUCAUUGUUAUUGGUUCUUGGAUUUCAAAAAUCUUAAUAGCAUCCAUUGUUAUUGAUUUAAGAAUUUUCAAAAUCCAUUCAAAACUCUUCUAAUUCAAAAAGUUUUAGUUAUUAUUGAUUCUCUAAUUCUAAAAAAAUAUAGUGUUAUUGGGAGAUGAAUUCUAUUCAUUUUUACUAAUAAGACUCAACUUUCAAAAUAUCAUAUAUAACCUUGUGAUUUCCAAAAUCCAUGUGAAAAAAACUAGAAAACAAAAUAAUUAUUCUUACCAAAUAUCUAUUGCACCUUAAAUCCAAAUUAUAUGUCCAAAACUAUAAUUCAUUACAUUUAUAUACUUUUACAUUUUAGAAUAUAUAAUUAUUUUUAUAAAUAAUUAUCAUUUUGAAUAUAAAUAUUAAUAAUUACAUUUAUAAAUAUUAAUAAUUUUAAAAUAUUAUUUUUAAAAUAGUUUCAAAAAAAUUUUGAAUUUCAAAAAAAAAAAUUUGAGAGCCAAAUCUUGGGUUAUGCGAACAAACCGGAGUUUAAAAAAUAUUUUGAAAAAAGUUUCAAAAUUAUAAAAAUUAUUAAAAAGUUCAAAUUUGAAAACAUAUAAUUCGAAAUUAUAAAAGAAACUUCGAAGUUCAAUCGCUCAUCUUUAUGUAUUAAAAUUUUAUUUGGUAGUUUAUUAUUAGACAAGUUUAGAUUUGACCAAAAAAAGAAUAAUAAUUUCAUUACUAAUGAAAAAUUAAACAUGACAAAAUUAACCAUGCAUAGGACCUGUGGUUUAGUAUUUAAAAUAGGUUUGAUUGUGCCGCUAGUUCAAUUUCUGUUGAGAGGGGUAGAUUACCCUAUGUUUACCCCCAGAAAUAGAUAAUUAUUUGGACCGAAGGUCCAUACACCUCAUAGUUAAUAAAAUAAUCAUGUAACCUUCAUUUUUGGAAUAAACAACUCAAGUUAAAUAAGGUUAAAAGUAUAUGGACUAUGAAAAAGAGAUUAAAACCUCAUCUCUCUCAUUUUUACAACAAUAAUCUUUUCACUUUCAUAUUGUUCUUCUUUCUUUUUUUAAUUUGGAAUCUAAGAAGACAACACCUAUUAGAUUCAUUUUUUUUUUUUUUUUUUUGUGCAACAUUAGAUUCAUUAAUUUAUAUUUUUAAAUGCUACAAAAUAGUCGAUUGUGCGGUUGUAUCAUAAAUUCUGCUUGCGUUAAAACGUCCAAAUAUACUACAAAUAAUUAAAGAAAUGAAGAAAAAGGUGUUUCAUCUCUAGAUAAUUCAUUCUUCACCUAUCAGUUUUGGGAAUUAAUUUUAUAUAUUUCUGUAUUAUUCAAAUUUGUAUCAACUUUCUAUUGCAAUUAUUAAGUUUUAGCAUAUUAUAAAACUAUGAUACAUCAUGAUUUAACACUUGUGAAUUGACUUUCACGCAUUGGCGUAAAAUGUGUCAUUUUCAUUUGUAUUUACUAUUUAGAAAUAAAUCUUACCACCACUUUUCAUUUUGUUAUAAUUAGAAAAAUCAGUCCCUACAAUGCAUUCGCAUCCCCUUUUUAAUUUACUCCCUUUUAGUGUACUUUUUAAAAUGGCAAAUCUUCAAAAUAUCACUUUUCUAAGUUUAUAUCAUAGAAAUAGCAUUCAAAAAUUAAAAUGACCAAAAUAGCAUUUUAUCAUUUGAAAAUUUUAAUUUUUUUAUUUUUCAAAAUUUGAAAUCUUAUUCCCAAAACUUCAUUUCUAAACUCUAAACCCUAAACUCUAAAUUCUAAACCCUAAACCCUAAACCCUAAACCCUAAACCCUAAACCCUAAACCCUAAACCCUAAACCCUAAACUCUAAACCCUAAACUCUAAAUUCUAAACCCUAAACCCUAAACCCUAAACUCUAAACCCUAAACCCUAAACUCUAAACCCUAAACCCUAAACCCUAAAUCUUAAAUCCCACCCUUUAACUCUAAACCCUAAGUUUGUGACUUUUGAUAAAACAUUAAGUGCUAUUUUUGUGAAUUUUGACCUUGAGUGCUAGUUUGGGAAUAAAAACUUGAUUUAAUGUUAUUUUUGUCUUUUUCUCUUUUUAAAAAGCUGUUUUCUUUUUUCCAUCUAAUGAUUAACCCCGGUCUCUUAGCCAAGGUUUUUAACUCAUAAUUUGAUAUUUUUUAAUAUUUUUUAAUUUUUUUUUACACUUUUCGGCUAAGAGACGGACUCUUAUAUCUCUUAUUUAAGAGACGCUUCUUAGCUUUUCUUAGUUAAAAUCUAAGAAAAACUAAGAACCGUCUCUUAUCCGAAACUAAGAACCCCAGCUAAGAGACCGGGGUUAAUCACUCCACUCUAGAAUUAGCUUUUGGGUGUGAGUUAGGCCUAUCACUAAUAGGAUCCGACAAAUAAAAGUCUUCAAAACUAAACAAACCUUGUGAUAUUCCACAAACUCAAAGUUUAAAGGUUCCCCGCCUUUCUUCGCAAGCGAGUCAUUGACAUGUCAUGCUCAUUAUCAUCAAAACAUAUGUACAAGAAUGAAGCAUUAUCAUGGGGUUUGCACUAUCGUUAUUCAUUUGUCUCUCUCAACCGGCCUCGUUGGAUUAUGUGACUAUGCAACUUUGAUUAACCUAUUUUCUUCUCAAGUGAGUCAUGUUUUUAAUUAAUUUUCAUUAAUUUUACAAAAAGUUACAUGUUAACCUUGUUUCCUAAUAUCCCACAGUAUUGAAAGCCUCAGAUCAGCACGAUCUGCAUAAUAAUAAAAUAACCAGAGAAAUCAACUACUAAACAAUUGUAGCCAUGUAGAGAGAAAGGUUAGUAUUGUUGGCCGGUUCCUAUGAGCUCGCGGUAGAGAAUCAAGCUUGGCCCUAAGAGAAGUUGAACAUUCAAGAUUAGUGAUGGAUCGGGUCUGCAAACCAAAUUGUGUACCGAGAGUUUUUUUUUCCAAAUGACAUACAUAGACGCUUGAAAAGCGAGCUUAUAAGAAUCAAGACAAUGUUUGGCUCCCUUGUAGGGUUUUAAUCAUCUGAUGCUAUUCUCAAACUGAGUAGGAGGCAAGAGAUGUGCUUUGUUGGUAAAGAAAAGACCAUACCUGUUUUGAAGAAGGGCAAUCAGAGAAAAUAUGUUGCUCAUUUCAGCAGCUGCAUUGGGAUAAAUUACAAUUCCAAACAAGAUGUCGGCUUUGACUUUCGAGAUUUGGAAAAGUUCAAUAAUGCCUUAUUGGCAAAAGAAGCUUGGCGUCUACUAACAUAUUCUAACACACUCUUCGUUCGCAUGUUCAAAACAAAAUAUUAUAAGGAUGGAUUUGUAUUACAAGAUUCCUCUCAGCGUAAACAAUCAUAUGGAUGGUCAUCAAUAUUGAAUCAUUAAGCAUGGUGUUCUUUUUCAAUGUUGUAGAUGGGAAAUAUAUGGAUUCUUAUUUUUCUGAUAAUUGGAUCCCUACUAAUCUAUCUAAUGAUAAAUGCUGGUUAACAAUAUUUUGGAAUGAAUUCUCUAUCUUCGUAUCUUACGGAGACCGGCAGAGUAUUGUUGAAACAAAUUUAUCUGAGAAAAUGUUGUGGUCCAGAACAACCUAUUUUGGUCAUAUACAUUCAGAUUAUUGUAUUACUAGGCACGACUGAUGGAUUCAUGUGUUUAUGCUGUUACUCCACCAAGAGGCAAUCCUGUUAUAAAAAUAAGGGUAUGUACGUGAGCUGCCUAAUCAACCUAAACUUUAACACUUUCUUUGGAGGAUUAUAUCUGGAGCUUUCAGUACAAGAAAACAUAAGCUUAACGAAGAAUAUUUUUCCUCGUUAAUUUACGUCGAAUUUACGAGAAAAUUACUCGGAAAAAUAAAAUCAGCGUUAUUUCCUCGUAAAGUAACGACGAAACAGUUUCGUCGUAAAGUCGAUGUAAAGUGACGUGGCUUUUACGAGGAAAUCGUAUAUCCUCGUACAUUCCACGUAAACUUAGCGUGGUCUUUAGGAGGAAAUAAUUUACGUCUACUUAGCGACGAAAUUUUGAAUCCACCAACUUUGUUUGUCACACGUUUUUUUUUCGGCCAGCUAACUAAUUUUCGUCGUAAAUUCGUAGGAAAAUUACAACUACCAGAUUCGAAAAUUUUCUAUAAAUAGGGAUGUUUGAACAUCAUUUUAAACACACCAACAAAAAAAACGUGAAAGAAAAAAAAUGGCUGGCUCCGGGAAUAUUUUCGAGUUGCGGAAGUGGAUGUAUAUGCAUAGAGAUGCUAACGAGAGAAUGACGAAAGAAUACAUUGCGGGGCUGAAGACAUUUAUGCAUCAAGCAGAUUCAACACCGCUCGCCCAAGAAAGUGGUAAGAUGUUAUGUCCUUGUCAGAAAUGCAACAAUUCUAAAUUGGCUAACCGUAAAAAUGUUUGGAAGCAUUUAAUAAAUAGAGGUUUCACGCCAAAUUACUAUAUCUGGUUUCAACAUGGAGAAGGUUAUAAUUAUGAUCAGAAUGAAGCUAGUAGUAGUAAUAGCAAUUUUCAGGAAGAACCGGUUGAUCAUCAUUUGCAUAAUGAACAUAGUUACCAUCAGGAGGAGAUGGUAGAUUAUGAUAGGGUUCAUGACAUGGUAGCUGAUGCAUUCGUAGCUCAUGAUGAAGACGAAGAACCUAAUAUAGAUGCAAAAAAUUUUUACGAAAUGUUAAACGCGGCAAAUCAACCACUUUACAGUGGUUGUAGAGAAGGCCUCUCUAAUUUGUCGUUGGCUGCUAGAAUGAUGAAUAUUAAAACUGAUCACAAUCUAUCUGAAAGUUGCAUGAACGAAUGGGCAGACUUGUUUAAAGAGUAUUUGCCGGAAGACAAUGUGUCUGCUGAUUCUUAUUAUGAGAUUCAGAAACUGGUUUAUAGCCUUGGGUUGCCUUCGGAGAUGAUAGAUGUUUGCAUCGACAACUGCAUGAUCUAUUGGGGAGAUGAUGAGAAGUUAGAAGAAUGUCGAUUCUGCAAGAAGCCACGAUUCAAGCCGCAAGGACGGGGACGUAAUAGGGUACCGUACCAAAGGAUGUGGUACCUACCAAUUACAGACAGAUUGAAAAGAUUGUACCAAUCAGAGCAGACAGCUGGAAAGAUGAGAUGGCAUGCCGAGCAUACUCAGACGGAUGGUGAGAUGACUUAUCCAUCAGAUGCAAGAGCCUGGAAACAUUUUAACAAAGUACAUCCGGAUUUCGCUAGCAAUAGCCGAAAUGUGUAUCUCGGAAUAUGCACAUAUGGAUUUAGUCCGUUCGGAAUGUCAGGGAGACAAUAUUCAUUGUGGCUAGUCUUUCUUACGCAAUACAACCUACCACCGGAGAUGUGCAUGCAACGGGAGUUGCUAUUCUUGACCAUAUUAAUACCUGGUCCGAACCAUCCAAAAAGGUCCCUGGAUGUUUUCCUACGACCACUGAUAAAAGAGUUGAAGGAUUUGUGGUCAACAAGGGUGUGGACGUAUGACUGUUCAACGAAGACGAAUUUUACGAUGCGAGCGAUGCUUUUGUGGACCAUAAGUGACUUUCCUGCCUAUGGGAUGUUGUCUGGAUGGACUACACAUGGGAGAUUAGCUUGUCCAUAUAGUAAUAGAACGACAGAUGCGUUUCAACUGAAGAAUGGUAGGAAGACAAGUUGGUUUGAUUGUCACCGUCGAUUUUUUCCCAUUGGCCAUCUGUACCGAAGAAACAAGAAUUUGUUUAGGCACAAAAAGGUUGUGAGAGACACUCCUCCUCCAUAUCUAACUGGAGAACAAAUUGAAGCGCAAAUCGACUACUACGGAGCUAACGAACAGUUCAUUGGGUGGUAAUUGGCAUGUCCCUCUAAAUAUGCCUGAUUCUUACGGUGUUCAUCACAACUGGCACAAGAAGAGUAUAUUUUGGGAGUUGCCAUAUUGGAAGGAUCUUCUUCUGCGCCACAACCUCGAUGUGAUGCAUAUAGAGAAGAAUUUCUUUGAGAACAUCAUGAAUACAAUAUUGAAUGUCCCAGGGAAGACAAAAGACAACAUAAAAUCAAGGUUGGACUUGCCAGAUAUUUGCUCAAAAAGCGAGUUACAUAUAAAAAGCAAUGGACAAGUUCCAGUUCCGAUAUUCAGAUUGUCUUAGGAAAAAAAAGUUGGUGUUGUUCAACUGGGUGGCAUCAGAAGUGAAGUUCCCCGAUGGGUAUGUUUCAAAUCUCUCUAGAUGUGUUGAAAAGGGUCAAAAGUUCUAUGGGAUGAAGAGUCAUGAUUUUCAUUUGCGGAGCUACUUCCAACAAACGUACAUGAAGCACAUGCAGGUAGUGUUUUGUAGCGCAAUAAUUUUAUAACGGUUUAGUUUGCAAAAUAAUAUAUGACUAACAAUGUGUUUAAUUGUUUUUGGAAUAUAAAAGGCAAUAGAGCAUUUUCAGGGAUCUGAGCACACAUACUCUUAAAGAAGAAGUUGUGGAACAGCUUCAGGAGAACAUUUCCAUCUUAUUGUGCAACUUGGAGAAGAUAUUUCCUCCCAGAUUUUUUGACGUCAUGGAGCAUCUAGCUGUCCACCUCCCAUAUGAGGUGUUGCUUCGUGGACCUGUACAUUACGGAUGGAUGUAUCAGUAUGAGCGAGCCAUGAAAUAUUUGAAGGGAAAAGCAAGGAACCUCGCCAAAGUUGAAGGUUCUAUAAUUGCUGGAAGUUUGACGGAAGAAAUUUCUCACUUCACAUCGUACUACUUUGCGUCAAAAGUACGUACCCGGAGAAGAGCUCCAAGAAGAUAUAAUGAUGGUGGUGUUGCGCCAACAUAUGCAGUUGCUGGUGUUCCAGAUCUCUUUAGCCAGAUUGGGCGACUCGGAGGGAAGUCAAAAGAGGUUUGGUGGUCGAGUGAACAAGACGCUCAUAGUGCACACACCUAUAUUCUACUCAAUUGCGAGGAUCCAUUGAUGCGUUAUUUUGAAAGGUAACAUAUAUGGAGACUUCUAAACACAUAUAAGUAUAAAUCAUAUAAUUGCGAGAGAUUCAUUCAUAUAAAAUGUGAUUUUACAGCCUAUUUUUUUCUCAAGUCGAAGAAACAUUUCAUGGUAUAUCCACAAGUGACGUAGACAAAAGGAAAGAUCAACACUUUAUUAAGUGGUUGAGGAAUCAUGUAUUAAUUAACUCAAACUAUUUUUUCAUACAUGAUCUGUAUUUCAACGUUCUCUUUAUUUUUGCAAGUUGAUUAUAACGACGAUGCAGAUUAUCCUAAGUGGCUACACGAAGUAAUUCAAUCUCCACUUGUAAAGGUCACCACAUCACAGAUGUAUUUCACACGAGGCUAUACUUUUCACACAUAUGAGUAUGGUAGACAGCGGGCGACCAUUAACUAUGGAAUAUGUGUGAAAGGGGAAACAGAUUUCUACGGGAUCUUGACGGAGAUUAUGGAAGUCGAAUUCCCAGGGAUAUUGAAGCUGAAAUGCGUCCUCUUCAAAUGUGAAUGGUUCGACCUCGUCGUCAAAAGAGGUGUUUGGUUUAACAAAUUCGGUGUAGUUGCUGUCAACGGUGGACGAAGGUACAACAAAUUCGAGCCUUUCAUCUUAGCUUCACAAGCAGACCAAGUUAGCUUCCUUCCAUACCCUCGGAUGAGAGAUUCGGGUAUAAAUUGGUUAGCCGUGAUCAAAGUUACACCUCGAGGACGAAUCAUCAGUGGAGAAGAACCACAUUUGCAAGAAGAAAAGAUAAAUGAAGUCGAGGAACCUGAACAAGAAAUUGAUGACAUCCUUCUCAUUGAUCCGCAUAAUCACGAGUACGAAGAUCUUACUGACAAUGCCACAAAGGAAGCUGUUGAAGACGAGUUUAAUGAAAAUGAUGAUGUUUCUAGUGAUGACGAGAAUGUCGAUGUAUCGGAUUGAUGUAUUUGAUUUUGUGUAAGGUAAUGUGGGAGUUUGUUUUAUAAAUAAGAUAUUGAGAUAAUAAGUUAAGGAAUGGGGUUUGGAAUGGAAAGAAUAGAUUGAGGUGAAAGAAUAUAUUGAGUUUAAAGGGUAGAUGGGUUUGGGGUUUGGAAUAUAUGAAGUAGAAGAUAAGGAAGAUGAGGUUUGGGAUUUCAGAUUUUAGGGAUUUAAACAUAAUACUCGUUAAUUCCUCGUAAAUAAACGUGGAUAUUAUGACAAAAUAUAAAAAAAAGAACGCGGGACUAGUUAAUUCUACGUAAGAAUAAAUCAUCGUAAGGCACUCGCAAGUCAACGAGGAAAUAACGACGAAAUAUAAAAAUAAAGAAUGCGGGGUUCGUUAAUUCCACGUAAGCGCAAAUCGUCGUAAAUACCUCGUAACCAAAAAAAAGAAAGCUGGCCUUGCUAAUUCUUCGUAGAAUAAAAACUAGAAAAAAAAAGAAGAGAAGAGAAGAAAGAUAUUGGAAUCACAUGUGGCGAGACUUACGUAAGUCUAGCCCACAUGUGUUCCAAUAUCUUUCUUCUCUUCCUUUUUUUUCAAAUAUUUCUAAUUUGAAAAGCAUUUUGCUGAGUUGUGUGAUUUGAGAUAGGGUGUGAUUUGUGAGAUUUGUGAGAUUUGUGAGUUUGUGUGUGAUUUGUGAGUUUGUGUGGUUUGAGAAGGAAAGUUGCGGAUAUUUAUAGUAAAGCGGAGCUAGCUAAUUCCUCGUAAAAUGUUGACUCGUAAAUUCCACGUAAACUUAGUCGUCGUAAAAAACUCGUAAACCUAAACACAGGCCUUUGUAAUUCCUCGCUACUUCCUCGUACAAUAAAACACGGGCCUUUGUAAUUCCUCGUAAAGCUAAACACGGGCCUUUGUAAUUCCUCGUAACUUUACGAGGAAAUAACGAGGAUAAGUAAUCUUAUAUAUACUCCCGAGCGCUCACUCUUUCUUUCCUCUCUAAUUCCUCUCUAAUUUGAUUAGUUUAGGAUAGAUUAGGUGGUUAGUAUAGGGAAUUUAGAUAGGUUUACGGGUUUUAUGUUAAUUAGUGUUGAUUAGGUGGAUAAUGUAGGGAAUUAUACUGUUGAUGUUAAUUUUAAUUUUUUUUUUCCAGACGAUUCGAAGGAACAGACUUACUCCCCAUUACAGACAGAUGUUCCAUGAGCCUGGUAGUCAUUUAGACCCGUCGUUUUCUUCAGCUCCCGGUUCUUCGGGUCCGGAGACUGUCCCCGAGACUCAGUCUUCUCAGAGAGUCUCUCGGUCGCCUUCUUCUAGUGCACCAUCGGUUCCUCCUGUGCCUCCUCCGAUGGCUCCUCCGAUGAUGCCUCCUCCUGUGCCUCCUCCGAUGGCUCCUCCUAUGCCUGCCGAUGUUCAUCCCGAUUCGAUGGUGCCUCCGAGUGCUCCUUACUCUCAGUACACUGUCGAGGAGAUUCUCCGUCGGCCAAGCAGAGAAGGUUUACCAGUCAUCGACCCCGACCGACCGGACGGAACUUUGUGGUAUGUUACAUUAAUUUUUUUUUAAUUCGUUUAAAAUUCAUUUAUAACAUUAAAAAAUAAUUUAUAUUUUUAAUUUGCUUUUUUCAGGUGGGGGGUUGACGGAUGUCUUGCAUCGGACGUAACCGACACGAUCAAAGAUUACUUUUCCAUGCCACAUCCAAACUGGAGUAAGACGCCUCACUACGUCAGAAAGACGUGGUUCAAAAUUUACGCUGUAAGUUUCUAUUAAUUAAUUAUAUAUAUUAAAAUUUUUUCAUGAUUUAUAUAUAUUUCUUUUAAGAAAACUAAUUAUUUAUUUAAUUUUUUCCACAGCAAAAAUAUCAUUGGGCCUUGGGGGUCACUGAGAGGGUGAGGAAAGCGUUUUACGCGAAGGCGAAAGUUCGCUUGUUGGACACGGUCUCCAACUGGAAGGGUGACUAGAUCGUGAAGGGGUAUGAGCGUGGCAAACCCGCUGAGCUCACCACGGAUGUGUGGGAUGGCCUCAUCCAUUAUUGGCGUCUUCCUGAUUCCAUUAGAAUUGCUCAGUCUUGCUCUAACUCCCGUAACACUAUCGAUGAGCACGGGAACGGGCCGAUGCUUCACACUACGGGCCAAAAACCCCACGCCGGUGUCCGUAUGGAAAUGGUAAUUAAAUAUUUUAUUAAAUAAAUUUUUUAAUAUAUAUAUUUUUAUUCUAACUUUCUUAAAUGUUUUUUAGGCCAAAGAGAUGGGACAUCUCCCGUCUCUUAUGGAACUUUACGAGAGGACCCACAAGAACAAGGCGGACGUAUUUGUAGAUGGCAAGUCCGAGCAAAUCUACAACGACGUGGUUGCUCGGAUUGAAGACCGCCAGACCCAGCUGACCCAGCAGUCUACCGAUGGAUUACCCGUCACCCUAUCCACACUUGAAGUGGAUAAGAUUUACGAGGAGGUAAAUUUUCUAAAAUUUUAAUUUUUUAUUAUUCAAUAAAUUUAACUUUAAAGUUUUACUAACAAUAUUUAUUUUUUGUUUUUAAGGUUAUCCCUAAAAAAAAGGGACGGACGUUAGGGAUUGGUUCCGUCAACGAUGUUCCGAGAGCGACAUCGUCUUAUGGUCAGCGACGCGAUGAUGAAGUCACUGAGCUGCGUAACGAGUUGGCCUCGACAAAAGCUCGUAUGGGUGGAGUCGAGGGCUUCUUGGACGUUAUAGCGGCCACAAAUCCGGAAUGGGAGUCCAUGUUGAGGAACAUGCGACAACAACAUCCCAUUCCAGGCGAGUCAUCCGACACACAUAACGAGGCGGAUGUUGCGAGGAGGAGUGAGGAAUUCUACCAGACGAUGAACGACCCUUAGUUCUUUUUUUCCGGUUGUUGUAUUAUAAAUUGAAAACUUAUUUAUAUAUAAAAUAUAUUCGUAUUGAUUUGAUUUUUAUUUUAAAUUAUAAUUUUAUUAAUAAAUUAAAUAAUUUUAAUUAUUUUUUUAAUUAUAUUUUUAAAUUCUGUAAAAUAAAAAAAACAAAGUAAAUUCGUAGCUAAUUUACGACCUAUUUACGUGGAAACUUUACGAGGAAAUGACGAGAAAAAAUAAACGAGUAUUUUACGAGGAAACAUUUACGAGGAAAUGAUGAGGAAAGAUAAACGAGUAUUUUACGAGGAAAUACUUUCGUGGUAGUUACGUGUAUUUUGCGAGGAAACACUUUCGAGGUAUUUACGUGUAGUUUACGAGGAACACGUUUCGAGGUAUUUACGAGGAAAUAUAGCGACCUCCUUACGUGGAAUAUUUACGUGGUCUUUACGACGAAAUGAUGUACUUCGUUUUUACGACGAAAUAUUUUCCUCGCUAAGUUACGACGAAUUGGCGAGGAAAUAUGUGUUACGACGGACGAGUAACGAGAAAACGUGUUUCCUCGCUAAUUCCUCUUAAAGCCUUUUUUACGACGAACUCACGAGGAAAACCGCCUUUGUUAAGCUUAUGUUUUCGUGUAGUGUUUAGGCACGUUUAUGAGACUUAAUCCCAAAGUAUUCAUAUGGAUACUACUUGCCAACGAUGUUGUUUUUCGGUAGAAACAAUCAUCGAUCUCCUCUUCGAAUGUCCAAUUUCUCAGGAAACUUGGUGCAUGUCCAACACUCUACCAGCUGAGCCUUCAACUGAUUUUGGAAACAAAUAUUUGCCCUAUAGUUAAUAUCCUUGGACAUUGAGACAGCUGUCCAAGCACAGCUACUUCCUUAGUGGCUAUUGUGGCGGAUUCGGAAAUCACACAACAAUCUCAUUUUGAAGAAACAUAUACCCUCUCCGCUGAAAUAUAUAUCGCUUGUGACUGGAUGUUGGCAAUUACUGUAUUUGGUCAGGACGAUGCGAUGGCUGAGCAUAUUUCAUUACAUUCAUUAUGUAUGUCAUAGUGGACACACCCUCCAUCAGGUGUGUGUAAGUGUAAUUUCUAAGCGGUCAUGAUAAUCAAAAGAGACGAGUGGCUGUUGGUUGAAUUGGCAUAGUGAUACUCUUAGAGUUCCAACAUAUUGAGGUUUUGUAACUCUUGGAGAAGCGUAUGCUGCUCUUGAAGCAUAAGGAAAAAGCAUAUUUAAUGGCAAUUCAAACUACUAAAUUCAUAGGAUAUGACUCGAAUCAUUUUUGAAGGCGACAACGAGAUCCUUAUGCGAAAUUUAGAGAAGAAAUAUAUAAGAACUACUCAGUCCACAAUCUUUUGUCAUGAUAUCCAUUUUUGGUUCUCCAACAAGUUAUUUCAUACUAUUCUCAUAGAGGACCACCGAACUUAAGUUUUUAUUAUGUAUGUUGUUAUCCUCCACUUUGGUUAACCCAAACUUUAUUUUAAAGAUUUUUUUUGAAAUUUAAAGGUUAUUUAUAUCCACAAUUAAAUUUAAUCCUUUUUUUAUUAUUUGAAGAGCAUUAAAAAUAAAUAACCUUUAGUUCAUGUGUUUAUUACAAGUGUGCCAUUUCUUACGUGGCAACUCCACAAGCUUCCUCACCUAUUCUAUUUAAACCCCUUUGUUAACUAGAGUAAUUACACAUCAUGCCAUUGAUCAAAAUUUUAUAAUUACCUUAGUUUUGUCUACAUUUGUCACAUAUAUAUGUUGAUACGUAUUACAUCAAACCUUAUCAUUUAUUUCUUGCGUUAGUUACCUUAAUCGAAGUUCUACGUAUUACAUCAAAUAUUUUAAAAUUAUGUUAAUUACCUUGACUGAAGUUUUUUCAUUAAUUUGUUUCAAUACAAAAACAUUACAGACAUACGUAGUGGUCUAAUUUUUUAUUCAAAAUGAAUAUAGAUGCGAAAAAGUUAAUGUGCGAUUAUCAAUCAAAGUUUGUUUUCUGAAAAAUCCUAAAAAGUAUUUGAUGAUCAAUACGUGCUCAAGUGAUUGAUUUUCUUAAAAAUGCGAAAAAAAUAUUUGUUCUCUUAAAAAUAUAUCAAGAGAAAAACUUUUUUUUCUUAAAAUAGUGAAACAGAAGAACCAUGCAUAUGGUAUAUACUUGCCCCGUUUCAUUAAAUUGUUAGAUGAUCCCCGCCUUGCGAUUGUAGAAACUAAGGUACAAUACGAUUUUCUGGCAUACAAUUAUAAAAACUUACCUUAGGUGAUCUAUCGUAAUUAAGAUUUUAACGCCAGCUUGCAUAAUGCAAAUAAUGGCGGAGCAAAUUGCCCAUGAUUCAAACGUGAUUUGCAAGGACGAAAUUGAUUGAUGAUUGGGAAAAAGGAAACUUCUAAUAACUUUGAUAUAUUUUUAAAUUACAAAUUUGGUAAAUUGAUGGUAAUAAUACGUGAUUUGCGAGGACUUGACUUUUGUAUAUAAGGAACGUAGAUUAAGGUUCAAAUUAUUAUAAUCAAUUAAUAAUCGUGAACUUUCUUGAAUUUGUUCAAUUGCGAUUGAUAAAAGGAAGUUUGCAUUAACUAUUUACAAUAUUAAAGUAAUUCUCGACUAAGAUUGGAGCGCAAGUUAUGUGUAAUAUUUGAUUUAGUUACAGCCAUUAUUUUGAAUCCAUAUGACCACAUGGCGAUUCCUUUUAGUAUAAAUAUACGGCUUCUAUAAUUCAGAAAACUCACCACACCUUUCUUCUCGACUUUGCUCAUAUCAAAACAUUCUCUCAAGCAAUCAAAUGGCUGGUUUUAACUCUGUUUCCGAUUUGAAACCAUUCAAGACAUUGUUUCUUUUAUAUUUUAUUAGUCUAUUGCUUAUGUUUAGUUUUAUUUUAUAUUUAUAAUUUAUUUUAGGCAAACAAAUAUACAAUUUUUAAACAAAAAUUCCGCAGCUUAAUUUAGAUUGACAUACUAAAUUUCGUCUAACCCUUACUUUAUAACAUAUAGUAUUUCUUGCUAUGACAUUAACUUUUAGGGAGAAUUGCCAAGUGUGACUCAAAACUUGGAGUCAAACCCAAAACAAUACCCUAACUUGGGUCAAAGGCAAAAGUAACCUAAAAGGCUAUUGAAAUUACAACUAUCCCCUUGUGACCAAACAAAAAAACGGAAUUUUUUUUACGUUUCUACCCCUCGCAAGUCGUCUGUUUAGACGACUUGAAAAUAAGUCGUCCAGACGACUUAACUGAAAGUCGUCUGGACAGUUAGUCUUAAACAUAAUUUAAAAAUUUUGUAAAAAAUAUUUUGAUAAUUGAAAAAUGGGAAUUAUGUAAUUAACAUAUGUCUUAGGAGGUAUAAAUUAAGAUAUAACAAAUUUCAAUUGUUUUCAGCAUAGAUGAGUGAAAGUAGUGAGUCAUGAUAUUCUUUAGUUUAUGUUUCAUCAACAUAUGUUGUAGUAUUGUAUGUGUUCUUCGGGUUAGAUUUUGGAAAGCAUUAAAACCGUUUUUGAAAAUUUUUAAAAUUACUUAUGCGUGUUCAUUUCUGUGUAUAGUAAACACUAUUUAAGUAUAAUUUGAUUUUAUAACGUGGUUAGUUAGUUAAUCUAGUCAUUUUAGUUUAGGGGUUCAUUUUAGGGUCUAGGACGACUUAAUAUUUUGUCGUCUGAAAACAGACGACUAAAUAUUAAGUCGUCUGUUGUACAUUAUCAGCCAGAAUAAGUCGUCUAAACUGGACCAAACCUUAAAGUUUACCAAUGUACUUUUAAAGCUAACCGGAUUAUUUACCCAAUAUAUAAGGUGAUUUUUUCUUUUUUUGUUUCAUUUUUCGCGAAAUUCAGAAACCCUAACAGUUCUCUCUCAAAGGCGAUUUCGAAUUCCCACGAUUUCCGAACAAACCAUCGUUCUCAACGUCGGCUAUCUAUCUCACUUCAUUCUCACCGUUGUCGCCACAGCUUCUUCUAACCCUAGCGCCGCCGAUUCCUCUAAACCCUAGCGCCGCCGAUUCCUCUAAACCCUAGCGCCGCCGAUUCCUCUAAACCCUAGCGCCGCCGAUUCCUCUAAACGCCGCCGAUUCCUCUCCGAUUCCUCUAAACCCUAGCGCCGCCGAUUCCUCUAAACCCUAGUGCUGCCGCUUCCACUAUUUCCGAAUAAACCGUCGCCCUCGCCACCGUGGUCACCAACGUUCUCACCGCCGCUUCCUCUAAACACUAGCGCCGCCGCUUCUUCUAAACCCUAGCGCUGCCGCUUCUUCUCUGUAAACCUUAGCGCCGUUUCUCUGUAAACCCUAACGCCGGUAAGUCAUCAAUCUCGAGGAAAAGAUGAACAUAAAACGUUGUCUCUAUCAAUUUACUCAUUCUCACCGUUUCACGUUUAUUUUUUCAGAUCUAUAACCGCAAUGACGAGUACUCCAACUCCUUCUGCGACUAAUCAGGUCCGCUUUGUACUGGAAGACUUGUAAGUAAUUUAAGUCGUCUGGAAAGUCUUCUAACUGGACGACUUAGUAGAUGACUUAAAUAUAAGUCGUCCAUUUGGAAGACUUUCCAGACGACUUUCCAGACGACUUAAUUAUAAGUCGUCUACUAAGUCGUCUGGACUUAUAUUGUUGUCUUUGAUUAUUUUGCAGACAAAAAGGAUGGAUAUUCCAGAACUCCCCCGUAGGUUAUACACAUCAGGGGAAGAGCCAGAAGCCCACAAUAGCAUUUUGUAUCAUACGGAUAACAGCAAGUUGCAUACUGCUCUUAGGGAAGCUCUUACUGAUGACGAAUUUGAAGAGUUCAAGGAGUCGAGUUUGGGAGUUUUCAUCAAGUUCAAGGAGCAGGGAUUUGGUUGGGCUUCAAGGCUGGUUCACUACAUGCUCAGUUUCAAGCUGGACAUUAAGAAGAAGUAUGAGAUGUGGUCUCUCGUUGGUCCAGAACCUUUGAGGUUUUCACUGUUAGAGUUUGAAAACCUCACUGGUCUAAACUGCGAGUACAUCGAGGACCUUGAGACACCAAAAUGUUACGUUACCCAAGAGAUGGUUUCUUUCUGGGGGAUGCUGGGAGUUCAUCUGGAAGCUGGGCCAACUACUGAUCAGAUAAUAGCAGCACUGAAGAGAUGCGGGGAUUGGUCCAGGGAAGAUCGCAAGCGGCUCGCGUACCUCUCCAUCUUCACUGGAUUCAUUGAAGGGAGAAAGUUUUCAACCGCUACACGAUCUACUCUGGCAAGGCUAGUGAUGGAUUUAGAACGGUUUGAGAAUUAUCCAUGGGGGAGAGUCGCGUUUAAGGUGCUGAUGGACUCUUUGUGGAACAAAGAAAUUACUGGCUGUUACACCGUGGAUGGGUUUAUACAAGUUCUUCAGGUCUGGGCGUACACAGCUAUGCCGGAAUUGGGUGCUAGUAUUGGUGGUCCCAGAGCAGACAGUCCGUCUCCACCGAUACUGGCUUACGAGGGCAGCAGAGGCCGCAGAUCAAUGAAAGCUGCUAUCUUGAGUCAGGUAUUUACUUCAAUCCAAAAGACUGCGCAGACGACUUAUAAUAAGUCGUCUGGAAGGUCGUCCAGCUGGACGACUUAUCGGACGACUUAAUUAAGUCAUGUGGAAAGUCUUCCCAGCUGGACGACUUAUCGGACGACUUAAUUAAGUCGUCUGGAAAGUCUUCCCAGCUGGACGACUUAUCGGACGACUUAAUUAAGUCGUCUGGAAAGUCUUCCAGCUGGACGACUUAUUAGACGACUUAUUAUAAGUCGUCUGUUUGUAGACGACUUAUAAUUAAGUCGUCUAUUUAGUAUUUUUUUUCAGAUAUCUAACUCGAUUCUUCUAUUUACUGCAGACCCGCGUGAUCAACUUUGUUGAGAAGGACAUUAGUGAAAUGUGGCCAAAAUGGGACUCUGAUGUUGAGGACCUGCCCGCGGAGAACAUCAUUAAAGUCAUGUAUGAGCGGAGACCGUGGAAGUGGACCAUGGAUUGCUGGGAAGUCACUGGUACUAAGGUCUAUACAAAACCUAAGGUUGUGACUCCAUCGAAGAAAGCCAAAGAGAUGGUUGUGUUGGAGGAGGAGGAGGAGGAGGAGGAAGACAAUCCAAGACCUCAGAAGAAAGCUCGUAAAGUGGCUCCUAAAGUGGCUAGUGAAGAGGCUAGAGAAGAGGCUAGAGGGCUGACCAGAGAGGAUUUGGAAAUUAUGUUCAAGGGCGUAGCUGACUGCAUGAAAGAAGGGUUUAAGAAGUGCAUCAGGGAGUUUAGGAAGUAGUCCGAUAGAUUGGAAGCUGUGGAGAAGAAGGUUGGUGUCACCAAUCAGGCUACCCCUCCACCUCUAACCAAUCAGGCUACCCCUCAAGAUAAACAGCCUACCCCUCUUGCCAAAGAAACCGGGGGUAGUAACAAACAGGCUACCCCUCAUGCCAAUGAAACCGUGGUUAGUAACCAGCCUCCUCCUCAUCAAACCAAACAGUAGCCUCCUCCUCCUCAAAAGAAACAGCCUCCUCCUCAAAAGAAACAGCCUCCUCAAAUCAAAGAGGUUAGUAUCAAAUCCAGGGUUAACUAGUUGUCCAGACGACUGUAAAAGUUGUCUGGACGACUAGUUGACCCUGGACGACUUAAACGUAAGUUGUCUGGAUGACUAGUUGACCACGGAAGACUUAAUUUUAAGUCGUCCAGGGUCAACUAGUCGUCCAGACGAUUUAUAUUUAAGUCGUCCAGGGUCAACUAGUCGUCCAGACAACUUUUAUUUAAGUCGUCCAGGGUUAACUUGUGUGCAACUUUUAUUGCAGAGAUGGUUGCCGGAGGAUACAGCAACCAAGGCGAACUCGGUAUAUAAGAUCUUGCCGGAGGAUAAAGCAGAUGGUGUCACCUCCAAAGAGAUUGUUGCUGUCACUUCCACCGAUCACCAACCGAGCCUCGCUUCCACCGAUCAAAAACCGAGCCUCGCUUCCACCGAUCAACAACCGAGCCUCGCUUCCACCGAGCCAAGCGAUCCAGUUUCAGAACCGAGUCUGGUUGUAUUGGACAAGCGUGCAAAGAGUAGACGAGCGAAGAAACCUGCUCCCACUGUGAGAUCUCCUUAUACGGCAGAGAAAAAAAAAGAUAAAGUGGCAGCCUAUAAUCCAUUUCCGCCAGUAAACAAAGAUAAGUUGAAGGAACUCGCUGAUUGGUUGAAAACUGAUCCGUAAGUGAUUGCUUUACCCAUAAUAGCUUGAUUUAGUCGUCCAAAACUGAUUGCUUUUUUGUUUGCAGUCAUUAUUCAACUAAGACCGAGGACAAACCACGUACAUCACCAACAAGGUGGUACCACUUCCUCCGGACAGCCAGAGAAUGGCUGGAAGACUGCGUAAGUCUUCUGCACACGAUUUAAGUCGUCUACAAAGUCGUCCAAGUAGACUACUUUCCAGACGACUUAAAGAUAAAUCGACCACGUAGACGACUUUUAUUUAAGUCGUCUGGUAACUUCUAACUUGUUAUAUUUAAUAUGCAGCAUAUAGAUGCUUGGAUUAAUGUGCUAAGGCAGAGGUAUCAGGAGAACCCACAAGCUUUCAGGAGCGAGCGAAUGUGCUUUCUGGAUCACAACUUUUCCCAGUCUUGGAGAGAGCAGUAUCAGCUCUUCAAAACAUCGGAACCUGAUCACAAAGGUUAAGGAAGAGUUCUACCUGGUGGGGCGUCGAAUUUUUAUGACGGAUCAAUACCUUCAUUUUGCCAAUCAAACAAGAAGUGGGGGGAGGACAUUGAUGAUAUAUAUGCGCCAGUGAACUUGAACGACAAGCAUUGGGUUGCUAUUUGGAUAUCGAUCCCUAAGAGGCACAUAGUCGUCUGGGACAGCAUACCUUCAUCUAGUGUACCAGACGCAUGGGAUGCGAUAAUGGAGCCUUUUCUCCAGAUGGUCCCUUAUCUGCUUGUUGAGUGCGCAGCCACCGACGAAAUACGGGUCAAAUACGGGUUGGAGCCAUACACAUAUGAGAGACCGCUGAAAGGUGUACCCACGGCCAACAAUGGUGAUUGUGGCGUGUACGCUGUAAAGUACAUUGAAUGUCAUGCUCUUGGGGUCUCCUUUGACCCUAAAGACUUUGAUAGGUGCAACGCGAAGAAAAUGAGGGAUAAUAUGGCGGUGGAUAUAUGGAAGGAGCUUGUUGAUCAGCAUUUGAAAGAAAAUGUGGAUGGUGAUAAGUUCGUGGGCAUGUAUGAUUAGAUUUGUGUUUGUAUUUGAACUUGUCUUUGUAUUUGAACAUGAUUUUUUAAUGAGCGAAGUAUUUGUAUUUCAGCUUGUCUUUGUAUAGAUUUGUAAAUAUAUAAGUUGUCUGGAAGAAAUAAGUCGUCUGGAAGGUUUUCCAACUGGACGACUUACAAAUAAGUCGUCUAGAAGGUUUGGACGACUUAUUAUAAGUCGUCUGGAAGGUUUUCCAACUGGACGACUUACAAAUAAGUCGUCUAGAAGGUUUGGACGACUUAUUAUAAGUCGUCUGGAAGGUUUUCCAACUGGACGACUUACAAAUAAGUCGUCUAGAAGGUUUGGACGACUUAUUAUAAGUCGUCUGGAAGGUUUUCCAACUGGACGACUUACAAAUAAGUCGUCUAGAAGGUUUGGACGACUUAUUAUAAGUCGUCUGGAAGGUUUUCCAACUGGACGACUUACAAAUAAGUCGUCUAGAAGGUUUGGACGACUUAUUAUAAGUCGUCUGGAAGGUUUUCCAACUGGACGACUUACACUGGACUUCUAAAAAUAAAAUACACUGGACGACUUAGUAGAAGGUAGUCUAAAAAUAAAAUACAAUUGAAGGGAUAGUAGAAGGUAGUUUAAAAAUAAAAUACUUGAAGGGAUAGUAGAAGGUAGUCUAAAAAUAAAAUACACUUGAAGCGAUAGUAGAAGGUCGUCUAAAAAUAAAAUACACUGGACGACUUAGUAGAAGGUCGUCUAAAAAUAAAAUACACUGGACGACUAAAAAUUUAGUCGUCUGGACGGGUAAUCAAGACUGGACGACUUAAAUUUAGGUCGUCUGGACAACUAGUCAACUGGUUGUGUACAUUGUGGUUUCGUAUGGCCAGUUUCCUUGCAGUUUGAGCAUCUCUGUGCCCUGUGUUUCUUCCUGGGUUUGUGUCCUCUCAUCCUAGAUAGCUCCAACCAAGAUUGCCAUCUUGAUUUCUUCGGUCUCCCCCGACCACGCUUUAGUUCUGGAGGAAAGCAUUCUCGUUCCUCAAUAUGUUGUGACACGAUAGGAUAUAUAUUCUCUGAGUAUCCUGCAUACAGAUAAUUCUUUGAGUACAGUGGACAUACAAGUGUGGAGAUAUGCAAACCAGCAUGUGUUCCAGCAGCUAUAGCAUGAGAGCACGGUAUUUUCUCCACUCCAUAGACACCACAAUCACACUUUGCAUGUUCCAAAUCAACCACACAGUCCAUUUUGCCACCUUUGACAAAGAAAUGCCAUCCAUCAAUUGGUUCGACCGUCAUCGUAUCCGCUAUCUCUUCUCGAACAGCAAGCAAGUAUUCAACACCCCCGCUAUGUUCAGUUGUGAGACUCAAAGCAUCUUGUCUCCUUUUCCAAUACCAUUUUUCUAACUUCUGCCUUAUGAACUCCAGCAGGAACGUAAUCGGAAAUCCUCUUGCUCGCUUCAGUGCGGAAUUAAUAGAUUCAGCAAUGUUGCUUGUUUUUAUGUUGAACCUGUUCCCCUUACAAUAAACCCUUGACCAUAGCCUGACGUCGGCUUUCUCCAAAUACGUUGCAAGUUCCGGGUUUGCACUCCGUAUCUCAGCCAUGUACCGGUCAAAAUCGUAAACCGUGUGAGCAUAAGCAGCCCCUUUCACCAAGUACAUGAGAUGUUUCCCUUUAAACUUUUUGACAAUGUUAUCUUGAAGGUGAUAAUAACAUAUUCCUCGGGUUGCCCAAGGAAACACCUUAUCACACGCACUUUUAAUGGCCUUGUGCCGGUCGGAGACUAUCACCAGAGGCUUGUCAUGAGAUAUACAACUAGCCAAUUUUGUGAAAAACCAUUCCCAAGAAGGUACAUCUUCCUCAUCCACGAUCCCAAAAGCCAAUGGGAAUAUCUGAAAAUUGCCAUCUUGUGCGGCUGCAACUAACAUAGUUCCUCCAUACUUUCCACUUAGGUGAGUUCCAUCCACCACAAUGACCCUUCUCUGAUACUUAAAACCUUUGAUAGAAGCUCCAAAAGAGAGAAAUAGAUACUUAAAUCUUUUCAUAGAAUCAAGUUCUAUCGCCGUGAUAGAAUCAGGAUUUGCAAUGGAGAUUUGCUCGAGAUAUGAUGCUAGACGCGAAUACCCUUCUUCUGCUGAUCCUCUCACCAAUCUUUGUGCAUAUAACAGUGCUCUGUAUGAAGUGGUGUAAUCAAGCGCCAUGCCAAACAUGUUCCUCAUUGCAUCAGUGAUAUGCUGCGGAGUUAUCCCAUCAAUGAUUCCAACACGAUCAAUGAAAAGACUACCUACAUACUUCGGAGUACAGUGUCUCCGCUGAGCGAUUCGGUCUCCCGCUGAGCAUAAAUGUUUUUCCACAUACUUUGUUACCCAAAACGUGUUUGUCCCAUGUUUGACACUCGCUCUGACCUUCCAUCCACAAUAGCUAACCCGACAUGUUGCCACAACGAGAGUUUUCGUUGAUUUGUAUAAUCUGAAAGAAAACUUACCCCUCACUGCUGCCAACCGCAGCUCUGAAAGCAGUGCACCUUUGCUAACAAAACUCUGGUUGACAUAGAUACUGGUACCAUUCGAUUUUCCUCCUUCAAUAGCAUUUGUCUUAGCAUAUGUCUUUUGGAUUUCUUCAAAACAAAUAUUAUCAUCAUCUUCCUCGUCCUCAUCUGGAACCUUUCCAUAAAGACUGUAAUCCCCACCAUUCUGAUCUGUUUCACCAACAAUAGAAUUAUCAGCAUCCUCCUCCCCAUUUUCCUCCUCCCCAUCUUGAUUUUCAUCUUCAACAAACUCAUUAUCACCAACAUCUUCAAAACAUUCAUCAGCUUCAUCAUCAUCACCAACAUCUUCUUCCCAUUCACCAGCUUCAUCAUUAUCACCAACAUCUUUUUCCCAUUCACCAGCUUCAUCAAUAUCCCUUUUCUCUGAAACCGUUUCGACCUUGCUGCGGCUUGAUACACAAAGACAUACUCUAUGGGUUUUGAGUAUCUCCAGCAAGUUUCGAACUUGUCUAUCACUUGUAACAUGAAUGGGAAGACUGCCUGGAGCCAUCAUCAUUUCUGCUGGUAAUGAGUAGCUAAUCUCCACACUCACUGUUCUCAUGUCCAGGUUAUAAUCUUCUUGAGCCAUUGCAACAAGUUCAGCAUGUGUUGAAUCUUCAUUCAAUAAAAACAAUCUUGCUCCUUUGAGAUCAUCAACCACAAAAUCCCAACGGAAAUCUCUCAACAACCAUUCUCCAUACACUGCAUGUAACUGAAAAAUCAUCUGCAAAUAUUCAAAAUAAAACACAUUAGUAAACAUAGAGAAAAUGAAGAAGUUCAAUAAACAUUGCCGCAGACGACUUAGCAUUAAGUCGUCCAGAAGACUUAAAGGUAAGUCGUCUAAAGAGGUCACUUUUGCAAUUGAAAAUUAAAAGGGACGACUUAAUUCUAAGUCGUCCGGCUUUGUUUGUUAAAAAAAAAACUUCAGACGACUUAUAUAUAAGUCGUCUACGAGAAACGGGCUAGUUUUGCAUUUGACCGAAUCGUGUCAGAUCUUUGACUAUUUCUGGACGACUUAUAAUUCAGUCGUCUCUGGGAAAGUUAAAAUUUCAAUAUUUUAUGAAAACUUGACGACUUACGUGUAAGUCGUCCUAGGUUAGUUUUGUAAUUGAAAAAUAAAACUUGAAAUUUAACUUUCUCCAGACGACUUAGAUGAAAGUCGUCCAGCUAAACGACUUAAUUUAAGGUCGUCCGGGAUAAGCAAGGUUUGACCAGAAAAUUGGGAAAAAUUCUGGACGACUUUGCUUUCCCCGGACGACUUUAAAUUAAGUCUUCUGGAGGGACGACUUUAUAUUAAGUCGUCUGGUUAAAGUUAAAUUAUGAAGUUUUAUUUUUCAAUUACAAAACUAACCUAGGACGACUUACACGUAAGUCGUCAAGUUUUCAUAAAAUAUUGAAAUUUUAACUUUCCCAGAGACGACUGAAUUAUAAGUCGUCCAGAAAUAGUCAAAGAUCUGACACGAUUCGGUCAAAUGCAAAACUAGCCCGUUUCUCGUAGACGACUUAUAUAUAAGUCGUCUGGAGUGUUUUUUUUAACAAACAAAGCUGGACGACUUAGAGUGUUUUUUUUAACAAACAAAGCUGGACGACUUAAUUUAAGUCGUCCGUUUGACCAGAAGACUCAUCAGUAAGUCUUCUACAUACAGAUGACUUACUAAUAAGUCUUCUACGCGAACAGAUCUUGAAAAAAAAUUCAAAUUCGUACCUUAAACUAGGUGAGAUGACUUCGUUUGCACACAGGGUCUUCUCCAACCACCCAGAACCUCAAACGAAAGCAACCGUAAGUCAAAACGAAAGAAAUAUGGCUCUGUCAACCAUAGCCCAUAUUUUGAAUCAAAAGCUUGAGUUUUUUGGAUGAAUAUAGAGAGAAAGUGAAAGAAAUGUUGUUUUUAGUUCAUAACAAUUGAAACAGAGAGAGUGUAAAGAGAUUUACGUGCAUUAAAGGGCAUUAAAAGCUCCAAACAGUUCGUACAAGGUUGUUGCCACUAUUCAUUGCAGUGGCAAUAUUGUAAAUACUUGAAGAAGAUGAGGUUGAGACAGUAAAGAAGCCAUUUUCGAAAAAAAAAAAUGUUAAUGGCAUUUUCGUAGAUAAAAUGCAGGUGUGGGGUUAAAAUCUCAAAAAAAAAAAAAGGAGUCAAAAGAAAAGAUUAGUUUUCUGUUUGACUCCAAGUUUUGAGUCACUUUUGCAAAAAGUCCUAACUUUUAUUAUGUCUACAAAUUAAAAGUGAUAAUAUUUUGAAAUCUAUUUACUCCGCGCAGGGCGCGGGUUAUCACCUAGUAUAAACUAAAAGAUAAGAAAAAGAAUUGGAAAAAUAAAUUAUGUUUCUUAUAAGAAAAAGAACGGAGUGAGAGUAAAUCUAUCUGUUGACUAGGGGUGGGCGUUCGGGUACCCAUUCGGGUUCGGUUCAGGUUUAUUCAAGUUUUGGGUUUUCGGUGUUAAAGAUUUCUGUCCCAUUCGGGUAUUUCUAAAUUUCAGUUCGGGUUUGGUUCGGAUCUUUGCGGGUUCGGUUCGGGUUCCGAUAACCCAUUUAAAUGUUUUUUAAAAUUUUAAAAUUCAAUAUAUAGUUUAAAUUUCUCAAAAUCUGUAAAUAAAAUACUAUAUUACAUAUAAAUUUGAAUAAUAUAUGUCAUAAUACCUAAAUUUAACAUAUAAAUUGGUUUGGUUUGAAUAUUUUGAUAGAGAAUCAGUAGAUAUUUCAAGUGCUUUUGGUGUUUUGAGUAUAUUUUAGCUAUUUUAGACAUUUAUUUUUGACUAUUUGUAUAUAUUUUCAAGUAUUUUAGACAACUUAAAAGUAUCUUAUAUAUUUUGGAUGUUUUAAUAUACAUUAAAUAUAAAAGUAAUUAAUAUAUUUAGAUAUAUAAAUCUAUUUCGGAUACAUUCGGGUACCCGAAAUACUUCGGUUCGGGUCGGGUUCUGAUACGCCCUAAAUUGAAGGAUCACUCUAAGGUUGGUGGAUUGGAUAAACCUUGCACCGAAUGAGCUAGAAAGCACAAACGAUCAAGGGAUGUGGAUCGAAUGGUGACACAAGAUGUGCGGAAAAUCUCUUGAUACUACCAACUUCUAAGCCCGAAGAUAUGACACACUCCGACCACUCAAAAGAUAAGAUGUUCGAUGAAGAACAAAUGAUUCAACAAGUUAAAAGGAAAUGUUUUUCUUAAAAUGUUGAAUGAUUAAAACAAUACAAUAGCAAGCCUUUAUAUAAUAGACUGUGGAAGAAAUAAAUAUUCUAGUCAAUCCUAGAAACUAUAGAGCUCUUAAAGUCAUAAAGAUUUGACUAGGAAUAUUGAUUUGACCAAAGACCAAGACUGUUGACCAAAUAUUGAAACUUUUGGUCGCAGAACUCUUCGAGUGGUUCCGUCCUUUUGCAUGGUUGAAGAUCUCGGAAUUACCGUCAGAUUGAUAUAUUAUACGACCAUGGCUUGUAUUUUCUUGGUGGGCCUUUCUUGGACAAAUCCAAACCCUGAUUUUUUUAUUGAACAUAAGGCCUCCACGUUCUGCAUCAAGCCCAUUAGCCUCUCUUGUUCUAGAACUUCAUGGAUCAAACCGAUAAGGCCCAUAAAAUACCCAUUAAGCCAAGCUAUGAUCAGUUGCUUAGCUGGUUCGUACCUUAAGCUCCUCGUUGAGACAUAGCUGAUGAUUUGGGUCGCAUCAGGUUCGGUUUCGGUUUUCUGGAUAACAAAAUUUUGAACCCGUUCGGAUAUUUAAUUAAUUUCAGUUCGGGUUCGGUACUAUUUUUUUGGAUCGGGUUCGGUUCGGUUCUUCGGAUUCGGGUUUUUUGUCCAGCCCUACCGUUGACCAAGAAAAGAGUACUUAAAUCAACAAGUCGGUCAACUCGGUUUAUUCCGGUUUGUGACGGUUCAUCUCGGCCUAAUCAGAAGUGAUGUUCAGAUACAUUGUGUUACAUCGGUUAAGAUUUCUUCUCUUUCACAUAGAAACCUCUCUGAAUCUGUGCUUUGCCCUCCCGGAAGUGCCUAUGGUCUCAAUGUCGUUACCAUCUGGUGGAAGCGGAGCCAAUGAUCUUCAACUAUGUGUUCGAUUCGAGCCACAUGAGCGCGAUGAUGAGCUUCUUGAGCGCUAAUCUUAAUCAAUUUUCCUCAUUUUUGCUUUACAGGGUUCACUGUGUUCAUAUCUCAUUUGUGUUAUGUCAAAAAGCAUUAGAUAGUAUGUCAAAGCAGUUUCAUAAUCUAAGAAGGGUCUAGGUUCUAAAUAUGUUGAACCUUGAAACUAUUAGUCUACAAAAUUUUCUUCUUUGGCAACAACAUGUAUCUAAAUUGUGGGCCUAAACAAUAAUGAAAGUUCUCAUCUUUGGGUAAAAAAAGUUUGUGCAUUUGUGGUUGUGCUCAGUUCAGCUUUUUCUCAAACUUUGUGAGUUGUGACAGAACAUACUGAUGUGAGCUGUAUCUUGUUCUUUGAUAAAGAAUGUGACUUUUCUAAUGGAAUAUUCAAGAUUAACAACCUGUUUAGACUUCCUAGGUUCUUCUGCUAUGUCUUAUGUGGAGUUAUUGGUGUUGAAAGUCUCAAUUAAUUUCAAAACUCUUAUCAGAAACUAACUUAAGAUAAGAAAGUGGUUUCUUUUUUAUUUUUACAUCAUAGCCUCAUUGGUUUUCUCACUUGGGACCUUUCCCCAACCUUUUUUGUUUUGGCAGUAUUGUUCAUGACAAUCACUAAUAACAACAAUAACAUAGAUUUUAACUAAAUAUUGUUGUGGAGUCUGUCUUUGUUUUGGAUCAUUAUGGCCACUUGUAUGGAAAGUUCGGUUGAUUGUUACUCUCUUUUGUGUCAUCAUCAUGCUUGAGACUUGAGUGAGAGAGAGAGGUAGAGGCAGCAUCAUCACAAGUUCUGAAAAGGACAAAACAGUUUACUCGGGAAACCAAAACUUGUUGAAUGCAAAAACUAAUUUUGUAAGCAUAAGACCAAAGCCCACUUCUUGCUUGUAUUUGAAUUACUCUUGUUUUGUGUGAGAGAGAGAGAAAAAACAUGUCUGCUUGUUUGUGUCUACUGUUCCUGUUCUUCACUAUUUUUGCAGAAGCAACUUAUCCUCCAGGAGGUUUCCACCAUCUUUCUUCUCUAAGACAAAACAGGAAGUCCUCCAAGUCAAAAUCAGAGUUGCCUUUUGAGACUCGUUACUUCCCUCAGAAUCUUGACCACUUCAGUUUCAGACCAGAGAGCUACAAAGUCUUCCACCAGAAGUACCUCAUCAACAGUCGUUUCUGGCGCAAAGGUGGCCCCAUCUUUGUCUACACCGGAAAUGAAGGAGACAUCGACUGGUUUGCUUCCAACACCGGUUUCAUGUCUGAUAUUGCACCCAAGUUCCGGGCUCUUCUUGUCUUCAUUGAAGUAAGAACAUAAUCUCAAGUCUGGUUUCAAGAAUGAGAGAUUUAAAAUGUGUAUAAUAGUGUUUUUUUGUGUUGGUUGCAUAUCAUUGCAGCACCGGUUCUAUGGAGAGUCAACACCAUUUGGUAAGAAGUCACAUAAGUCAGCUGAGACAUUGGGUUACUUGAACUCUCAGCAGGCGUUGGCUGAUUAUGCAAUCCUGAUAAGAAGUUUGAAGCAGAAUCUAUCAUCCGAGGCAUCACCUGUUGUUGUCUUUGGUGGCUCUUAUGGUGGAAGUAAGAUCACACCCACCCUCUCUCAAUGGAAUUAAUAACUUCUAAUUAUUUAACUAUCAGUCCCUCAUAAACUACGUUCUGUUGUGUGUUAUGUCUUGAGUUCAGUGCUUGCAGCGUGGUUCAGGCUCAAGUAUCCCCACAUAGCAAUCGGAGCAUUAGCAUCCUCUGCUCCAAUUCUGCAUUUCGAUAACAUUGUGCCCUUGACCAGCUUCUAUGAUGCCAUUUCUCAGGAUUUCAAGGUGCUGUAUGCUCUGUUUCCAGAUUCAAAUUCAUACAAAAGUAUUGUUAGUUGUUACAAUGAACUUAUUAUGAACCAAUUUUACAAGCAGGAUGCUAGUAUUAAUUGUUUCAAAGUCAUCAAAAGAAGCUGGGAAGAGCUAGAGGCAGUUUCCAACAUGAAACAUGGCUUGCCAGAACUCAGCAAAAAGUUCAGAACUUGCAAGUAAGUUGUGGCUUAAAGCUUAGUAAAACCCAUUCUUUGUUCUCUAAAAAGUGUUUACUUGUAACUACAGAGGCCUUCAUUCAAUAUAUUCAGCAAGAGAUUGGUUGAUGGGAGCGUUUGUAUAUACAGCCAUGGUUAAUUAUGCGACCGCAGCUAAUUUCAUGGCGCCACUGCCUGGUUAUCCAGUUGAGCAGGUGAGAAUAAUAGUUUCAUGCCAAAGUGUGUCAUCAAGUAAUCUCUUACCAGUUUAGUUUUGCAUCAGAUGUGUAAGAUAAUAGAUGGGUUCCCUCGAGGAUCAAGUAAUCUUGACCGUGCUUUCGCUGCUGCAAGCUUAUACUACAACUACUCGGGUUCAGAAAAAUGCUUUGAGCUUGAACAACCAACUGAUGAUCAUGGUCUUGACGGGUGGGGUUAUCAGGUAAUCUCAUAAAUACGAUUGAAUAAAGUUUUAAAUCUUUCCUCCAGUGAAUUUGCAGUGUGCGUAACACAAGAUGAGUAUGUUAUGAAACUAUAAAUUAACAUAAUGUUGUCACUGAGUGGAAACAGGCGUGUACGGAGAUGGUGAUGCCAAUGAGCUGCUCGAACCAGAGCAUGUUCCCACCGUACGAAAAUGACUAUGAGGCAUUUGAAGAACAAUGCAUGAGUAAAUACGGAGUCAAGCCUCGGCCACAUUGGAUCACCACAGAGUUUGGUGGGAAGGUUAGUUUUGUAUUGUGUUCUUCUCGUCCACUGGAUUAAUUUCAAUAAAUUGAGGUUAUUGGUUAUGUGUUUGUAGAGAAUAGAGUCAGUGUUGAAGAGAUUUGGAAGCAACAUCAUAUUCUCGAAUGGAAUGCAGGAUCCUUGGAGCCGUGGAGGGUAAGUAGUAGUACUUCAUGAUGUUAAAAACUUUUAUUGGAUUUGGAUCUUAACAUAUUGAUUUUUUUUGUCAUAUAUUUUUAGGGUACUGAAGAACAUUUCGAGCAGCAUUAUCGCGCUUGUAACCAAGAAAGGUAACAUUCUUCUGUCAAAUGGUGGUGUUGAGAAAAAUUGAAACUUAACAUUGUUUGAAUGAAACAGGUGCUCACCAUGCGGAUCUCAGGGCUGCUACGAAAGGAGACCCGGAGUGGCUGAAAGAGCAGAGGAGGCAAGAGGUGGCCAUUAUAGAGAAAUGGAUCAGUGAGUAUUACAGAGAUAUGAAAGAAUAAAGAGCAAGUUUGAGAAAACCAAUAGAAAGCCAAAGGUUCAUUACACCAGUUUAACAAUUAAAAACUGUGUGUUUGUCAUGUAGUUUAAAAUUCAGUUUCAGUGUAAUAAAUCAAAACUUGAUGUUUAUCAAACUAAACAAAUGUAAAGUUUUCAGUGAAAGAUAUUGAAAACUAAAAGAAUAGCAAGAACUAAAAUUUCAUCUUUUAACAACAAAAAGAGUCAUAAUGCUCCUACUGUUUAAAAGCUGGCUGAUUUUAGACAAGGGGUUUCGAUUUCGAUCAAACAAAUAAUUUGCAUCGGAUUGAAGAAAUCUUUUUACCAGGAAGACGUUGAGUGGUUUGGCCUGUGAAAGAAGACACGAUCGACAUUGUAUAGAAAAUACAAGACCGGUUUGGCUUAAGUGGGAAAAGAUAUAUAAUUUUUUUCUGACAACGUGGAAGAAUAUAACCGAUAGGACCGGUUCAAAUCGAGAUAAAUUGAACCAGUUUUUAAAAUAAUUGGUAGGAAAUGCAGGUCAGGUACGGUUUAGGCGAAAAAUCCAGGCCCGGUUCGAUUCAAAAUCAAUUGACUCAGUUUUAAAACUAUAACCGUGCGUCUUCACCAAGCGCCAGAAAUGAUCUACACCGUUGAUUAAGAUAUCAAACUGUAGUUAUUCUCCUGGCAAUCUCAAAAUUCAUUCUCUUGUAUAAAUCUCAUACAAGUCAGCGUGGUUUAGUGUCUGAACAUGGUAUUUUUGGUUUGAACAGAUGAUAUAGUAUCGCUUGGAGGAGGAAACUCGCCAGACAUACUGCCUUACAUUCCUGGAAUCUUACUCUGCGUGAAACCACCGUCAUAUGCCGAGGUAAAAUUCUCUGUCUAUGAAAUUGAUGAAACCCUCCCUAGGAUACUCCACUCUGAUUUUGGUUGGAUGAAAAAAGACAGAUGAUAGAUGGUUUCUUUUGGGAUGAAUGAAUAAAUGACAGUUUAUGGAUAGAUAGAUGGAUCGAUAGGUCACACUGAGGUUGCGGAUACGAUACACCAGUCAACAGGAGAAGUUGCUGAUUUACUUUGGGUUUACACACUUUCACAAUCAGGUUGUUCAUAAGAACAAUGAAUCAUCAAAUAAGAGAAUAAAUAGUUUUUAUAAAAAUGAUGAUUGAUUUGAAAUGAAACAUAGUUUAAAUAGAAAAGACAACAAGUGCUGCAUGUUCAGCAUAGAAAACAUAAAAGAGACAAAGGAGUAAAUAGUUAGGUGGUGGUUGAGUUGGUUGAGAAAGUGUAGGUUAUACCAAGUAGCUCUUCUUUACUUUCCAGAUUCUGAAUAAGGCCAACAACUUUCUCACUCAGCUUCUUGGACCUUAAUCUCGUAAUGGGCCCAACAUAUAUGGCAAAUGGAUCUUCUUUCUGAACAUUGGGUUCAUCAACAGAAUCGCAUCCAUGGGUUUUCAUCCAUUCAUGUUCAUUGACAGAAUCACAUCCACGGGUUUUCAUUCAUUCAGGUUCAUCAACAGAAUCACAUCCACGGGGUUGCAUCCACUCGUAUGCUUCCAUCGGUUCGAUCAGGAUUGCAUCAUCCCCUCCUCAUUUGAAAGGAUUUGUCCUCAAAUCUGACAUCUCUCCUACUUCAAAUGGAAACUGUUGUGGUGCAGCAAACAGCUCAAUAGAUUCAUCUCCAUCAUACAACCAUUGUUCCUUCGAUAGCGUCUUGAAUUUAAUAACACCACACCCAUCUUUUACCUUAUCAAUCAGAGGAUGGAUUCCUUGAGCUCUUGUUCCAACUUUAGACUUCUUGAAUUAAAGAGAACAUGAAUCUUGAUUCUGCAACUCGUUCUGAUAUGUCUUCUUAUAACAAAACUCCACAAAUUUUUCCUUCUUGGAUGACAAAAAAAAAUUUGAAAUCCUCUUCCUCUUUCAAAAAACCAAGUUUGAGCUUUGAUUUCUGUAUUCCAAAAUGCUGAAUAUCCAAACACAAAAUCCACAGCUUGUUUCUUCUCAUAAAUUUCCAAGUUGCAGAACUUAAUUCUUUCCAAAUAUGAUCCUUGAAACUCAUAAUCAUUCAAUGAUCUACUACGCUUCUUUUUCCCAUAUUCCACUUCCUUCAACAACUCAAAACAGGGAAUAUAAGGAUCAUGUUGUAGAAAGUACCUCUUGGACAGUUCAUCACAUAUGCUUCUUGUUUUGUUCUGCAACAAAAUCUCCAAGGUAGCUUCCUUUCUUUCAUGUUGUGUUGCCACCUUGGAAACCACCUCUUUUUGAUUUGUUUCCACAGAUUGUACAAUCAGCUCGUGCUGAACUUUAACCAUAGCUGUAGAAAGCUUAACCCCUUGAACCGGAGACACUUCUUCAUGAUCAAACUGCUCACUCUUUUCAGCUUUGUCUUUGUGUUCUUCCUGAUCUGAACUCUUCUCAAGCUUUGUUCUUUCUCUAUCCAAUCUCAUUAUCUCUAGCUGGUUGUUGAUUGACCAUGGAUAUGCAUCUUUUGGCUUCUUUUUUUUAAUAUCAAUUGAACCAAAAUCAUGAGAAAAACGAGAUAUCUUGCUGCUGCUACAUUGUUGACUAAAACUUCGGGAUGAACUUGAUGGACAAUAGCUUCUGGAUACAAAUAUUUUCUUCAUGAUCGUUUUUAGUUCAAACCAAGAAGAAAUUUGUGGUGCUCCAUUGAAUCUUCUGGUCUUAGCAACUUUAUCCCACCAAGUGAGUGCAUAUCCACAAAAACCAGUGACUGCUAGAUGUACCUUCUUCUCCUUAGUAUAGUCAUGGCAGCAAAGGACUAACUCCAUCUCUUUUUCCCAUUCUAGGUAUGCAUCUGAAUCAAUCUUCCCAUAGAAAGAAGGAAUCUGGAUUGAUCGUUUCCUUCCUUGCAAUGACCCCUUUGUUGCUUUGAUCUCAUAUUUCUCCUCCUUGUUUCUCUUUCUUCCAAAAUACAUGAUUAUCCAACAAACAAAAUUGGCCACAAGCAGACUAGAAUAUCCAGAAAACAAAAUAUAAAUGAACCCAGAAAGAGAUGAACUUGAAACAGAUUAGGGAUUGAGAAAUAAACCCAGAAACAAUAGAGAACUGAAAUCAAUCCCAAAAACAAAAGAGGAAACAAAAAUCAAACCCAGAGAAAACAUAAACUGAACUGAAACCCAAAAAACAGAGAAUGUGUAACAAAGAAAAGAAUGAGAGAUAAACCCAAAAUGAAUCGAUCUUCAGAGUGGUGCUCUGAUACCACUUGAUGAAACCCUCCCUAGGAUACUCCACUCUGAUUUUGGUUGGAUCAAAAAGGACAGAUGAUAGAUGGUUUAUUUUGGGAUGAAUGGAUAAAUGACAGUUUAUGGAUAGAUAGAUGGAUCGAUAGGUCACACUGAAGUUGCGGAAUGGCCUCAGAUUCACCACUCUCUUGUUCUGGAUAUGACACACCAGUCAACAGGAGAGGUUGCUGAUUUACUUUGGGUUUACGCACCUCCACAAUCAGGUUGUUCAUAAGAACAAUGAAUCAUCAAAUAAGAGAAAAAAUAGUUUUUAUAAAAAUGAUGAUUGAUUUGAAAUGAAACUGAAACAUAGUUUAAAUAGAAAAGACAACAAGUGUUGCAUGUUCAGCAUAGAAAACAUAAAAGAGACAAAGGAGUAAAUAGUUAGGUGGUGGUUGAGGUGGUUGAGAAAGUAGAGGUUAUACCAAGUAGCUCUUCUUCACUUUCCAGAUUCUGAAUAAGGCCAACAACUUUCUCACUCAGCUUCUUGGACCUUAAUCUCGUAAUGGGCCCAACAUAUAUGGCAAAUGGAUUUUCUUUCUGAACAUUGAGUUCAUCAACAGAAUCACAUCCAUGGGUUUUCAUCCAUUCAGGUUCAUUGACAGAAUCACAUCCACGGGUUUUCAUUCAUUCAGGUUCAUCAACAGAAUCACAUCCACGGGAUUGCUUCCACUUGUAUGCUUCCACCGGUUCGAUCAGGAUUGCAUCAGAAAUUAAAAUGCAGCUUGUUGUUUUUCGAAUGUCUGUCUUUUGAGGAGUGAAUUCGAACGAGGACAAAGUUCAACACGUUUGAUCAGUCUUUGGCUUGGCUUACGAUUUGUUUGAUUGACAAAGAAACAACCUAAGUCUGAAAAAGUUCUUGAGCUGGUGUGUAAUAUAAUGGAUGGAAAGAAUUAUCAAUUGUCUGAAAUAUGGCUUAAGACAGAGCUGAUACGAAAAAAGCAACCCACGGGUUUGGAAAGUCCCACUGCUUAGAAAGGUCUUAUGACAAAGACUACCAACGCCUUAAAGAAUCAUAACGCAAAGAUUCUUAACACGGAUUAUGAAUAGAAAAAAGAUUCUUACAUAACGGUUCUUUUAAAAAAAGGCUUUAUGGCAUAUUAAAGUCUCUAAACAAAGACAAUAUGAGUAGGUAUUUAGAAAUGCUAGAUGGAAACAUUGACCAGCGGUUUAGAAAAGAAAAAGGUCAUUAGAUAAAUAAAAACGAUUAAUGACUGAGAGAAUACUUUUUUGGAUGAAGAAAAUGACAAACAGCUUUUAAAAAGUCACAAGACAGACUACAUGAACCAAAAAGCUUAAAGACCAAUUUUAUGUUUACCCAUAAGUAGAUAAAGAUUAUAUAUGUUGGAAUGUAUAGAACAACCAACUGUCUCAAAUCAGUCUUAAGACAGAUAUGAAAUGAAACUACCACAGGUUUGGAAAGUCCAGCUUAGAAAUGUGACACAGCUCAAAAAGCAACUAAUGACUUGCUGUAUAAAAAACGGUUUAAAGAAAUCAAUUGCUUAAAGAAUCUUGACAAAUUAUGAAUGAAACACAGAUUCUUAUUUAACAACACGGCUUAGAAGCCUCUUUAAAAAGUCGAUGCCGUAGACUUGUAGACUUGUUGUAUCGAUAAAAGGCUCGUUAAGAAGUCACAAGGAAAAUAUUCUUGACAAUUAUGAAAACGACAACAAAUUCGUUUGUAACAACAGGGCUUAGAAGUCGUUUUACAAAAGGCUAUUGGUCAGUUUGGUAAAAUGACCAACGGCUUUGAACAGGUCUCAAGGCAAAUACUAAAGAUGGAUAAACAGCCCAGGGGUCAAAUGAAAUAGAUCUCUCAUGACUGAGACCACGGAUGGAAAAUUGAUUUUUUACUCUGCCAGUGCCACACAGCUUUAAUAGAAAUCUCAAGACAAAGACUAUGAACCACCUAGUGUAAAGAACUGUUUCUGUUUGAUAACCACAAGGCUUUGAAGUACACAAAAAAUGAGUUGGAUGGAUAGAAUGACCAAUGGCUGAAAAAUGUCACCAAUGAAAAACUUUAAAGACAAAGACAAUAUAUGACCACGGCUUACAAAAAAACACUACACAAAGACAAUAUGGGGUUGGUUUUAGACAGCUUGUUGGAUGGAAAAACUAUCAUCGGCUUAAAGAACUUUUACAAAGGUCUCUAGACAAAGAUAACAUGUGUCACUUUCUUAGACAUGCUGGAUGGAAAAAAUGACCAGCAGCUCAGAAAAAGUUAAGAAAAAAUGACUAAUGGCUAAAAGAAGUAUUAAGACGAAGACUAUGAAGUAUGAACCACUAAGAAUAAAAACUAUUUCUGUUUCACAACCACAAGGUCCACAAGGCUUAAAAGCAUACAAAGACUAUGAAUUGGAUGGAUACAACGACCAACUCGUAAGACUAAAGACUACGCAAGACUGACCAAUUAUCUGAAAUCAAUCUUAACAUAGAGACUGAAUCGAAAACAUACUCUGCUUUGGAAAAAGUCUCUAGAAAAAGACUAUGGAUUGGUAUUAGACUUUCAGGGUAGAGAAACAAACCACGGCUAAGAGAAGUAUUGACAAAGAAAAUGGCUUAGUUUUCGAUUUGUUAGAUUUCGAUUCGACCAGCGGCUUAAGAAAACGUCUGCAAAAGCUAUAAGGACUUUCAUAAUUUCAUUUGACCAAUUUGGUGGAAGGAAAGAAUUGAAAGUGAACGAAGAACAAAGUGAAGAACAAGAGAGAGACUGAGAAGAGAAAUAGAGUAAAGAAAGAUUUUAUUUUCCUUAGAUUUAGAUCUGUGUACAAAGAGGGUUUUUAUAGCCAAAUACAUAAACAUUAAAGAUAUGGAGAGAAGACAAAGAAAUGAGAUUCCAACAGCUAUACUCCUAACAGCUAUAUUUUUGAAUUUGAACUUCUUUUGGACUGUAGUGAACAGUGCUGCGAAUCCCAACAGCACCAAAGUGCUCAAUGCAGGUUUCUCAAAUCGCCCACUUUGACCAAAGUGCUCAAUGCAGGUUUCUCAAAUCGCCCACUUUGAUGCCGUAGGUGAUAUGUCUUUUCCCUACAACAUCAAAGUGCUCAAUGUAGCUAUCUCAAAGUUCUCACUUCAAUGCUGUAGGCAAACUUGAUCUCUUAAUGCCAAUACUCCCCCUCAAGCUUAGCCAUAAGGAAUGGGUAAGUUUGGAACCCAUGAAGACAUCCCUCAUCAAAACCUUUGUGUGAAAAACCCAGUGGGACAAAAAACACACAAAGGAAAAAGAGUAGAUGCUUCAUGGCUAAGGAGAUCAUGAUCUAAAUAGGUUUAUGAGUCCCAACCUUGGAUGAAUGAACUCACAGACUUUGGUGCUUGCCCCUUUGGUGAAGAUAUCUGCCAAUUGAUCUUCACUUCUUGUAUAGCAAGGUAAGAUGAUCUUCUGCUCUACUGCUUGUCUCACUUUGUGACAGUUCACUUCAAUGUGCUUUGUCCUCUCAUUAAACACUGAGUUUGAUGCAAUGUGAAUGGUCGCCUGAUUAUCACAAUGCAUUGUGAUUGGUGUGGUUAUAUAUAUGCCCAAGUCUCUUAGGAGGUUUCUGAUCCAAAAGAGUUCACUCGUGAGCUUCCUCAUUGCCCUAUAUUUUGCUUCAGCACUUGAACAUGACACCACCUUCUGCUUCUUGCUUUUCCAAGUCACCAAGUCACUAGGUUACCUCCAAUAAAGGUACAAUAACCGGUUGUGGACCUCCUGUCCACUCUAUCACCAGCCCAAUCUGCAUCACAAUAUCCCACAAUCUCUGUGCUCUUGUUGCAGCCCAUCCAUACACCUUGGCCUGGAGCUUCUCUUAGGUACCUCAAGAUCCUUUCCACCAUAUUCCAAUGGUGAACUUUAGGUGCUUACAUAUGCUGGCUGACUUGAUUUACAGCAAAGCAGAUGUCUGGUCUUGUGAUGGUGAGAUAAAUCAGCUUCCCAACCAUUUAUCUAUAGAGUUUGAAGUCUCCAAAUGGCUUAUCUUCAAACUCCCCCUCACGCAAGACUUUGUACCCUUCUUCAAGUGGUGUUUUGGCUACUUUUUCUCCAAGUUUUUCUGCCUCAUUUAAAAGAUCAAAUGUGUACUUUCUUUGAGAUAAGAAAACCCCCUCUUUCUUCAGCCUUAGGACAUUUCCUGGCUUGACCAUGUCUUCCAUACCAGGUGGUGGUCUCAUAUACACCUCAUCUUCAAGCUCUCCUUGUAGAAAUGCAUUCUUGACAUCCAUCUGCCAUAGAUCCCAUUCCAAGUUCACAGCCAAAGAGAGCAUAAUUCUUAUGGUGUAGAGCUUAGCUACUGGUGCAAAGGUGUCUAGAUAGUCUUCUCCAUAGACUUGGGUGUAUCUUCUUGCAACUAGUCUUGUUUUCUUCCUUUCUGGCUUUCCAUUAGCCAAUUACUUGACAGUGUAGAUGAGGCGACUUGUUACUGCUCUCUUGCCUUUGGGAAGUUCAGUUUCAUACCAAGUAUCAUUUUUGACCAUGGCAUUGACUUCAUCUCCAACUGACUCUCUCCAUUCUUCAUCAGCCAUAGCUUCCUCAUAUGUUUUUGGAACAUACUCUUGGUCUAGGUUACUAAUGAAAGCUACAUGCUCUUGAGGAUAGAUUGCAAAGGAGCAGGUUGCUUGGAUAGGAUAAGCCACUGCAUUGCUGUUGAAGUAUACCCUGGUGUCGACCCACUUGGAUGGUUUCCUCACUCUAGUACUCCUCCUCAAUGGUUGAAUCUGCUCUUCUACCACUGUGUCUUCGUACUGAUUAGAUUCAGCUCCAUCUUGAUCAUGAACUGAUGCUGAAUCAUCUUCUGGUGUUUUUGGUGUUGAUUCAUGCUCAUUGUCCCCCUCAGGAUCAGGAUGGACUGGCUCAACAAUUGGUACUGCUUCUUCAUUGGUUACAGCCACUGGUGUUGAGGGAGAGGUUUUAGGCACCUCACUGCUCUGAGGCUUACUGAUUCCUAAACUUUCCAGGAUGAUCUUCAGGUUGUUUGCUCUAUCUGAUGGUCCAUGUGAGAGAUCCCUAAGGUUUUCCCAGCUCUUCUCAUCAUAGUACCCCUUUGAUUCCACAAACUUGACAUCCCUUGAGACCAUUACCCUUCUUGAGUCUGGCAGGUAACACUUGUAUCCUUUAUGUGUGUGAGAGUAUCCUAUGAACAAAGCUUUGAUACUCUUGGGAUCAAGCUUGGUCCUUUGCUCACCUAGUAGCAACACAUAGCACACACACCCAAACACACGCAAGUGAUCAAUAGGAGGUUUAGUUUUGUUCAAUACCUGAAAUGGAGAGACAUCUUUGAGGACUCUGGUUGGGAUUCUAUUGAUGAGAAAGCAUGCAGAAACCACAGCAUCUCCCCAAAAUCUCUUUGGAACAUUGGUGUGAAACAUCAUGCUUCUUGCAACCUCCAUAAGAUGGCGAUUUUUUCUCUCAGCCACGCCAUUUUGUUGUGGUGUGUAUGGACAGCUUGUCUGCUGAAUAAUUCUAUGUUUUGCUAAGUGUUGUUUGAAGGCAUUGCUAGUGUAUUCUCCCCCAUUAUCAGACCUAAAAAUUUUGAUCUUGGAAUUGAAAUGGUUAGUUACAUAGUUUUGGAAGUUAAUAAAAGCUUCUAAAACUCUAUCUUUACUUUGAAUCAAUGUGAGCCAAGUAUAUAUUGAUUUCUCAUCUAUGAAUGUCACAAAAUAUUUAUGGUUUUCUCUAGAAACACAAGGUGCAGUCCAAACAUCAGAGUGAACUAGAUCAAAACAAUUCUCAUAAAUAGUCAUAGAUGAAGGAAAAACAGAUUUAUGAUGUUUACCAAGAAUGCAAGUCUCACAAGUUUCAUUUUUAAGAGAUAGAUUAGGUAACAUCAGUUGAAAAGAAUGAAAAUGAGUGUGGCCUAAUCUAGCAUGCCAUAACACAUCAUUAGCUAAAACAGAAGCAAAAUUAAAUGCAUAAGUAGAAUCUGUUCUAAGCUUGGUAUCUUCAAGGAAAUACAAAUCUCCCUUGCUCACACCUUUGCCUAGCAUCUUACUUGUUUCAAUAUCCUGAAAGCACACAUCAUUAGGACUAAAAAUAAUAUUGCAAUUUAAAUCAUUAGUGGCUCUUUUCAUAGAUAAAAGAUUAGAGGCAAAGGUAGGCAUAUAAAAAGCUUGAGAUUCUUUAUCAAACAGAUUCAGAUUUCCUACUCCUUUAAUUGGAAUUCUAUCACCAUUUGCAAUCACAACACUUCCUAGAGAUGGUUUAAUAUCACUAAUCAGUCUAGCAUCCCUAAUCAUGUGAUGAGAAGCUCUUGAAUCAAUGAUCAUUGGCCUAGCAGUGUGUGAUUCAUUGUGAAUAGAGUUUAAGGCAUUAAUACUUUGGUUACCAGGAUUUGCAUUGAGAGCCUUGAUCAAGGCCUCAAUGUCUGACUUCCUGAUGAAUGCAUCCUCAUGAGAUGGCUGAGGCAUGGCGUGAGAGGUGGAGGCACCAAUGUGGGUUGUAGAGACCAAGGCUCUCCCAUUAUCUCCCAUGUGCAUGUAGCUUGGUGCUGGAUGCUCCUGAGCUCUUGCUUCAUGGGCUCUGGUCUAGCUGUAUUUGUUGGCUGAGGCUGGCCUGAGAUGAGGAUGGAGGAUCCAACAGUUGGUUUUUGAGUGUCCUUGCUUCUUGCAAUGUUCACAAGUCACUGUUUUGUCUCCUCCUCCCCUUGGCUUGAAGUAAGCUUUGUUAGCUGAUGCUCUGUCCAUAUUCUCAGCCUUGUGUGCCAUAGAAAGACCUCCUUUUCCACAUCCAAAGAGACCAUCUGAGCCUAUCUCCUUUUGACGUUGAGUACACACUUCAUAGCAUGGAAGUUCCUUGUCUCUCAAUAUAUGUUUCACCACAUCAUUGAAGCUUGGGCUGAGUGUGAGAAGCAAUCCAAAGGUCUCGUCUUGCUCACGCUUGGCUUCAAGUGUGUCAGGGUCAUUGGUGCUUGGCCUUAGCAUCUUCAGCUCAUACCACAGCUGACUAUACUUCCCAAGGUGCUUGGUGAAGUCUCCUUCUUCUUGCUGUAAGUUGUUGAUGGCUCUCUUCACUUCAAAGAUUCUGGUGAGAUUUGAAGUGUUGCCAUACACCUUGUGUAAAGUAUCCCACAACUGUUUUGUGGUGGUACAGUGUGAGUAAGAGUCCAUAAGAGGACCAUCAAGAGAGCUUUGCAAGGUAGACAGCACCAUGAGAUCUUCCUGAACCCAUUUGCCUUCAUCUACCACUACAACCUCCUUGCCAUCUUCUCCUUGGGUGAUUUGCUUUGGAGCUGAACUUGAAGAGACAUGAAUCAACACCAGAAACACCAGAAGAUGAUUCAGCAUCAGUUCAUGAUCAAGAUGGAGCUGAAUCUGAUCAGUAUGAAGACCCAGUGGUAGAAGAGACAUGCUCCCAAAGACCUCUACCUCCAAGGGCUGUCCUGGCCAUCCUAGACCAGGUAAUAUAGUUUCCUGGUCCCUUGAGUGUGACUGGAAUGUGAAUUACUCUGUACUGCUCAAAUUCUCUCAAUCUCUCAAGAAAUAAGAUUAGAGACAAAACAGAGUGAGAACAACCAAGAAUUUUGAAGAAAAUACUCAAGAACACACAAGAACUCAGAUUUAUUAUCCACUAGAUAAAAGAAAUCUGUAGAGAAAUUUUGUGAAAUAAAACCAGAGAGAAAUAGAGUAAGCUUGCGGAAGUAAUUGAGGUAAUCAGGAGCUUAAAGCUCUGAUACCAUGAAAGUGAAUGAAAAACAAAGUGAAGAACAAGAGAGAGAGAGAGUGAGAAGAGAAAUCAAGAGUAAGAGAAAUAGAGUAAAGAAGGAUUUUAUUUUCCUAAGAUUUAGAUCUGUGUACAAAGAGAGCUUUUAUAGUCAAAUACAUAAACAUUAAAGAUAUGGAGAGAAGACAAAGAGAUGAGAUUCCAACAGCUAUAUUCCCAACAGCUGUAUUUUUGAAUUUAAACUUCUUUUGGACUGUAGGUGAUAUGUCUUUUCUCAAAUCGCCCACUUUGAUGCCGUAGGUGAUAUGUCUUUUCUCUACAACAUCAAAGUGCUCAAUGUAGCUAUCUCAAAGUUCUCACUUCAAUGCUGUAGGCAAACUUGAUCUCUUAAUGUCAAUAAGAAUGAUCAAUCUUAAAUUAGAGAGACUACUAAUGGCUUGAAGAAUCAUAACACAAAGAUUCUUAACAAGGAUUAUGAAUAGAAACGAGUGUCUUACUUAACGGCUAAAAUAAGACUUUUAGGAUGGGAAAAAUGACCAAUAGCUUAAAGAUGUCUUAAGGGCCACAUUGAGAAACUCCUAGAUGAAAAAACGACUAACGUCUUAAAUAAGACUUGGAUGGGGGAAAAGACAAGCAACGGCUUCUAGAUUUCUUAUGACAAAGAUUCUUAACUGAAAACUGUCUUUGUGAUAACCACAAGGCUUAAAAGUAUAGAACGACCAGUCAGAUAACUAAGGCUUAAGAAAGCGUUGAGGCAAUCCUUACUUUUCUACUCACGGCUUAAGUCCUUGAUGAAAAUAAAGUACAAACGGCAUACAAAGGUCUCUAGACACAGUCUUUAAGAUAGGCAAUAUGGGUUGGUUUGUAGACAUGCUGGAUGGAACCAAUGACCACGGGCUUAGAAAAAAAAAGUCUUUUAGAUGGAGAAAAAAAUGACUAAUAGCUGAGAGAAUAAACUUUUGGAUGAAAAAAAAUGACAAAAAACAGCGUAAAAAGUCUUAAUACAAAGACUAUGAACCAAAAUGCUUAUAAGCUAUUUAUGUUCGUUAACCACAAGGCCUAAAAGUAGACAAAAAAUAUAAGGUGGGUGUAUAGACCAACAGUCUGACAUCAGUCGUAAGACGACAUAGCUGAAACAAAAACUACCCACGGCUUUGGAAAGUCUCUAAACAAAGACAACCCACGGCUUAGAAAUGUCCCGCAGCUUAGAAAUGUCUAUAAGUUGGAUGUAUAGACCAAUUGUAUGACAUCAGUACUAAGACAGUUGAAACGAAAACUGCAAUGGCUUUUAAAAGUCUCUAAACAAAGACAACGGAUUAGAAAUGUCUUUCAAGAAAGAUUAUGGAUCAAUUUAGAAUUGUUGGAUGGUGAAAACAACAAACGGUUUGUUGAUAGAAAAAAGCCCAACGGCUUAAAGAAGUCAACUGCUUUUUUUUUUUUUUUUUUUUUUUUUAACGGGUUUCUACAGGUCCGGUCCAUAACCGGCCCAUACACUUAUAGAGAGAGAUGAUUCUUAUUUCUACACAGCUUAGAAGCCUCUUGAGAAAGUAUAUGCCAUAGACUUGUUGGAUUGUAAACAACAACUAAGGACUUGUUGUACUGAUGAAAGAACAAGGAUUUUAAAAAGUCACAAGGAGAGCCGGGCUUGUGGGGAGUGAAGUGAAACAUUUGAAUGGGGCCUCCACCCCAAGGGGCCCCCAUUUUCAAAAAAUAUUUGUGUAACUGAGUUAUUUUUUGUAAACUAAACUAACAUUACAGAAGAAAAUAACUCUGUUAUCAGUCAUCAGAAAUAAUUUUUUUUGUAAACUCACUUACAUGAAUACGUUUUAAGAAACUAAACCUAUUGUUGUUACUUAGAUUUUUUUUUCUUUGUCGACAUAAUUUUCUUUGUAAAUUAUUUUUCUUAAGGAAAACCAUUACUAUGGUUAUAAUAUAAAAUAUUUUUUAGUAAAAUUUAUGAAAAAAUAUAAAGGGAAUAUAAAUAAACUUUUUUCUGCUAAAACUUUGAAUAUAAAUAAACUUGUAGUAAAAAAAAUUAGAUUAGGGCCCCCAAUUCUUCAAGACCGACUCUGUCCACACCAUCUCAAUUCCUCAUGUCAAAGGGCUCCCUCACGGUGCUGAGACCAACUCCGAUGUACCAUUUUUCUUGACCCAUUUGCUUGCGGUUGCAAUGAACCAAACCCGGCCCGAGGAAGAGACAAUUCUGCGUACAAACAAACCGGAUUUGGUUUUCUACGAUUCCGCUGAUUGGAUACCUGAAAUCGCUAAACCGGUCAGUGCUAAAAUUGUUUGCUACAAUACCUUCAGCGCUGCGUCAAUAGCCCUAACUCUUGUCCCUGCUGCGGAGCGAGAGAUCAUUGAUGGGAAGGAAAUGUCAGCGGAGGAGUUAGCUAAACCGCCACUAGGUUACCCGUCUUCAAAAGUCGUCUUGCUUGUGCACGAAGCAAAAGCUUCGUAUGGAGGAGACACGAGGGCAUUGGUUCUUUCUUCGAUGGGAAAGUUACUGCGAUGAGAAACUGCGAUGCGAUCGCUAUAAGAACUUUCCGUGAGACGGAAGGCAAAUUUCUCAGGGUUAACUAAUCUAGACUUAGGGUAUAGAAUUGAGGAGUAGUAGGGUUUUUGAAAUGUGAAAUUUAGGAUUCUAAUAAAUAUAUAAAUAAAUACUUCAAAAAUAAAAAAUAAAAUUUUAAAAAUAGUUUCAAACAUAAUUUUCGAUUUCAAAAAGAAAUUUUGAAAAACAUAAAAAAAAAUCGAAAAAAGUUAAAAAAAAAAGAAAUUUAUGAAAAAGUUCGAAUUUGAAAAUGUAUAAUUUGAAAACAUAAAAAAAAAAAAUUAUUUUUUUUAGUUUUUUAUUUUUUUUAUUAUUUUUAUUUUUUAUUUAUUUAAAUAACGAUUUAUUUUAUAUAGAGAUAACAAGGGUAUAAGAGUCUUUUGUCACUUAAUGAAGAAGAUAUUUUUGGAAAUGUCUCUUUAGUAGUAGUAAAGAUGAAAAGUGGUACCAUGAAAAUGGUAAACAUAAAAUUUCCAAAAAAAAAAUACUUCUAACAUUUGUUAUUCGUAUGAAGUAUCCCACAUCGUUUAUAUGGCUAUUGGCACGAUUUUACUUGAACAUGAUAGGUUCUAUAAGCAUACAGCUCGAGUUAGCCUUAGUCUCGGUGGAAGGAAGAUCUAAGACUGCUAGAUCAGAAUGUGAUGAUCUAUGGUUUGAGUUUUUGACAAUAUAGUUUUUGAAUUAGUUCUUUUAAAAUAGAUAAUUUCAUUGGAAUACAUAAACUAUUGAAAGUAUGAAGUACAAGCUGUAAGUAACUUAACCCAAAGCAUUUCCCAUGAUUUCUUCUGGUACUGACUUCAUUUGGGCGUAGGUUCUGCUUCAUUGAUGAUGCGAGAACAACUUUCUUUGAGAGGACGAGGGAAGAAUGUAUUUAGUGGAAACAUAUGUGGCCAGCAUUUCGCAUCCACAGCCGAAGCUGCCUUACAACACAUUGGUCCAACAUUAUCAAACUUUCCCGUGAACACUGAUUUGUAGAUUUCAGUUACACAACCUUGAACACUGGUAAGUGAUGACCAACAUUUUGUGAGAUCGACUGGAGAACCGGGAUGAGAAACCCCAGGAAUGGUAGGGACAUGAUGAGGUGUGGUGUGUGUGAGAACAACUCCGUUGAUACGAGAGCAACUAUUCUUGAGAAGAGGACGAAAGAAUGGAUUGAACGGAAACAUUUUUGGCCAACACUUAUCAUCCAUAUCCAUAAACGCCUUGCAACACGCCUAGUUAAUACCAAACUUACCGGUUACAGAAAACUUGUAGAUGUCAAUUACACAAUCUUCAGCACUGAAGAGAGAUGACCAACAUUUUGUGAGAUCUAUAGGGGAGCCAGGAAAGGAAGUAAAUUGAGGUGUUACUUGCACCUCGGCCAAGCCCGGCUGCAAUAGUAUAGUGGCACAUAGUGUCACGAUCAGAAUCAUUGAUACUAGAGCUUGGAUCCUACCUUCCAUGGUGUCUACUGUUUUUAUGUUUUUUUUGUGGAGAAAAUAGUUUCUUAACUGGAAUGUUUUAAGAUAUCUCAAGAAGCAAACAAUUUAUAGAGUAACAUACGAAUGAGUAAGCUAAAUUGAGUCUGAGGGUUACAGUUUGAGAGUCAAAACGUAACAACAUCGAAUUAACACAUGUACGUUUUACACUACAAUAACUCGUUGCAGCAAAAAACUUACAAUAAUACAAGUUGUAGGCAUUUAAUAAUUUCAAAACUGUUAUUGUGUAUUUAUAAAGGGUUAUAUAGAUUUAGAUUUUAUAAUGAUUCUAGUGUUCUUCAAUUAAAAGACACCUCAAAAUUAUGUCAAAAUCUUUUGUUAUUAGUUUAUGAACUUGCAAUAAGUAGUUAAAAGUUUAUAACAAUUUAAGUUAUUGGAAUCAUCAUUUUACAAAAUCAACAAAAGUAUUGGAUUGUUCAAAAAAAUUGAGAGUAAUGAUUAAAGUUUGUUGUUAUUAGUUUAUUGAUUUGGAACAUGUUUAUCAAAGUAUUACAUAUUGAUCAUGUAUUCAUUAUAGUUAAAAAAAUGUAAUUGCUGCUAACAAAACACAUUGUAAAAGUAUCAUGAUGCCCAAAUAUAUAACGGUUUCUACUCUAUCACUAGUGCAUCGUAAAUUUUGUGACCCAACUAAGAUGCCAAUUAAGGGUAUGUUCAACCCAAAUCUAUUUUUCUUCUUUUAUAAUUUCUACUAAAAUUGUGUAACUCUAUUAUAAAGUAAGUUUCGCUCCAAUAAUUGACUUUAUAAUAGAUUUACUCUAUUAUAUCUAUUAUAGAGGAGAAUAUAGAAAGAUAUCACUUUUUCACUACAAAAAUGAAUGAAAAAAUGAUAUUCUUCUAUUUUUCUAUUGUAGAAUCAACCAUUAGAACAAAACAUAUUCUAUAAUAGAAUUAUACUAUUUCAGUUAGAAUUAUAGAGGAAAAAACAGGAUUGGCUUGAAGAUGGUAGAAAGACUCGAAUCUAACCGUAGAUGAAACGGUAAAAGACCAAUGGAAAGUGGAUAAAAAUGUUGAUCAAAAGCCAAAAGAAGAAGAUCAACCAGUGGCCGAGAGAGAAGGAGUAAGGGUGGCAGAUGCCCACUAUGGAAUAUUCAAAUCAUUUUUAUUUUUAUUUUUUAUUUGAGAAUUCUAUGAUUUAAUGGUAAAAUUUUUUACAUGCCCCUUAUGAAUUUAAAUUGAAAUAUUACAUUUCCCCGCGUAAAACUUUUUUCUUGCUCCACCACCGAGAGAGAGAGGCAUAGGAUGAAACAGAAUACGGAAAGGAUAAUAACAAACACAAAUAAUCAUAUUAUAAAAUAUUUAAACUCUGUUGGUUGACAAAAGAAAAGAUAAGCUUUGUAGAAGUUUAUAGUUAUCUUCAGUUAAAAUUCUAAUAUUCUACAAAAUUCUUUAGCCUUAUUUUUUGAAGUAAUUAAAGAUAAAUUUUCUAAGAUAGCCGUUUUUAUGUUUUUGUCACAAAAAUAGUGCUCAAUGAAGAAAAUGACCAAAAUAAAUUUUAUUAAAGGGUAAAAUGUAGUUUUACGCUAGGGUUAACUAAUCUAGACUUAGGGUUUAGAGAUAAGAGUUAGGGUUUUGGGGAUAUGGUUUCAAAUUUUAAAAAAAUUAAAAUAAAAGGGCUAUUUUGGUCAUUUUCUUUUUUGAAAGCUAUUUUGUGACAAAACUUAAAAAUGACUAUUUGAGAGAAUAGCCCGUGAUUAAAUGAUCAGUACUUUUUAAUUUCAAAAUACUGUUUAGUUUUAAAAAUCAUCAAAAUUAUUUUAAAAUCACAAACAAAUAACAGCCCCUAAAAUAUUAUGUAGUCGACGUAAGAAAAAAAUAGGGCCAUUAAUUAAAAUGGGUUGAAUCUUGAAAGCCCAAGGCACAACGCAUCAAGUCCGGUAUUGUCUUUUCGUUUGCUGACACGACACCACCUCUUGUUUGCACUUACCACUUACCCGGCAGCUAUACUUGCCGAGACACUUUGAGCAUGAUUAUUGGGGGUUCUUAGAGCAGUGUUAAUGGGCGUGCUUAAAGGGGGGAACUUAGCAUAAAAUUAAUAUAAUAGUGGGUGGGACCUACACAAAAAUUAAGCACUUGUACUUCUUCUGCCUAAUUAAGUGCCUGGGUUAGCCCUGUUACGCGGGGCCCACUGACACGUGGCGGCCUGCGAUCGUUUCGUUUUUAUUUUUUUUUAAAUCAGAGAAAAAACCAAAAAAAAUUAAGCACCCCAAAUAGGGUGCUAGGGUUAAUGGUGCUCUUAGGGUGAGAUUCUUAACGGAAUAUAAGAAUCCGUCUCUUAAUUUUUAAUUUAAAAAGUUAAGAGCCGGUUCUUAAAUACGAGUUUUAAGAGCCGGUUCUUAACUUUUUUAGUUAAAAGUUAAGAGACGGGUUCUUAUAUUCCGAUAAUAACCCAACUCUAAGAACAUAAUCAUGUUCUUAAUUGGCUAUCAGCCACCACCAGGAGGGACCCGCCAAUCCUUGGUUCGUGUAUUUAUUUACACCGAAAACACGCAAACACAUAGGAGAAAAACUUUUUUUAUAUAUAGUAAAAGAAAGGAGCAUUGUAAUGUAUCCGUGGUUGGUUAGCAUUUGGUCACAUGACUGCUUUUCUUCACCUCUCCAACAAGCUUGCAGAAAAAGGGCACGAGAUCGUUUUCUUGCUCCCCAAGAAAGCUCUAGACCAGGUCAAACCUCUUAACCUCUACCCAAAUCUCAUCACUUUCCACACCCAGAGCCGGGCUUGUGGGGGAGUGAAGUGAAACAUUUGAAUGGGGCCUCCACCCCAAGGGACCCCCAUUUUCAAAAAAUAUUUGUGUAACUGAGUUAUUUUUUGUAAACUAAACUAACACUACAGAAUAAAAUAACUCUGUUAUCAGUCUUCAGAAAUAAUUUUCUUUGUAAACUCACUUACGUUUUAAGAAACUAAACCUAUUGUUACUUAGAUUUUUUUCUUUGUCGACAUAAUUUUUUUUGUAAAUUAUUUUUCGCAAGGAAAACCAUUACUAUGGUUAUAAUAUAAAAUAUUUUUUAGUAAAAUUUAUGAAAAAAUAUAAAGGGAAUAUAAAUAAACUUUUUUCUGCUAAAACUUUGAAUAUAAAUAAACUUGUAGUAAAAAAAAUUAGAUUAGGGCCCCCAAUUCUUCAAGACCGGCUCUGGUCACAAGGCAAAGCUUCUUGGCAAUAUGAAUCGAUAACAGAUUCAUAUGUAACCCUCGACUUAAAAGUCUGUUGAGAAAGAAGCAUAUAUUAUGGGAGACAUGCUAACGGAAAAAUAUUCUUCAAACAAAAACAAUUAGAAAUGUCACCAAAUCAUUGAGUUUAUCAGGUUCAUCAUAAAAUCAAUUUAGCUUCAAUCAAAUAACAUAUAAUGACUUAAAUAAUCUAUUCUAUUAAAACUAAAGUACAAAAUAAUACUUGCAUAUUUUUAAGUGGAUUUUUACAGAUUUUUAUUUCUUUUUUGACUAAUUCUAACCGGUUCAUUUAUUAUUUUCGUUAAGUGUUUUACAUCUUUUACCUUCCUUUUUCACUAUUCCAAAUUACUUCAUUAAUUGUAUUUACCAUAAUAAUUUGAUGUCAUUUAUUUUACAUAUUAACCAUAAUAAUUUCAUGUGUCAUUUAAAAGAAAUUGCUCUAUUAGUGAAAAGAAUUCAAACCGGUUAACAAAAUUGUUUUUAUUUGUUUACAUAAUCAGUUAGACAUGGACAUUCAAAUAUAUGUUCAGAUAUAGAUCGGUUUUUACGGGUAUAAGGUUUUUGAAUUUAAAAAAAAUAAACUAUGUUUAUAUUUUAUUAAUUUUCGGACAGGGUUCGAAUUUGAUUUUUCCGAGUCUAGGUAAGUUUUUAGGAACCUCAAAAUAUUUAAAUAGCCUAUAUGUUUAAAAUUUUCACCGAACAAUUUAUAAAAAAGUAAAAACUAACACCCAAACUCUAGCUAUUAUAACCUAAAAUCAAUUGGUGUUAAAUGAAUAGAUCAUUUAUCUUAUAUAUUAUUCGGUGAUCCGUUCCAUCUAUCUUAUAUAAUAAUCAUGCACAUAUGAAGCUUAAAAGGAAAUUUAAUUUCGCAUGACUAGAAAUUGUAAAGCUAGCGUGAAACAAAUACAAAUCUUAAAACGAUGAUCGAUGAAGUUUCACAUAUAACUGAGUCACUAACAUAAAAUCCAUUGUUAUUAAAUAUUAAUGUUGUGCAGAACUUAGUAUAUAUGAAAACAAAAUGAAUCUUGGUGAAACUAUAACAAACUUGAUGAUCUUAUAAUAUAGGAAAAUGAAUCUACCUUAUUUUUACCACAUUUAAUUUGCUACAUUUCGUGGAAUAACAGCUGGCAUGCAUCUUAGCAAUGCCUUGGCAUUUAAAGUCCAGAAGAAGAGUUCCUUAGCUCCUUGACCACCUGCACCAUUUUUGGAACUUCACCUCUAAGACCGAUGCAUCUUUCUGAGAGGAAAAGGAAAGCUUUCAUUCGGCAACGCUCUUCUUCUGAAACUUCACCCAUUUUCUCUAACAUCUUUAGAUCCACGAUCUCAUCAAUUCUCCCCUCUCCAAUGGAUUUGGACAACCAAUUUGGAAACUUCCUCUUUUCUAAAAUUUUCCAAUCAUCCCGGCCAUAAAACUCACGAAAUCUUUCUUCUCCUGUCAGAAGCUUUUGCAUGAGACUUCCAAAGCUAAACACAUCAGUUUUCUCCGAGACAAGGCCGUUGAUCAUAUAAUUAUCAUCCAUGUAAUCAUAAUCUCCCCCAACGCAACGAAAGCCAAGCUUGACAAACGUUUCUCCUUGUGGAAUUAAGACACAAUUGGAGAAAUCAGUAAGCUUGGCAACACCAUCUUCACCCAAUAGGAUAUUCUGAAUAUACAUAUUCCUAUAUAUUAAGGGCCUUGAGAAAGCAGUGUGAAGAUAAGCUAAAGCAGUUGCAAUCUCCUCUGCUAUCUUCAUUCUCUUGUUCCACGAUAGUAACAUUAACUGUAAAUCUAGACGACAAUACUGUUUCUUUGCAUCAUAAUAAACAAUGACAGGGAAUCUAAACUCAAGACAACAUCCGACCAACUUCAUAAAGUUCUUGUGACCACUCACCAUCGAUGAUAUAGCUAUAUCGCGGGCACCUCGAUAAAAGUCUCUAGGGUAAUCUGGAUGUCCACGCCAUAGUUUCUUGACUAGUAUCGUGCGAUGGCUAUCGAGCAUACCUGAAUACCAUUUUCCAUGACCAAAUAGUUUAGAGACACAAGUACACUCAGAGAGAUUGUCGGUGGCCUUGAGGAUAUCAUCAGCAGAGAAGAAUUUGAUGGGAUUGGAUUUGCCAUCACAACAUUCGAUUAGCUCUUCUAACAAUAUCUCCCCUCUCUCUCGCCCUCUAACCAACCUCUGUUUUUUAACAAGGGCUCCUGACUUCUUUCUCUUGCACCAAUCCAUCUCAGAAUAGAACCUAAAUUACACAGAUUGAAGGCCAAUGCUGAGUUGAAUAGUCAAAGAAAUUAAAAAAAAAAAACCCUCAAGAUCGUACGAUUUAAAAAGUAAAAAAUAUUUGUACAUAUAUAAAGUCGCCGUUGAAUAUUCCUCCACAAACGGUUUCGGCGCGACGAAACUUGGGAGAACUUUCAUAAUACGUCGUCACAUGAAUGUCCCUCUUCUUUUUUUAACAUCUGUCUAUAUCUAAGGACUUUUUCUUGGGUUCACCCCCUAGGGUGAACCUUUAGGUUCACCAACCAAUAGAAAGUUGUCAUUUUAGAUCUAGUAUCUUUUAAUUAAGGAAACAAAAUAACUUGCCAAAUUAUAUUAUGCUUUUAAAAUAAAAAAUAAAAAAUUAAGUAAAUAAAAAUAACAAUAGUUCUAAAAAAAUAUUGUUUAAAAAAAUAUUUAUUUUUAAGAUUUAGAGUUUAGUGUUUAAGAUUUAUAAUUUAGAAUUUAUCCAAAUGUUUAGUGUUUUUCCAAGGGUUUAGGGUUUACCUACGGGUUUAGGGUUUACCCAAGGGUUUAGAGUUUACCCAAGGGUUUAAGGUUUUCCCAAGGGUUUAGGGUUUAGGAUUAGAGUUUAGGGUUUAGUGUUUUGUUGACAACAUGUUUAGUGUUUUUCCAAGGGUUUAGGGGUUUUACCCAAGGAUUUAGGGUUUACUUAAGGAUUUAGGGUUUAGGAUUUGAGUUUAGGGUUUAGUAUUAGAGUUUAGGGUUUAGUGUUUUGUUGACAACAUUUUUUUUUUUUGAAUUCGUUUUUUAUAUAUUAUUUUUAUUUAUUUUUAAAUUUUAUUUUGAAAAAAUAAUAUAAUUUGCAAGUUAUUUGGUUUCCUUAAUUAAAAGAUACUAGAUUUAAAAUGACAACUUUCUAUUGGUUGGUGAACCUAAAGGUUCACCCUAGGGGGUGAACCCAAGAAUAACUCAUAUCUAAGACCAUGGUUAUUGCAGUUUCUUAAUAGGGUUUUUAAACAAAUUACAUCAUUUAAUUAAUGAAAAUUAAAUGAAAUUAUAGUUACCGAUCCUUAAUCUGAGAUUUUUGGCACCGAUCCUUAGCUAUAGGAAGAGCAGGGUAAACCUCAAAUAUAUAUAUUUUUUUCUCUUUUUCGGGACUUCUUCGUCUUCUCUUUGUUUUCUCCGACGGGGAUGGCAUUCAAUCAUCGUCUCUAAAUCUCCUCUCUGCUCCUUCGAAACCCUAAAGUACUCUUCGAUGGCGGAAGUAGAGAACAAAAGUCACGAGACCUGGAUUCCUCGCGUCGAAGCUGAAGGUCUUCCCCAGCGUUUCGCUUCAAGGAUCGUAGAGCUGAUUUUGCUGUUAAGGUAUAUAGUAAACGUUUAGAUUCGUUUUCUUUUCUUAUGUGAACGAUUGUUCUCGUAGAUUGUGAUUGUUGAGCGUAUGUUGUUGUAGACGAACUUGACAGUGUGUGGUGAGGAGCUAUUUGGUUUCUCAGUUAAGUUUGAUUUGGUAGGUUACGUGUGAUUUUUGCUAGAUUUUGAGCUGAUUCGUGUCGAUUUAGAGUUUAAUCUUUACACGUUUUGUGAUUUGUUAAUUUCUUUUGCAGGAAGUAGUAUCAAUGGGUAGUGAAAGUGAUUCGAUAUAAGAGAAAGCUGCUGCUCGUAAAGAGGCACUUAGAGCUCUGAGAGCAGCUCAGGUACUUUUUGAGAGCAAGGAAGAGGGAGAUGGUGAUGCUGCUGUUGAAGAAGAGUGAGUAUGCUUUGUUAUUUGGCAUGAAUCAUUGAAAAAAGCAAACUUGUCAAAGAUAUUUAGGGAAGGAACGAUUUGAUUAGAAUGUGGUUGUUGAUGAUAUGCUUCUUGUUGUGUGUUGGUUAAAGCAAAAGAAGUAGCUCCCAAGAUAAAGAGCUUCAGGAUGGUAAAGUUUCACCACCGGGAGGGUCCUUGUUGUCUUAUAUACACUCUGCUCCACCUCUUAAGGUAAGCUCUAUAUAUACAUUCCAGCGCUGUUUUGGAGUUUAGCACUUAUCAAUACAUCUAUUUGCAGCUAAAACAAAAUGGAUGGGUUGGAAACUUUGAGCAUCAUGUACUUGCAGUUGGGAAUAGCGAUUGUUAAUGACUUCAAAAGUGUUGAAGGAGACAGAGCAAUGGGACUUCAGUCUCUCCCAGUAGCUUUUGGCACUGAGGCUGCAAAAUGGAUAUGCGUUAGUGUUAUAGACGCUACUCAGCUCUCUGUUGCCGGUAUGUAGUAUGACUUCUAUUUCUUGUGUUUGAUCUUAUGAACUAGAUGAUCAUUAGUGAAUGUCUAUUCUGGUUGCGGUGUAUCUUGUAGUGAAAGUAUUGUCUUUAAAACUCUUCUCCAAACAAGUGUAAAACAAAUUCUCUUCCUUCUCUACAUUUUCAUCACAAAAUUUAUACACAGAGUAAUCAAAAACAAAUUCUGGUUGCGGUGUAUUUUAGUGAAAGUAUUGUCUUUAAAACUCUUCUCCAAACAAGUGUAAAACAAAUUCUCUUCCUUCUCUACAUUUUCAUCACAAAAUUUAUACACAAAGUAAUCAAAAAUAAUUUAUACUUUUUAAUCACAUAUAUGGCAUUUUCUUCUCAAAACAAUUUCUAUUUUUACUAUGUUUUAUUUUAUUUUUUUUAAUAAAUUUUAAUAAAACAAUGUUUAAAUUUUUUUGUUAAGAACCCUUCAUUAAGAAACUCCCAAUGGAACACAAAAUCUAUGAGUUUCUUAAUUAAAUUUCUUAACUAACUUUUAUUAUUAAACAAGUCAUUAAGGAACCCAAAUGGACUUAUAGGGAUAAUGAUGCUCUAAUCUAACAAUACUAAAAGUUGGAUAUACUCAACAGUGACCGUCCAUGUCACUUAAAAAAUCGGCCAAUCAGAACUCUCUAUUUUGCCACGUGAGAUUAUCUUUCACUUUAAACAGUUUUAAUUGGGUGGCCCGCUAAAGAUUUCGGAAUGGCCCAUUCAACUCUUCACAAGGAAACGUCUUGACUCUUCCACUUCGUCGUCAAUCGCAUCGUUUCGGUUCUCUAACAUUAUCACGAUCCACAACAUUCAGUGAUGUUCUUUAUUCUUUUAUUCAUAGUUUUGUUCCAUCUUCCUUUGUUUUUCCUUCUAUUUAAUCCUCUUCGUCGAAUCUUACUUGAAACCAAAAUCUACUACCUCCAUAGUAGAAAAUAAAGUCAUGGCCAUAAAAUCUGUUAGAUUCGCCGUAAAAUCUAUCAUCUCCGUAAAGUCUCCCGUCUCCGACAGCUCUAUUGAUCGACCUUCCUACGAAGCAUCCAGAAAAACUCCACUGACAAAACUCUACAAUGGAUCUUAAGAUCUGAGCCUCAUCUGAGUGUCACCGUAAAUGGCUUGAACAUGGCAAAUCCUUUUGUGGUCGGGUCUACACUGUCAUGAAGAGAGCAUUUGAUAGAGGCAAAACAAUCUUGCUGAACUUCUUAGGCUUCUAAUCGACCAUAUUUGGAAACUGGAAGCGAGAAAGAGGUAUUGGAUUUUCAAUCUGUUUAGUGAUCGAUUCAUAAUAUAUGGACUACACAUGUAUUUUUUUUCUUAUGCCUUUAAAAUAAAGAAUUUUGAGCAUUGAUGGUUACUCUGAGCUUGCUUAAUCUGCUGUGGGUACUCUGGCUACUUUUAGGGACAGGUGAGUUCUAAUCUUGGUGUAUGCGUAUCUUUUAGCCAAUAGAAUGAUUGAUAUUCGGCUGGAUUGGUUAUUGAGUCAGGAAAAAAAAACACACUAUACAAAUCUAUUUUGCAUAAUAAUUAUGUUUUGAUUGAACUCAUUAUGGAAAUUCCAUCUUUCAAUGCUGAGCAAUCUCAGGUGAGAGACUGACUACGUUGCUUUAUGUUAAUGCUUUCAGAACCGAACAUACGUUUUUCAAGGUCUUCAAAUGCCGUGUAAUUUUGGGUAUUGGCUUCUUUACUCCUGCACUUAUAAAUGAAAUGAUUAGUUAUGUUUCCAUAAAGAGUUCAUUGCAUCUGGUUCUGGCUUUUAUUAGCAUCCCGUGACAAAUAUUAAUCCCACGCUGAUGUGUUUGUUUUGAAUUAUUUUGCUUUUGUUUGUUGUUGUCUGAUGUUUUCUGUGUUUGUUUUAUGUCUAUUUCAUUUAAUACUUAGCAAAUUCUUUAAUUCCAUAUGUGGGUUUAUUUAGUUGAACAAUUCAGUUAGUCCAGGUGCAAAUUUCCCUAAAUGAGUAUUUUCCAGUAUCAUUCAGAAUUUUACUACCACUUAGUUUUUCGCUCAAUUAUUAUAUCAUGUGUUUGUCCUUCAGUUUUAUGGUUUCCAUUGUCAGGAAGUUGUAUUAAGGUUCCGAAUGGUAAAAGCAGAUCAAGCGGUGCAGAUCAAGCAGAUCAUGCAGAUCAAGCAGGACAAGUGGAGAUCAAGCGGAUCAUGCAGGAGAAAUGCAGAUCAAGCAGAACAAGUUAUGUUUCAAAGUUAUGAAUGGCAAAAGCAGUUCAAAAGUGCAGAUCAUAUAUUUAAACAAUAAAAAAUUACACCAAAAAUAUCAAAACACAUAAUAAAAAAUACAUAAACAAAGGUAAAAUAAUUUAAUGAUUUGCCCAUAACAUAUCAGCAAUGUUGCCUCUAAUGUUUGUCAUAUGAUCUCCAUCAGCCAUAUUUGUUGUCUCCAUGUCAUUUAUAUCACUUUCAGAAUCUUCGUUGCUGGUAUUUGUAUGUCUCAUUUCUUCAACAAAAUCUUCAUCAAAAUAAUUUGAAAUUCUGAUGAAAUUAUGCAAUCCCAUUGUAGCAGUCACCACUCUUUUUUGAAUUAAAAUGUAACACAUACAUUUUCCAAUUGAUACAAGUAUAGUAUUAUACUAAUAAGCAUUGCAUGUAUAUGUUAUACAUUAUAUAAAUUUUUUUCACAAGCAAGUAACUGCAUGUACGUGAGUUGUGUAAGUAUGAGUUUUCCAUCCAAUUAAUUUUUCUUAUGCUCGAUGCUUGUCUCUUUUAAUUUUUAAAUGAUUAUUACAAAAAAAUAUUUUGACAAUUCUUAUAGUCUACUGUUUCUUUAAAAUAAAUAUGGUCAUAUAUAUAUAUAUAUAUAUAUAUACGUAUGUAUAAUUCUUAUAGUCUACUGCUUUAAAAAAUAUUUAUAUUAUUAUUGACAUAAUUUUUAUUUUUUUAUAACAAUGAAUAUUUUUAAAAUAUUGUAUCAACAGUGUGGCAUAAUAUUAAAGGUGGACAUGUUUGUAGUAUUUAAAAAAAAUUAUGAAAAAUAAAUAGUAUGUGAUUUCAGUUGAUGUAAAACAAGAUAUGAUAAAUCUAAAACUUUUAUUUUUUAAAAAAAUAAUUUUUCAGUUUAAAAUAAUGAUAUCAUUGAUAUUUUUAUGUUAAUUUACCUAAAAAAUUUAAAACCACACAUUUUUUAAAAAAAAAAUAACCAUAUUUUUAAUUUUGGUAGUUUGUUGAAUUUAUAAGAUUUAAAUUUACAAAUUUGUUUUAAUUUUUAUAGACUACAAUAAAUUGUCUUUAAAUAAUUAAUUAAAGUAAAUUUACCUUUUGGUUCAGAAAUGCAAGCCCUCUGGUACGUCUAGUAAUAGUUUUAUCGCCGAACUCAAUUAUAAUAGUGAACACUGAAGAAAAAUUGAUUCAACACAAAAAAAAUUAAUCAACAAAUCUAAGAAAGUAAUAAAGAGUAGAAAAUAGGUAAAACCUAAUGCUUGUCUCUUUUAAUGUCUUUUGACUCUUGCUCUAUGCCAUAUUUCUCAGCCUUGAUUUCCUAUUAAUCAAUAGAAAGAAAAUUUCUAAAUUAGCUAUAAUGAAGUGAUAUAAAAUAAAGGAAAAAAGUAAUGUUGAUUUCACAAAAAGGAGAGAAGCAUACGUUGAUGUCUAUUCUCAUUCUCAAGAAUGAAUGAGUGCAAUGGUGUGUGUUGAUAUCUGUCAUUUAUAGUAGAUAUAAACAAAUAUUUUAAAUUUAAUUUAAAUUAGAAAUAUACCUAUUGGUUAGUUAAAAGAAGCAUUGCAUGUACAGCUCCUAUUUCUAUGCGGGAAGAAGAACAUGCAGGACGCCUGCCUUUUAUCACAAGAAGACAAAAAAAUUAGUAUCCAAUGCAGUCCUCCUGCUUUUUAGGUUUAUCAUACAGAAAAGUGUGAAUGAUUAAAAUAUAUGAAAAUAAAAACAGGACAGGAGAUCUGUGUUUAUCCUGUGCUCCCAUUCAAACACUAAUAUGUUCGUUUUGAUUCAUUAAUAGAUAAAACUCUAGAAAAUAUGCUUGGAACACCAACAGACGUUGCUAAUGUCUACGUGUUAACCAUCCCUCCAAAUAAAAUGGUAAUGUUGCACCGAGCUCCAUGUCUUCAUCAAGAGUUUUCACUGACAAGGAUGUGCCUCAGACAAUUAAUUAUCUCUCUUGGUAUGUGUUUCUGUCUCAAUGAAUUUUGCACUUCAAAACUCUUAUCUAAUUCAGAGUUCAUGUUCCAGGUUGGCUGAAAAGUGAGAACCCAUUGUUGCUUCCAUGGUUAUUGCAUUAGAGGCCACCAAGGUUGAAACCCUUACUAUGGGUAAGAUCUAUGCCUUCCUCAAACAGGAACCCAUUCAGGUAGUUUGAAAACUGUUACAACACAAAUAACCAUCAAAACUUACUAUGAUUAAUGCUUGCUCUUAACCAAAUGCAGGCAGCCUUUUUACCUGCAUAGCUCUUUUAACCAUGGAUCCCCAUCAUGAGAUGGCAACUCCACAGUGUAUGUUGGAUACAAUUGGCCAACCCCACAAUGUCAAAGUGAAGGUCUCUCACUACAACUUCACAGAAAAAAGGCAUACAAUAUCUGUCACAAAGUUUGUCUGUCUUCCAGUCUUGCCAGAUGUAAGAACCACCUAUGGAGAUCAGUCACCACAAACAUUGAAGGUGAGCAACUUCCCGGGCCAAUUGUAACAUGUAACUCCGCAUUUGGUGGAACUUUCUACGCUGGGUCUUCUGCUGGUGGAAGUGCUCCAACUAAUGACAGUGAAGUGGAACAGGAAGCCAAGCAUCCAAGAUUUAGUAGCUAAUACCUGUCAAAUCCCAGCUCCAUGUUGCUUUAGUUCUCCCAUUAUCUAUGUCGCUUAAGUUUAUGUACUUCUCUAGGAUUUCCUUCUGCAUAUCUGAACAUAAUUUUUAGAUUUAGUUUUUUUACCCUUUACUUUGGGUUGAACUUAUUUUCCUCAAAGCAAAGUUUCUCCAGAUAAUGUAAGCAUUUGAUAACUCUUAUUCUCACAGAUUGACACAGUGAUUGUGUUUGAUUUUUUAGGAAAAUAUAUUCACAGAUCAGAUUACCUAAACAGUGCAACUGCUCUGCAUCUCGCGCCUCAAAAUAGCCAUCCUCGAUGUAGCAUGAUAUUGCUUUCCGAGUGUAACCAGUUUCCCAAUUGCUGGAGCCUGUUGAAGGAUAACAAAUCCUUAGUUGUUGGAUUUGAUCAAAAAGUUUUGAUAGUGUUUUGAAAGAGUUAAAGCUUAAGGCUUCCGUUCAAAUGAUUAGCUGAAGAUGUCUUUCAACCACGAAGUGAUAUUUAGAGCAUCAGAUGGAGGAACAAACACAAAGAUACAGUGCAGUUACUCAUGAAUUUGGGAACUUCUGUUGCUCAGUUCACUGUGGAAUAUUGAACCACAAGAUUCUGAAGGGAGAAACUUAACUCUAGCUUAUUGUUUCCCUUUGUCUCUUUGGUUUUGUAAUGAAGGUGCUGGGAGUACAACUCUCCAUUAUGCUUCAUGUGGCAGAGUCACGCAAUGUUACUGGAUAAUAUGUACAUAUAUACUUUGCUCAACCAGAUAAUUGAACUGCCUGGUUACUCUUUCUGAAAGUUUAGUGUAAAAUUCAGAUAUGAUACCACAUUUUCUUUAUUCAUUUCGUUUUAUUGGUUUCGGAUACACUACAUCGAUGGUUUCUUGCUCAUGGCAUCGGAACUAGCUCGAAGAAACACUAAACCCAACCAGAGAACAUUCACAUUAUAACCAUCCACCGUAUAUCUCGACUAAACCCAACUGUUGGUGGAAAAAUAGAAUUGUUAAACAUCAACGCUGAAAAGAACCCUUGAAACUACUAAUUUUCCUGAAAAAAACUCAUAAAAAUAAUAUUUAACAGAGAACAACAUAUAGAAAAUAAUAUUUAGUAGAUAUAUCUGGUCUGCAUGACAUAUUUACCUCAUGAAAACCAUUCUAUUUUUCUCAACUUUUAUGAAUUUUCAGAAAAUAUACAAUAAGCAAUUAACUGUUUACCUUUAAUGUAUUUACAAAAUAUUUAUUAAAUCCAACAUUUUUGAAGUUUUUUCAACAAUUUUUUUUCAUGCAUACUUCUAAUACUUCUAGAAAGAUUAUUUUUAUUGCUAAAACUUAAAAAAAGCUGUUAGCCACUAAUUAGAUAAUACAAAUCCGAAAGAUAGAGGGAAUGAAUAAGUUAGGAAAUCAAAAUUUAAAAUUUUGAGUUUAAACCAGAUUUUUUCUACUGUAAUAAUAUUUUGAAUAAUGUAAUAUUGUAAUAUGUGUGUUUUUAUUAUUGCUUACAUUUACAUUUUAAUAAUUUUAACUUCAUUUUAAUAAUUUUUUAUUUGUCAUUGUAUCCAAUAUAUAUAAAUUAAAUAUUCCGAUAAAAAUAACUUAAUAUCUUAAAGCAACUAACUAUUUAUAAAAAUAAACGCGGGCGUAGCCCGGGAAAAGUCUCUAGUUAUUAUUAAAACCGAAAUACUUUAUUGUUUGGAAACAUAGAUAAAAAUAUAAAUGAGAAUUAUUUAAAAAGAGGAUAACAAUAUUUAAUUACUUUCUUUUAUUUACACAUUUAGAAAUUAUAUUUACAGUAACUUAAAUACUUUUUUGUAUUUCUUUAUAUUUACAGAUUCUAACACUGCAUUUAAAAUCAUCUAUAUUAUUAAAAGUGAAGUACCUUUCGAUAGUGUUUGGAAACAUAGAUAAGAGUAUAAAUUGUUUGGAAACAUGGAUAAUCAUAUUUUUAUUUACACAUUUAGAUAUUGCAUUUACAAUAAAUUAAAUAUUUUUUUGUAUUUAUUUUUAUUUACAAAUUUUAGCACUGCAUUUAAAAUCAAUUUAAAUUAAUUAAUUAUAAUUCCAAAGCUUAUCUAACCAAAUCUAUAUUCAUAUAUUUACCAUUAUUAAUAUUAUUGUACAAAUAUUACUUAAAUCACUUGUAUUAAAGGAAGAUAAUCUUUUCAUAUAUUACAUCAAAUUGCAUUAAGUUAUAAAAUUUUAAUAUAAUAUUAUGUAUAAAUAAAAAUACUUAUUAUCAAACAUUACAUUAUGAAAUAAUAUAUUCUACUCUAUAUAUAAAUUACAAAACAUAAAAAUUAUACAUGAGAUUUUUUUUAUAAAACCAGCGGUUUAUGAGUUUACGUUGAACACAAGUUAAAUCAAACACCCGCGCGGGUCGAGCCGUAGUUUUGCCUUAAAAUAAAUUUUGUGUGUUUUUGGUUUACAUCAUACGACAUCAACCGUAACUAAUCAAUAAUCUUAAAUUGGGUUCGGUUAAGAGUUUUGAACCUAAAAUGGUGGUGUUAUAAGUUUUUGUAUUUUAAUGGAUUUAAAAGUUUAAACCAUUUUCAGGUGUUGUUGGUCAUGUAAUUUUAAAAUACAAUCAAGGGAUGUAUUCAACCGAGAAAUUGAAAUGAUUUGUACUAAAAUAAGAAAUUCAUUUUUAUUCAAAUAUGAAUUUUUAAAAAUUAUUUAAAAUCUAAUCUUAUUAAAUUUGACAGUUUAUAAAAUACUCUAAAAUUCAUUGUUAUUGAAAAUAUUUUAAUUUGUGAAUUUAAAAAAAAAAUCUAGUAUUUGAGAAUGUCUGGAUAGGGUUUCUUAGUUAAAUUAAAAAUUAAAAACCAAACUGUAUAGUUUUAGAUGAGAUUCUAUAAUGAUUUAACAAAUCUAAAAACUCAGUAAAACUAAAAUUGCUUCAAUUUCCAGAUUGAGUACACCUCCCUAAACACUACAAGAAAAUCUGUACGUAGCCACAAAUUAGCUACAAAACAAAUUGUGGCUGAAGAUUUAAAGCACGAAUAGCCACAAAAUAACAACAAACUAAAAUCAGUAGCUAUUACGUAGAUUUUUGUGGCUAAAUAGCCACAGAUUACACUUUGUAGCUAAUUGAAUUUAAAAAACCGUGAUUAGCCACAAUUUGUUUUGUAGAAAUCGAUAUCUACUAUUAGCUACGAUAACAAUUGUGAAAAAUAAGAAGACACAACAUGAUUUGUGGCUAUUUGUAGAAAUUGAAACCCUAAACAUACUUUAAACCCUAAAAUUUUAAUUUUUGGUGAUAAAUUAAAGAUAAACAGCAAGUAAUAAGGAAAAAAAAACUAAACAUUAAUAAUAAAUUUUACAAAAUUUCAAAUAUAACUAUUUUAUAUUCAAACUUUGAACCGUAAACUUAACUUAUAAGUAAUCUUUAUCUAUAAUCCAAUACUUCAAAAUUCUUAAAAGGAUAUAUAAUAAUUUUAUAUCAUAAGUCAAGUUUUAUAACUUAAUAUAAAAUCAUUUGUGAGUACUUUUGACUCUUAAUUAAAUUUUACACAUUAAAAAUCGAAUUACAAAAAAAAUUAGAAAAAUUGAAUUAAAAACAUAAAAUGGCUUUACAAAUAAUACUUAAGAUGUUUUACAAUUAAAAUAAAACUAAAUACAAUAUCUAUAUAAUCUUUUAAAUGCAUAUAAAAGAAAUUAGGAGCGUCAAAAAAGAUAAAAGAAUACUAGUUUCUAUUGGUCACUCACCUGUAUGACAUGAGCAAUGUAUGUAUUUAGAGUAUAUGUUUAUUUGAGUACAACACUUAUAAUUUGUGUUUUCAGCAGAGAUAUCCCUCUUACUUAUACUUCGAUAAGUGUAGAAUUAAAAUGACAGUAUUAUAUCUUAUUCACUUUUCAUAGAUUAAUUUGUUGAGGUUUAGAGUAAGCAAUGUUUAGCUAGAGUAUUAUAUCUUAACCUUUAUAGUAAUAAUUUAAUUUAGUAUUGAUUAAAAUGAUAAUAUAUCAAAUUCAAUAUAGCUACAAAUAACUGCAUAUUAUGUUGUGGCUAUAUAAUAAUUCAGAAAUUUAACACAAAAAUUUCCAUUCCCGCUUUGCCUUUUUCUCAUUUUCCCGGCUAAAGCAUUUCCGGGGCAAACAAAUUAUUUUCUGUUUGAAACGAAACCACAAAAUUUAUUUAAGUAUAGAAAUACAAAAAAUCUUUUUUACUUAUCUUCAAUUCUCCCUUUGUUUCUUCAGCCUCCUCUGUAUCUUUUCUCAAUCUUCUCUCUUCAACCUUCUAAUAUAGCUGUUGCUUCCUAAUUCGUGUUUAAGGUUAGCUGUCUCUCUCUUUCAUUCGCUCUUCUGAACUGAUUCACCCUUUUGUUUCUUGCCUUCGACUCAAAUUUGAUUUGGAUUGCAGAUGAAUCUCCUAGGCGUCAAUCUUAAAAUCGCUUCUUUCAUGCCUCAGUUCCAUAGCUCACGAUCCGAUUGUAAUUUAUGCGCUUCUUGGGUUAGGUUCUGUCUCUGUGAGUUUUGUUUCUAUCUCACAUUUAGAUUAGUGAAAUUGAGGUUUAAAUGAAAAUCUUGUUUGGUUCUUAGCGCAACAAGAGAACCUGAAACCCUUGCUUUUAUUUCAUUCUGAAUGGUGCUUGAUUUGUGAUUUGACGAGUGAUUAGAUAAAAAGAUGAAUCCUUUACUCACUUUGUGUUUCCAUUGUCAUAGGUUUCUGCAAACGACGAAGUUUUGUGUACUGCUUGAUAUCAAGGAGAAAACUUUGAAGAAGCUGUCUAAGCAGUAUGUGUGUUCCAGACUGUCUUUGUUUUCUAUUUGUUCUCACAUACUUACCAAACUCUUUGUUUCUAUCUUCGUGCAAGGACAUGAUAUACGAAUCCAAGUAGCAGGGGUCACUUGUACAGUUCUCUGGCUCUAAGGAAAUUCAAAUGAUGCUGGAGAUUGCGGUGGCAUCCCUGUGUUUAAUACUUAUAAUGUCACUGCAUUUGGUAAGAUCAAAAAAUCAAAAUAUGCAAUAACUAGUAACUGAUUACUUGAUUAUCCCUUUUCUGCUUAUUGACUCUAAAGCUUGGUACUUUGGCAAUGAUAUGAUGGUAGAGAAGAUGGCCAAGGAGUUUGUGGAGAUGUUCAAACACGAAGUAAUGCUAUAGGUAGGUAUAUUCUCCUAACUCAUUCUGCAUAUAAGUACCUUUAGGCUACCGAUUAGCUUGAUUAUUUUGAUUUACAACACUAAUAUAGGGCGAUCUUAGGAGGAGCCAUACUUAUUCCUGAAGACGCAAUGCAAGUAGCAAAGAAGAGACAUAAUUGAUUGAUAUCAGUGACGAGGAAGAAACAAGUCUCGAAGGAGAUUUAAGUUUGGGUAUAAGGAUGAGUGGUACGUAGGCAAAUCGAACCUCCGGUCAAGUUUGAUAUAGCCAAGAGACCAGGAGCAAAGAGAUACCGUGCACCAGUUUAGAUUUAGGUUUUUAUUAGGUUUUCAAAACCAGUUUAUUAUUUAUGAACCAGUUUUAAUUUGUAAACCAUAUUGAAAAUAUUAUUGGAAAUAAAAGAAAAUAAAAUAAUUGAUUUGGUUUUAGUAUUUAUUGUAAUUGUUAUUAAUUAAUUAAUUAAUUUGAUUAUAGAAAAAAUGCAUUUUAAUUAAAUUUUAUAAUAAUGGCAACAAUUUAGUUUGUGGCUGAUUGUAGAAAAUUUUCUACGGUUUAGAAUAUGGUUUUUUGUAGCGAAAAGAGCAACAAACUUGAGUUAGCGCUAUUUGUAGCUAGUGGCUACAAAAAUCGUUUGUGGCUAAGUCGUAGAAGUAGAGCAACAAAUAGCAACACUUAUUCGAUUGCCACAAGCUCAUAGUCAACGAAUUUUUGUUGUGGCGAUUUGUGGCUAAGUGUUAAAUAGCCACGAAAAUUAGUCGAUAGCCACCAUAUUUUUCGUGGCUAAAUACAUAAUUUCUUGUAGUGAAAUUUCCGUACUCACCGUCAAAUCACAUGAUUAAUUUUAUAAAUUUUUAUAUUUAGCCAUUUAAAAAUAGUGUUGUUUACAAAUUACAAUGCACAUAUUUUAUUUUUGGGUGUAUACUUACUUAAAUUUGAUUUUAUAAUCUGUAAAAAUAAUUGGUGUACUAACUACAUUAUUUCUAACCAACGAUAUAGUUAUGCUUUGUAAUAUUUCAUCUUCGUUUAUUAAUUAAAAUUAAAUUAAUAUUAUUUUACAAUGUUAAUAACAAUUACGAAUUUAACUAAUCAUAAAAAAGAUUGGAAAGAUUAUAUAAGAUUUUAUUAUUAGAAGAUAUUAUUAGUAAGUUGAUUAGAAAAAAUCAACAUUAUUGCUAUUAAUAAAAAAGGUAAAAUUAAAAUAUUUUUAAUUCACAUAUCAUCAUACUUUAGAAAAUGUUUAUUUAUUUACUGUUUGUAUUUUAAUAGAAUAGACUAUGAUAUGAUCCAUGUCAAAUGUGAAUUACGUUUCUAGGUUAAGUUUCUUUUUAUAUAUAAAACAAAAAAAAUCGACAUGUUAACAUAUAAAAAUAUUUUGUGUCAUUUGGGUCAAAAUGUGAUAAUUAUGGGUCUCGUGAACAUAUGUCAUCACCGUAUUCACAUCACCACACUGAAAUUAAUAUACAAUUAUAUAAAAAACAUGUUAUCACCAUAUUCAUUCUCAACAAGAAAAAUAUGAUAUGAUCUUUUAAAAACAUGACAUAGCAUCAACUUAACAGUGAUACGGUUUUAUAAAGAUUUAGAUUUUAGAUUUUUUUUUUAAUAUGGUAAUAACUAGUAAAUUAUAUAUCACUAUUAAAGUAAAUUUACAUAUAAAUAUUUAAUUUUGACAAGAUUUUUGAAAUAUAGGAAUAAUUUAUAAUUUAUAUAUCACCAUUAGAUAAAAUAUAUAUAGCACAUUAAUGACAAACUAAGCUAAAUAUAAUUACAAAUAUAAUUUUAAAUCUAUGGAAGUUUAACAAAAUCAAAUUGAAAUAGUUAAACAAAGCACAAGAAACAAGACUACAUAAUAUUUUGCUGGAUGAAGUUAAAAUAUAAAAAUAAUAAUGUCUAAAUACAAACUAAAUUUUCCUUUUAAAAUAAAUGAUAUUAUAUUUAAAAUUAUUAUUCUGCGGAUGGCUUAAGAAAACUCUUAAUAUCUAAUAAAUUAUUAUAUAUGAUGGUAUAUUUUCCAUAUUUGUUAAGGCGUCUGCCUAAAAUGAUAGAAAAACAUUGAGAGUAUUAUGACGGGAUGAGGCAGCUCACUUGGUAAGGACUUUGUGGGCCAAUUGUCAUGCUCACGGGUUCGACGCCACCCGGAGGCGAACUGUCCAUUCUGUCACCAAAUGCGGUACUGGGUGUUGGGCCUUGUCCCCAGCCCAGGUAAAGCCCUCCCGGAUGAAGUGGACCGCUGCCUAAACGGACCCAGGGGAAUGAUCCACGUAAGUGGAGAACCCCUGGAUUAUCAAAAAAAAAAAAUAUUGAGAGUAUUAUUCAUAUACGUGUACCUAAUUUAUACCUAGUUAAGAAUCUAAAAGUUAAAGUUAUAUAAUAAAAAUAGGAUUACACGUAUAAAAGUUAUCUAAUAAAAAAAUUCACAUCAUAAUAUAAUAGUUGAGAAGAUAGCAUAUUUCCCUAUGAACUAGUUGUUCCCGGUUUUUUCACACACAAACUUUGAAGUCAUGCCAGAAACCACAUGAAGAACAUGAAAAUAGCUUAUUCUCCUAUAAACUAGUUGUUCCUGGCUUUUCACACACAAAUUUUUAAGUCAUGCCAAAAACCACAUGAACAACUCUAUUUUAUGAAUUACAUACACAAACUAUUGAUUUUAAACUAAUUCCCCUAAAACCGUAAACGUGAUAUUUAAACGUUAACUUGGUUUAUGACAGAUAGAGAGAGUUUAAUUUGAGUUGAUAAAAAAAUACUACGUCGUUUUAUUUUUAUUUUUUUUAUUUUUUUGUCAAUUGUUCAUUUUCUUCAUAGAUCUUUUUAUUUUUCAUCAUCAAUUGGAGAUACUGCACUGAUUUUAUAGUUCUUAGUGGCAAUACAUGGAGAUUGGUAAGCUAGUAUUUGAUGCUCUUCUUUCUUUAUGCGUCAUGUAAAACGUUUUAUUCUUCUACAGAAUAAUAAAUUUUAUCUUCAAUUGAAGAUGAAAAAUAAAACGAUUUCCGAAGAAGAAUAGCAGUUGACUAAAAAGAAGAAAAAGAAUAAAAUGGCACAGUAUUUUUUAUCAAUGUCAAUUAGAGGAAUUAUGUAUGGUAUGUAUAGCGACUACAACAAAUCAUGUUAUCUCCUGGUGCAGGAGUAUAUGGAAUGGGCAGCGACGUGACAAAUAGAUCGCACCCACUGAUCUAUUAAGUGACAUAAGGCGAUGGAUCACAAUAGAUGACAGCCGAACACAAGAUCAUUUAAGACCGAGAACAAAAAUAGAUAAAGUUAGUGAAUUAGUCUAUUCUGCAAAAGAGUUAGGAAGCAUCGUGUUAUUACUUUUCUAUUAUCAUGUUCAAUUUAAAAAUGUAUUUGUUGUAUGUUUCUAUUCUUGUAUUAUGUUAAACCUCUUUUGAUAUUAAUAAAGAUAAAAUGUUAUAAAACAAAAUUCAACAGACUCUCCACCUGUCAUAAAUCAAGUUAUUUUUUAAAUAACAUUGUUUAAGGUUUUAGGGGAAUUAGUUUGUUCAUGUGGUUUUUGGCAUGGCUUAAAAGUUUGUGUGUGAAAAAAUCAGGAACAACUAGUUCAUAGGAGAAUAAACCAUUUUCCCAUUGUUCAUGUAAUUUUUGGCAUGGCUUAAAAAUUCGUGUAUGAAAAAACCGGGAACAAUUAGUUCAUAGGGGAACAUGUCAUUUUCCCUAUAAUAGUUAGUGUUAAACAUGAAAAGUUCUCUAAUGAUUUUCAAAAUUUGCAUAUCAAACUGUCGGUAGAAAGCAUUUUACCUUCGAGGUAGGUCUUUAACAAUUGGCAAGUCACAUAUACAACGAUUCCGACUCGUUUUGGACCUUUACCAAUUACCCCCUGCUGCUGAAAUUAGUUAAAAGUUAAAACGAAAUGCUUUCAUGAUAGUAAGAAGUAAACGACGUCGUUUAGCCUGAGAUCCUCCGAUCGACAAGAUUUUCAAAAUUGAGCAUUCGUCACCGCUGCACUGUCGCGGAGGUUGGGAAACUGCAUUAGGUUCCUGGUGAUAUUCUCUUUAGUAUCAACUCGAGGUUUCGUUCUAUCUUCUUUUUUGAAUUAUACACAGUUUCCCCCAAAGACUUACCAGACCCAAUGGACUAAUCUGUGUUGCUGCGACCCCAAUGUUAAAUUUCGCCGUGGCCGGGAAUCGAACCCAAGUGGCGGUACUCACAGCUGUGAGCCUUUUACCACCAGAGCUAGAUGCCCCGGUUUUUCGUUCUAUCUUCUCUCUAGCUCUGAUUGAGAAUCUAUCAUCUGUGUUCCUCCGUUUGAUUUUUGGUUCAUUUUAGAGUGUGAAUACGGGACCUUUUUCUCCCAAAUUGAUGAUGAAGGUGGUUGAAUCUCUUACAUUUUGAUCUUUCGUUGUAUUCUAACAAGUCUCGUUCUCUUUUUGUAUUCUUCUUGCAUUGCUUGCAAACCUCUCUACUACUAGUUACGUCUCGUUCUUGAGCCCUUGAAUUUGGUUUUGAGAUUCUCUUCUCUUAGAAAUAUAGUUGAUAGCUAUUUGUUAUCCAGAUUAUACUAUCUCUAAUGAUGUAAUUUGUAUGAGAUGAUUCCUAAUCAAGAACCUUAUGGAAUCAUCUGAAUGCAUGUGAGUUUUGGUGUAUAAGUAACCAAUUCUCCAGAGCGUAACUAACUUUCUUAAGGUAACUACUCUAUUAGGGGUUUUUGAUCAGUCAUGGUAGAAUGAGAUUUUCUUAUCUGUUGCAUUAGGAACACUUUGAAAAGUUAGUUUUAAAUUGUUUAUCUCUUUUUAAAGAUCCUUACUUAUGUUAGUGUGACAGAUUGUGGAAGUGAUGAUCCUAAGUUCAAACUUCAAAAAGAAGAUGGAGAAGCAGUUUGUGGGCAGUUUCAGAAGAGCAUAGUCGUCACAUGAAUUUUACAUUGGCCGAAGCUAAAAGGGUUGCUUCACAGUACCAAAAAGGAGGCUGAGAAGUGUAACGCUGCAACAGUAAUUUGCGAGUCAGCUAGGGAGAGAGAGAGAGCUCAAGAAUUGUUUCUCAAAGAGAAGAAGGUCACUUCUUUGUGGGAGCGGAGGGCUUGGCAAUUAGGUUGGAAAGGUGAGUAAGCAUUUCACUGUUUUGUGACUUCUUCUCAGUGUCCCCUGAAGGGUUUCUCGUUGGAAGCAAACUAGAUUUUCUCUUCCGCAUAUAGCUCAUGAGAACAUGAGGAUCGCUUAAUUCACAAGGCAAAGUUUUAUAUGUAGCUCUUUUUUGUUAUGCUCUCGAAUCCAAGUAUAGAUAAUGAAAGUGACUUAUUUUGACUUUUCUUCAAAGUUCAGAUAUAUUUUUGUCUAGUAGUCACAUUGGAAAAGAAGUCACCGACUUCUGUAUUUUAUAUUCAUGUUCAUCAGCAAACCUAACCAUCAAAUUCUUACUAGCCAGAGAUAAAUAUAUGAUUUAAGAUCUAUCUAAACUAGCGUUUUGUGUUUGUUGAGAUUUACAUCUGAUUGAGACAGCAAGACUGAUUUGAUUUUAUGAGGAUUUGUAUAACUGUUAUAUGAACAUGGCCUAUGCAUAAGUAGGUCAAGAGUUACUUACUUGACUCUAUUUUCUUUUCUUUUUUUUUUUGUAAAGACUAGCAAAUACAUUUUCAGAUGUGGAGAAACAUGAGAAUGUGGGAAGGGGGACAAGUGCAGAGAAGAGACAAAACUGGAGAAGUCAAAAACGCAAUAAGGUUGACAUAAUGCAGCAUAUGAUAGCUCCAGGUAUCACGCCGUAUCAGCUUUCAAUAUUCAUUCAAGCACAAAAACAGCUGCUUUUUUUCUAUAUAAUUCGAUUUGUUUAUACUAGUGUCAGCCAUUAAAAUAGUGUCUCUCUCUAUGCAUUAUUCUAAUGCUCACAUGGACAGAUUCCAUAAAGUUUUUUCUUUUUAUAAACGCUUUGGAUCUACCAUUAAAGAACAGAUCUCGGUUCAGUGACUUCUGCAAACCGUCCAAAACCCAUGUGGGUUGUCUAGACUCUAUAGCUUGUGGCUAUUUGUUUUAUAUUCAACUUAUGAUGUGUGUUAUGUUUCUUGUGUUCUUCCUCUGAAGCUUCCUUUCGUGGACUUCUGUUGUUUUUUUUUCUAAUUUUUGUAUAUCUCUUGACACAGAGAUUGUAAUUUCUUUUUUUCUUAAAUGGAAAGUUCCAUGAACAAGCGUGGAUACGAAUGCAGUCAAGAGGAUGCAGACAACUUGGCAGAAUCGAAGAGACAAAAAGUGCCUGCUUUGGCAAGGUAACUUCCUUAAAUACUUUUUCUGUCAUUUUUCAGUUCAAAGUAACUCAAUGGUUAUACCUCACAAACAACUAUUGAAGAAAAACUUGCUUUGUUGUUAGAUCAUAGGGGAGAAUGUAAACUCUCUUGCAUUUAAAACUAAGAUUCUUAAACUCUUCUUGAGUGUAGAUGUAACCUUUGUUUGGGCUAAUUUGUUAAGCUCUCAAAAUUGUUUAGUUUAGUUUCCAAAGCUCUUUAUUCGCUUGCAAGCUUAUUGGUUUGCUUACCUACCCGUCAUAUAAAAUGAACUGUUUACAGUGUUAUUGUGGAAGCUGUCAAGGUAGAUAGUCUGCAGAGGCUUUGCUCGUCUUUGGAGCCAUUGUUUCGCAGAAUCGUGAGCUUUUAUCCUCUGCUUUUAGAGUAAAAAAAUUAUGCUUGUGUAGUUGUAAACUUAUCUAUGGUGUGGACAAAUAAACAGGUUAGCGAAGAGGUUGAACGAGCCUUAUCAAAGUUGGGAAAUUCAAAAUUAACGUCCAGGUACUUUCUCCAGUUAUACUUUUUCCUUUUGGAAUGGUUAUGUGAUCUUUGUAGCGUUUGAGUUUCUGGUUUAUAAAAUUUCCAGGUCACCAGAACCUAAGAGGAUCCAAGGCCGCGAUGGAAGAAACCUUCAACUUCACUUUAAGACGCGAAUGCCUCCUCACUUAUUCACAGGUGGGAAAGUGGAGGGAGAGCGAGGCUCGGCCAUUCAUGUGGUUCUUAUCGAUGCAAACACUGGAAAUGUAGUCCAAACAGGAGAAGAGUCGGCUUCGAAGCUCAAUGUGGUAGUGUUGGAGGGAGACUUCAAUGAUGAGGAUGAUGAAGAUUGGACCAGAGAGCACUUCGAGAGCUUUGAAGUGAAAGAGCGAGAAGGGAAACGCCCAAUCUUGACCGGUGACACGCAGGUAGUGCUUAAGGAAGGUGUGGGAACUUUAGGAGACCUUACUUUUACCGACAACUCGAGUUGGAUCAGGAGCCGAAAGUUUAGGCUUGGUGUUAAGGCCGCUCCAGGGUAUGGUGAUGGCUUUCACAUCCGUGAAGCCAAAACAGAACCUUUUGCUGUCAAAGAUCAUAGAGGAGAAUGUGAGUUUUUUUUAACCUUUUGAUUAUAUUGACAAGUAGUGUGUUCGUUACUAAUAACUUAGCUCUUUUCUUCAUCUCUUUUCAGUAUACAAGAAACAUUAUCCACCGGCUUUACACGAUGAAGUCUGGAGACUGGAUAGAAUAGCAAAAGACGGAGUGCUACACAAGAAGCUACUUAAAGCUAACAUUGUGACAGUGGAAGACUUCCUUCGACUCCUAGUUAAGGAUCCACAAAAGCUGAGAAAUGUAAGUAUCUUCUUCUGUUUAUGUGAUAGAAAAAAAAAACAAUAUAGAGAAAAAUCUAUACAUGUUACAUGUUCUUUGAUUUUGUUUCUCAUAUUGUAGUUGCUAGGGAGUGGAAUGUCGAAUAGAAUGUGGGAGAACACUAUGGAGCAUGCAAAGACAUGCGUGUUGGGUGGGAAGCUUUAUGUGUUUUACACGGAUCAGACCCACGCUACAGGAGUUGUCUUCAAUCAUAUCUAUGAGUUCCGUGGCCUUAUUGCAAACGGACAGUUCUUAUCUCUGGAGUCUCUUAACCAUGACCAAAAGGUAAAGACAUACAGACAAUUCUUUCUCUCAAGAUUUGAAAACUGCUCCUAUAUAUGGUUGUUAAGCUGAUCACUGGUUAUGUCAAUCAGAUCUCUGCAGACAUUCUGGUGAAGAUAGCUUAUGAAAACUGGCAUAAAGCUGUUGAAUACGACGGUAAGCUGUUGAAUUGCUUACCAGUCGCCGAGAAGGAGAUAAAAGGCUUACCAGAACCAAAAAUGGUAACAGCACCAACAGCUCAGAACCAUCAGCAGCUGCAUAACCAGAACAAUAGACAAACCGUGCAAUGUCAUCAGAAUGCUAUUACCUAUUCUCCCCUUCCUCAGCCGGUUGAAUAUCCUCAGUUUGUGCAGCAACAUUGCAGUCAAUUAUUACCUUCACUCCCUAGCAACGUACAAGACUAUAACAAUGGAGAAGAUUGGUGUCGACCAAGAGCUGGACAAGGUCUCGAAGACAUUUUCAGUGAAGAGAUCAGACUAAGGAGUUCUGAGAUGCUUGAGACUGACGAUAUGCAGAGACUGUUGAAGACUUUUGGGAUCGGUAUGAACACUAUGGGAACAACACAAGGCGGGUUUGGUCAGACGGAUGAGUCUUGCUACGGUUAUAAUAUGCCGUACCAAGCUCAGAUCGAUAACACGUACAGGAGAGAGCGUAAUAGAGGAUCGGGAAAAGCUGUUGUGGGGUGGCUUAAGCUUAAAGCUGCUUUGAGAUGGGGUAUCUUCAUACGCAAGAAAGCUGCAGAGAGGAGGCCUCAGAUUGUGGAGAUCGAAUGAAAAAAAGAGAAGAGAGAAGUCUUUUAGGCUUUUCUUUGAUGACAUUUCGUUUUCAUGAAAAGCUUUGGAUACGGCUUCUGAAAACACAAGAGUUCAUCUUUUGGAUGAACAAUUUAAGAGUAGAGAGAAGUGUACUUUGUUUCGUAUUGUAAUGCUUUAUUUGUUUGCUCUCUUACAUUUCAUGUUAAUUUUUGUUUUUUAAAAUCGUAUUUUAUGUUAAAUUUAUUAACAAUUUAUCCUCAUUUUAUAACCUUUUUGAUUAUUAAUUAGAACUGAACAUGAUUAAUUUAUAAAACCAACUAACCAAUCAAUUAUAUUAUUAUUAGAUAGUCUAUUAAUAUAAUUUUCAGCUUCGAUGUCAGACCAACCCUUUUAAAAACCAUCCAAACAAUAUAUUUUGUAUUUCUCAAUUAUUUGGAGAAAUAAUCAAACAGUACACAAGUUUUUGUCUCAAAAAUAAUACACAAAAAAAAAAAAUUACAAAUUAAUAUUCACAGAAAGAUAUAAAACAUAUAUUUAAGACCAUUUACAUUGCAUUUUGCUAUUUUCAUCUAUAAUAGAUAAACACAAUAAUAGAGGUGGAGUUAUUUCAAUAUAUUCUUUUUAAGGCUCUAAAUGGUAACAACAGAUUGAGCGGUAAGGGACAAACAGUGCAACUGCAGCAGUUCUAACGGUUAUAAAAAACGUGUAUAUAUAUAUAUCGUAUAUGUAAAAAAUUUUGUUACUGUUAACUGCGGUGCGGUGCAGAAUAAAACAUUCGAAGCCCACAUGUCAUUCAUCUAUAUUUACAGUAGGGCUGGGCAAAAAACCUAGAUCCGAAAAAUCGAACCGAGCCCGAUCCAAAAAAGUAGUAUCGAACCGGAACCGAAAUUGAUUAAAUAUGUGAAUGAGUUCAAAAUUCUGGUAUUUAGAGAACCGAAACCGAACCCGAUCCGAACCAAAGUAUUUCGGGUACCCGAUUAUAUCCGAAAUUGAUUUAUAUACCUAUAUAUAUUAAUUAUUUUUAGAUUUAAUAUAUAUUAAGAACAUCAAAAUAUAUAAGAUACUUUAAGUUGUCCAAAUUACUUAUAAAUAUAUACAAAUAGUCAAAAGUACAUGUCUAAAAUAGCUAAACUAUACUCAAAACACCAACAAUACUUAAAAUAUCUAUUGAUUCUCAAUCCAAAUUUCAAAUCAAACCAAUUUAUAUGUUAAUUUUAGGUACUUUGACAUAUGCUAUUCAAAUUUAUAUGCAAUAUAUUGUUUUGUUUAUAGAUUUUGAAAAAUUUAAAGUAUAUAAUAAAUUUUAAAAAUUUUAAAAUAAUUUAAAUGGGUUAUCCGAACCCGAACUGAACCCCCAAAAAUCUGAACCAAAAUUUAGAAAUACCCGAAUGGGGCUGAAAUCUUUGAACUCGAAAAUCCGAAACCCGAAUAGACCCGAACCGAACCUGAAUGGGUACCCGAACGCCCAUCCCUAAUUUACAUUAAGAAAAUAAGAAGAUGAUUUUUUCCUUAAAUUUAUUUGAAAACAGUAUUUCUUUUUUUUAUUUUAGAAGAAGGAAGUUGAAACUUGUAUGUAACAAAUCAUCUCCUAGUGAUUAAUAUCGUAGAUUUUUAACCAAGAAAGACCGAUGUCAGACCGGACGAGGAUUAGAAAUGACUAAACCGGACUUGGUACAACACUUGAAUCUCCAUUAAAUUGGGGAAAUUGCAGAAGAAGUCACCAAAAAUGGCGGAAAAUGUUGGAAGCGGCGAGAGCGAGUUCGGCAGUGUCACUUCCUCUCAGAUAUCUUUCCUUAAUAACUGCCCCUUCGCCGAUCCUCUCGCCGGAGUGGAAGAAGACACUGACUCUGACGGCACGGAGGUUCUCGGGACCCCGAUGUUGCAGCCGGUUACCCGAACUCCGAUCCUCUCGCUUUCGACUCCGAUCAGCCUCGAUUCCAUCAACGAUGAGGACGUGUUCCGUACUCCUCCCGAGAACGCGUCUCUCUCCUCCUCCGCAGCCGAAUCCGAACCCAGAGGUAGGGCUUCGGAGCUCAAACCUCGGCGACGAGGAGGAGGUUCGAAAUCGAAAUCGAAAUCUCCGUCGCGUGUUUCUGCUUCAGCGUCUCUCACGGCGGAGACUGUCAGGGUUUUCGAGAUGAAUCGUGUUUCCGAUCGCAAAGAAUCUGUCACGGAGGUGACGCCUCUUUCUCCUCCGUCAUCUCUCGCGGCCGGCGAUGUUAGGGUUCCGGGAAAGCAUUCCGAUCUCGAUUCUCCUUCUCCUGAGUCUGCAACCGAAGGAAUCAAGGUCACUGAAAGUGGUGGUGGUGAUGAUUAUGAAAUUGAGAUUCCCUUCAAAGAAGUUAUCGAAGCUCUUCUUCGUAACAAUGGAGAGAAUCUCGACGAUAGAGAUGAAAGAGUUAGCUACGUUGACAUCCUCAAACGAUAUGGCCUCAAGUUCCCCUAAAUAGAUACCAAUUCAACUUCUUUCCUUUUCUUGUUUAUAACAAUUACAUCCCGUUAAAAACAAAAGUUUGAGAGCUUUACGGUUUUGGUUGCUUGAGCGACAAGUAAUCAUAAGCUACGUUACAUUUCUUUUUCUACAAGGCUAAAUCCCUACAAAGAUUAAAACUGGUUCGCCGUUUCCAUUGAAAUGAUUGUAGUUGGUUCAAAUCGAGCUCUACUUUUUCCUGAAUCUUAAGCAACAAUUGUGCUUAGUUUUGGUAAUGCUUGGCUCGUCGUCUGCUUGUUUAGUUGGGGGAUUGUUGAGAGCUAGUUUCUCCAUUGCGUUUAUGAACUUUCGCAGGUGCUUUAUGUACUCAGGGUAUGAUUCCAAGUUGCAAUGCCCUCCUCCUUUAACCCACAAUGGAUCGUAUUUGUCUUUUGAAAUCUCCCACAAUUUCUUCCCAUGCGACAUGUUCACGACCUCAUCUUUUGUUCCCUGCAGUUUCAUACACCAAGGUUUAAUGAUCUCUCUGGAAAAAAAUUAAUAGAUGUUAUGUGUAAUCAAUCUUACAUGUAUGACAAGAACAGGGCAUGUCACAUGGCGUAUCCUUUCAAUGUUCUGCAAAAUUACAGUUUGAGAGACAAAAGAACCAAAACUAACCAGAGAAAGAGAGAGAAACAGGAGAGAGCUUCUUUUACUUUGUAUAUGUCGAACCAGAAUGUCAUUUUGACAGGAUACAAAACUCUAAUGCCAGAGAGAAUUGCGCUAUGUAGAACAACCCCUCUUAGUCUCUUCAAUCUAGACGCUAAGUACAACGUCGGUCCACUUCCAACGGACUGACCGUACAAUACCAUCUCCUCUUGCUUGAUUCCGUACUCGCUCCUCAAGCAAUUGUACACAGCCUCAAUAUCGUGGUACGUGUUUACCUCAGACGGCUUUUUCAUUUAAAAAGCAAUCAAAGGUGCAAAUCAAUAACAAAAUGUUCUUGAAUAAAUAUAUUUCUUACCUUGCCUGUUGAAGCUCCAUAGCCUGAAUAGUCAUAGCUGAUUCAUUUAUAUAUAAAGGCGUUAAGGUUCGUCCAUCAACCAAAAAAAAAGGUUUAGGAUUCUUUUUUUUUUGUAUAUUUAAACCUCAUAACGUUGACACGGAGAUGAGCUCGGAGCUCGAUGAAGAGCUCGACCAUUUGGCCGAGAUCCGCAGCAUUGCCAUGGGAAUAAAUAAGAGUGAAUCUUGCAAAUGGGUCUUUCCAAAACGUAGCCACAACUUUGUUGCCUGAUUUAGUGGUAAUUUGAUGGACGUCGACCAUGCUUUUUUCCGGCGUGACUCCGGUGAACAUGAGCUUUCCUGUCUCCUCGUCUUUACUUACGCCGUACGUAGCCGGUGACGGUGGAAAGAAAGCUAAUUUUGCAGCUACAUUUGACGUCACAUUACCCAUAGCAAAUAAUAAUUUUGCUAAGGCAAAAAAAAAAAGAAGAAAAAAACCUUUUCUAAGAGCUAAGAAAAAAAAGAGGUUAAAAUAUUUGUUUUUUGGUGGGUUUAUGUUUAGAGGAGAGGAAGGCGGCAAAGAAAAUGGAAGUGAUGGAGGAGAAUAUUUCAUCCGAUCUUGUGGGGGAGAAGAAGCUGAGCAAGUUACAAACCUUAUUCGUUUUUUUAUGUGUUUAUUCUAUUGUUAUGAGCAUUGAUUAUUAUUGAGUUCAAGUCAUCUUUUCUUCCCGAAAUGGGACAUUUUAUAGUUUUUUUUUGGACUAAAUGUUAAGAGACGUUUUAUAGAUACGUACAAUAUAUGUUUUCUAAAUAUAUAUAUAUAUAUAGACUAGACUACGGUUUACUGUUGUGUUGUGUGUAUACUCCAUAAAUACAGUCAGCCUUCGAAACUUUUAAUUCAUUCUAACAAGAUAUGUAUUUAGAUACAGAAUCUUGACAAGAAUGCAUAGGAAUAUCAGAUACAUGUUAAGAAUCAACAAAUAUCGUAGGUUACCUCGACUUUGUUAGUUCAACAAGCUGAGCCGUCGCCAACAAGGAAACGUUCACUAUAUAACUAGGACAAGGUCGACGAAUGACAAACGCGGUCGAGAGUUUUCAAUUUUUGCUUCCACAUCGAUGGUCAUCCGGAGGAGUAUCAAAGCUCGUGGUGACUCAUUUAAAUUAAAAGCUUCUCAGAGCUUAGAACUGAAUGCUAGUGUUUCAUGAUCUUCAAGAAAAAUCUAAGAAUUUCAGAAACCAUUCUCAGUUAUAUUGGAUAUUAUAUAUCUUAUAAAAACAGAAAAUUAUACAGAAAUAACAUUUUUUGCCUGUGUGAUUUACGAAAUAUAUUGAAAAUCUUUGGAUUUUUUUUAGAAGUUCAAUAAAAACAAUAAUGUUAGAUGUAUUUUUAGCCUAUUUAAUCAUAAUAUCUCUUGUUAGGAUAAAAUAACGACUAGUAGUUCUUUGUGGUACUACAAUAACAAAAAAUAAAAAGAUCAAAAGUAAUAUUUUUGACCAAAGAAUAUUUUGUUAAUAUUUAUAAUAGGAGUAAAUGUUUUUUUUUUUGAACUUAAGGAGUAAAUGUUUGGAGUAUGAAACCUAGUUCUAACUUCCUAGUUAAGUGACCGUAGUAAAAGUCGAAUGGAUGUCUAGCAGCAUUUCUUAGGAUUUUAAGCUUGUUUAUAUACGAGAUAGCCGAUAAGAUUUGAAGUAGAUUUGGUCAUAUCUCAAAGUGUACAGAAAUAUUCUUUUUUACUUAAAAGUUUUCUUUGUUAACUAGAGACAAUUAUAUGUGGUGUGUAAGCUAAGAUGUUACUAUGGUGUAUAAUAUAAGAUAUCAAAUAUCCUUAGACCUUGUAGUAUAAAUAAGGAGGCUUGGACUUGGAGUGUGUUGUGAUUCAAGCCAAAUGAGUAGAGUGAAUUAACUCCUAACGAGUCUCUUCAAUCAUUUGUAAUAGUUGAACAAAAAAAAAGAAUCAUUUGUAAUAUUUUAAAAUGUUUUUAAUAAAAUAAAAAUCCUCCUUUGUUAUAAAUCAUGUGUAUAUUUUUAAACACCUUAUCAAUAUACUUUGAUCCUAAAUACUUCCUUUGGGUGGUUAUACCUAUUAUGUGUUUAUAAAUUUGGUAUUAGAGCCAUAGAAACUAUAAGCCCGACCUGCGCGUGGUGUUAUAGUGUGUGUUUUUAGUUUACAAUUCUUUCUAAAAAAUUGCUUUAUGUGCCUUUGUGUUCCUUUUUCAUUUUGAUAAUCAGUAAAAAGAGAGAUAUCUCGAAACCAUUAUCUUGAGUUCAAACCAGAGACAAGCCAAAAGCCAAACCAAAGUAAAGAAGAUAAAUAAAAAUACAAGGUGCGAUGUGUUUACAAGGAAAGACGAAAAAUAAGAUAAAAGAAAUAAAAACCUAUUAGGAUUGUCUUUGUUCAGACGUUCAUUCCACAAUCAAAAUUGCAAAGCAGGUAUAAGACUUUAGCAUUACCAAAACGAUCAUCUCAAACUCUCUUUCUACCACAAACCACAUAUGAAAGCCUUUUUCUUUACCUCACAAUAUAACUUUUAUUAGCUCAGCUCAGUCGUUUCUGGAGCUUCUCCCACAAUCUCGGCAGGGACUGGACUCUCACCACGCUCACUAGUGGAGCUACUGCUAUUAAUCACUUCGCUUUCCAUUGGAUUCAGAGAGACUGUGUUAGCAGGAGGAACAAGUGAUUGCUCUCCUGAGUGCUUCGGCUUGUUCAGGGCUCGACAAUGAGGACAGUAGUAAGUAGUGUACUCGAAGUCCUCUUUCCGGCAAAGUCCUACGUGAUGUUAGAGAAAGAGAGACAUUGUUACACUAUGUCAUUGAUGUAAACAAAAGACAAAGGUAAUGGGCUUCGCUCACCGUUAUGCAUAUGGCAGUUUCCGCAGAUGAGUGCAUAUGACUGAGUUGGAUCUUCACCCACGAGGAGAGCGGCUAUACGUGAGAUCCAGCUGCCAUCAUGAGCAGCAUAUCCCUGAGGGUUAAAAUGCUCAAAAGCCAUCUGCUGGUUUUGCUCUGUGGUGGCUUCGCUUGUUCCAGAAUGGUUAGACUCAUUAUCUGAAUGGUGGGUUGAUGAAGUGGUCCCAGCAACGCUGCGUUUUGCAUUUGGCUGUUUUCGAUUCCUGAGACCUUGCGAGUGUUUGAUCUCCAUGUCAUUGCUCUUGCCUGUGGCGGGGUCAAGUUGGGAUUCAUCUCCUACAUACACUUUCAAGCCUGAAUCAGCACCCAGCUUGGAUGCUAGAAUAGUUGCAGCAGCCGCUCUUGCAGCUGGGUCAGGGUCAAACCUCUGAUACAAAAAAUACCUCAAGUUAAAUACAAGUUCCAGUAGCAAUAAGAACACCAAAUUAACAAGCACCAAGGCAUAUAUGAGCUCUUUCAAGGUCCUGAACAUAUUGCAAUAAGAAGUGAUUCAAGAACUCACAAGUGUGGGUCUCCAACUAACUCAAACUUGGGACACAUAAUCACAGUUGGAAUUUCAAAUAUAACAGUUGUGUUGGGGUUCCUAAUAGCCCUCUAUCCAAAACCAUAAUCAAACAUUCUUUGGCUGACAGAUAGAGAAACUACUAUGAGAGCUAAUAAAGUCAGUAUAGCGUGAAAACUAGGGGAAAAAGCAGUAGAAGGGGUGGUUGAUCUCUGUUAAAAGAAAGGCAGCUAAACUAGAAAGAAGAGACUCUCAACAAGGUACUCAUUCUCUAGAGCUGUACUGCUCCAAUCCAAAUUCACUAAACCAUGCUCUUUGUCAAACUUGAAUUUAAAGACAACAUGAAACAUAUGAAUGAAAAAUUAUCGACAAAGCUAGAGGGGAUAAUAAACAUGUUGGCCUCAUUACGUGUUAUAUGAUAAAUGUGUAACGCUUGUAACCUACAAGAGAUGUCUAAAGUAAUGCACUCACACAAGCAAAAAAGACUUGUGUCAUAGUAAAUCUUACACGAAGAAUAUCGAGCGUGGUGAAGUAAUUGGUUCUCUCUUUCAACUCAUCGAUCUUCCCCAGCAUUUCACCUUCAAGCUUCUCCAAUGUGUUCUGAUCUCUGCGGUCACCUACACCAAAACCAUUACACACAAACGCGAUCAACACAACAACAAACCCAAGACCAAAGUUUCAACCUUUCACACGAAAACAAGCAUAUAAAAGAAAAAAGAAAAAAACACAAAGACUCACACAUCCUGGUGAAGCUAACGAGAGAAGAAUAGGUAAGGAAAGCAAGAGCGGGCAAAAGAAACAUAGGCAAGAUCCUGAAACUCCUCAGUUUCCAAUCCAAAUCUUCAUCUCUAGUCGACAUAAUCGCAUAGCUCACAGCAAUCACCUGAACACACACAAAAACUGUUUCAUUGAUCACAACAAAAGAUGUCGACUUUUUGUUCCACUGACCUCAAAGAAGACGGAGAAAGCGAUUAGAUUCCUAAUGAGCUUCCUCCUGGUGACCGAUCUUCGCUUCAUCCUGGAUCUGAUCGUGGCUUCCUCCUUCGAUAUGCCUUUCAGCCUCUUCUCGAAGUCGUCUCCCUUAACCCUAAAUAUCCAGUUCCAGAUUCGCGAGAACAGACCCUUGCCCUUCGUCGUCGUCUUCUUCUUCUCCCCUCCGCCGACAGUCUCCGAGGGUACGACGGCGGAAUCAUUCUGAUCUCCGGUAUCAGCCACCGUGCCUUCGUGAUCCUUCUCUACCGACGACGACAUCUACCGACGACUUGAAAAUCAAAAUAGGGGAUUCGAUUCGAUUCGACUCUCGCAAAACCGCAAUUGUUCUCCCAAUCGAUUACUCUGUGGAAAUCUCUAGAGGAGAGGAGGAUGCUUCGUUCUCUGCCAAAGGGUUUCUUCUUCCCCUUCUUUGAAGCAACCCAAACAAGAACUUAAUAGUAUUCAUUCAUUAACUACACCUUUAUCGUUAACCUAUGUAUGAUAUAUAAAAUUAAACAGACAUUUUUUUUAGAGAAAAAAACAAAAAUAGCACUAAAUUAAGUUUUUGUUCUCAAACUAGUUCUUAAGGUCAAAUGUCACAAAAAUAGCACUUAAUAUUUUAUCAAAAGUCACAAACUUAGAGUUUAGAGUUAAAGGGUGGAGUUUAGGAUUUAGGGUUUAGGGUUUAGAGUUUAGGGUUUAGGAUUUAGAGUUUAGGGUUUAGGAUUUAGGAUUUAGGGUUUAGAGUUGAGAAAUGAGGUUUUGGGGAUAAGAUUUCAAAUUUUGAAAAAUAAAAAAAUUAAAAUUUUCAAAUGAUAAACUUAGAAAGGUGCUAUUUUUGUCAUUUUAGUUUUUGAGUGCUAUUUUUAUGAUAUAAACUUAGAAAUGUGCUAUUUUGGAGAUUUGCCCUUUUUUUUAUAUAGUUAAAUAAUUUUAGUGUAUUAAAAUUAUCAAAAUGACAAUAUUUUAGAUACAAAAUUUUAAAAUCUGAAUGAAUCUUUGAAAACAUCUAUAUUAAAAUUCGAAUAAUUUUUUUUACAACUUUAUAAUAC